UAACAACUUAUUAGAAGGAAGCAUACCUCAAUCUCUGAAGAACUUAAAAGGUCUUGCAUUACUGAACCUAACAAUGAACAAGCUAUCUGGUAGUAUUCCUGAUGCCCUUGCUAGCAUUGGCAACCUGCAACAACUGUAUCUAGCACACAACAACUUGUCAGGUUCCAUCCCCAAAGUUCUACAGAAUUUGACAUUGUUGGCAAAACUGGAUUUGUCAUUCAAUGAUCUGCAAGGCGAAGUGCCAAAAGGGGGUCCUUUUGCAAAUGCAACUCACUUGUCAAUUGAUGGAAAUGAUGAGCUUUGUGGUGGAAACCCUCAACUUCACUUAGCUCCGUGCUUCACAGCUGCUGCGGGGAAGAACAGAAGGCGAAUGUCAAGGUCAGUUAUGGUCACCGUAGCGUCAAUCUGCGCACUUCUAUUCUUAGGUUUAGUAGUUUUUCUUAUCCAUUUGAUCCACAAGACGCUCAGACAAGGAAAGGAAAAUCAACUCAUUCCCACAGUAAUUGAUGAACAGCACGAAAGGGUUUCAUAUCAAGCAUUAGCAAAUGGGACUGACCAUUUUUCGGAGGUUAAUCUGCUCGGACAAGGAAGCUAUGGUGCAGUUUAUAAGUGCACUUUACAUGACAAGGGAAUUACCGCAGCUGUAAAGGUAUUCAACGUAUGGCAAUCUGGUUCUACUAGAAGUUUUGUGGCUGAAUGUGAGGCACUGCGAAGGGUGCGCCACCGAUGUCUCAUAAAGAUCAUCACCUGUUGCUUAAGCAUUGAUCACCAAGGCCAAGAAUUCAAGGCACUGGUUUUUGAGUUCAUGCCCAAUGGUAACCUAAAUGGUUGGCUGCAUCCAGCAUCCAAAAUACAGAGUCUGAGCAAUACGCUCAGCUUAGCUCAGAGACUGGACAUUGCGGUAGAUAUCAUGGAUGCUCUGGAUUAUCUUCACAAUCAGUGUCAACCGCCUAUUAUCCAUUGUGAUCUCAAACCAAGUAACAUCCUCCUUGCCGAAGAUAUGAGUGCUCGGGUUGGAGAUUUCGGCAUAUCAAAAAUCCUUCCUGACGACACUAGCAAAACUCUGCUGAAUUCAGUUAGCUUCACUGGACUAAGAGGUUCCAUCGGAUAUGUCGCUCCAGGUAACAGAAACUAACACUGAUAUUGCUAUGUUCAGUUUUUUAACUUCCAUUUUGCCAAGUCCAGUUAUCUCGGCAUGCACGUUCAUAAGUAGCUUGCCAUGAAUCCACUGACCAAAUAGUGUCUGAAAUCUGAAUUGACUGCAGAGUACGGCGAGGGUCGCGCUGUCUCAACUCUUGGAGAUGUUUACAGCCUCGGCAUACUGUUGCUUGAGAUGUUCACCGGGGUGAGCCCUACUGACGACAUGUUCAAAGACUCCUUGGACCUUCAUAAGUUCGCCGAGGCCGCUCUCCCGGACAGAGCCUUGGAGGUAGCCGACCCGGCAAUCUGGCUUCAUGAAGAAGCAAAGGGGAAAGACCCUGCCACGGUGAGAAGCAGAAGCGAGGUGUGCUUGGCUUCAGUGAUCGGGCUUGGCGUGUCCUGCUCAAAGCAGCUGCCAAGGGAGCGGACGGCGAUGCGGGAUGCUGCCGCUGAGAUGCGUCCGAUCAGAGAUGCCUUCCUGGUUCAAUGUGCAACAGAGACUUGGGCUGCAGUCGGCACCACCGGCCUUGGAAGCGCAGACAGUUGAAUGGUGGACGGAGCUACGGUCUCUUGACGCACCAAGGAGCACCGGACUAGCAACUCUGCAACUAACAGAGUGGAGAAAGCGCCCCUUAAUGAAAAGAAAAACAGCCGGUGCAAGGCUUUAUACAAAGAAUGUGACAGCCACUGCGUGUAUCCGAGGCUUUAUACAACUCUGCCUUAUCUAAUCUACCGAGGAUUGUUGCGUAUGGAUGCGUAUAGAUUAUGCACGUACUCCCUCCUCCGUCCUAAAAUAAACGCACAUCUCGUUUCUCGAGGAGUCAAACUUUUAAGUUUGACUAAAAUUUAUAAAAAAAAUGUACUACUAUUUAUAAUGUAUAAUAAAUGUCAUUAUUGAGCAUUGGGUAUACUUUCCUAAUACAUUUAUUUGAAGAUGCAAAUAUUGUUACUAUUUUCUAUAUUCUUAGUCAAACUUAAAAACCCGUCAUGGGGAUUAGUCACGAUAUAAGUAGGGACUAGCAAGCAUCAAAACCCCAUUCACUGCCCAUCUAUCGCUCAAAUAAAAGAAACCAUUGCAUAUGGUGGCGAUGCGCUCGCGAGCCUUUCUCCAACCUUUCUGCUCUCGCGAGCCUUGAACUCGCAUGGAACAGUUUUAGUGAGAGUGUGCCUCCAACUUUGGGAAGAUUGUGAAGCCUUAUUUACCUGUCCUUAAGUGGCAAUAAGUUAUGAUCGAAUGAUAAGGACGGAUUGGAAUUCAUCACCAUGCUAGCAAACUGCAGCCAGCUUCAGCAACUGGCUUUUGAUAAUAAUUCAUUCAUCGGUGAACUUCCUAGCUCAAUAGCAAAUCUAUCGACAACUCACCAAUUACUCUAUAUAGGAAACAAUUGGAUUUCGGGAUUUAUUCCAUCCAGCAUAGGUAAUUUGCUUGGUCUAGAACUGCUUACGUUGGCAAAUACUUUCAUAUCCGGAGUGAUUCCAGAUAGCAUUGGUCGCAUAGAAGACAUGUCCGUGUUAGGCAUUUACUACGCUAGCUUGUCAGGCAUCAUACCUUCAUCACAAGAAACCUUACACAGUUGAAAACUCUAUGCAUACGAUAGCAACUUGGAGGGUCCAAUUCCAGCAAGCUUGGGGAACUUAAAGAAUCUUUUUGUUCUUGAUCUUUCAACGAAAGUGUGUUACCCGUUAAGAUUUCAUGUCGAAGCAGAGCAUAAACCUCUCUCAAGACUGCAAAGCUAUCAUAGAGCAGAUCAGUCUGAGGGCCGGGCUAUGUACCCUUUCGGUAAGAUUACCCCAAACUAGAGUCUGUAAUUAAUUAGCCAAGACUAGAAUUACGUAGUUCUUGUGGUUGUACUGUUUUCCUGGGUGGCCGCUCCAUGUUCCAAUUAAGCAUGAUGAUCUUGUAUUAAUAAAAGGUAUAUCAUAAAUAAAACAAGUUUAAUCAUUGAGUUCAUUAAAACCAUCACAACCCAAGGUAUUGCAACUAAGCAUAUCUACCAAAAAAAGGGUAAAACCCAGGUUGACAAAGAAUGAUCAUAAAAACUAGGUAAACCUUAAUAGGGCCCAUCAAUUUUAAGUGCACAGCAAUGCAAAAGUGAUUAAAUAUAGUUAUUGGGACAAAAGCACAUGGACACACUUGCCUUUCUCCAAAGAAUAGCUGCUCUGAUUAUCUUCAACUCUUGUUCCUCAAAGCUCUCGAACAACGUUCCUUAUACUCACAUCAAUCAUUGGCACAAGCAUACAAAGCAAACAACAAUCACAACUAAGAACAAUACAUCAAUCAUAGGAAAGCUUUAAAAGAGCGCACUAAAGGAUAAGGCUUGAAUCUGAAACACUGGGAACUAAACUAUGGUUGAAAUGACAAAGCUAUCGAGAGAUUUGAAUUAUAAAAGAAAGAGAAAAGCCUAUGCGCUUCAUAUAUUUCAAUAAAGAAAAUAAUGUAAAGAUAUUUUAGAGAAACAUCCUUAGCAAGUUAUAUUUAUAUAUGAAAAGAUAAUGUAGAACUUAGUCAAAUUUUAUUUAUAAACAUUCAAGUACAAUUUAUGCAAAUUAAAAAUUUAAUUUGAAAAUAAAGUAUAUGGAAACAUCUAAGCGCAUAGCUUUAUGAUUCGGGUUGAACUAACCAAAUAUAAUUCAAAAACAUAUUUAUAUUUAUAUUAAGUCAAAUUAACAUAUAAUUAUGAAACCUCGAGAUAUAACUUAUGUAGCUUUUAUUUAGAAAACAAAUUGAAUAAACAUUAAUCAAUUUAAGUUCAAUUAUGAACCACCGUGGUGCAUCUCUAAUUCACUUUUAAUUGAAAGAGUUAUUUAAAUAAGCAUUAACUAAAUUAAUAUUUAUUAUGAAAAGUGGUUAUAACACUAAGUAGCUUUUAAUUAAGGAAGGCAUGUUUAACAUGCAUUAAUUAGAUUAAUAUUAAAUUUAUUUUAAAAACAUGCAUGAUGGAAAGAUCAGUACUAACAUGUAAUUUGUGUUAUCACGAACCUAACUCAACAAGAACGGAUAUAAACGGAGCUGUAACGAGGAGUCUAUGGGUUAAACAAGGUUGCAGGGCCUAAUCACGAUUAACGGAAGGUUGUUGGGGCUAGCAAGGAAGAUUUGCAAGACACUGGAAUAGAGCUCGUUAUUAGGUCAAAGCAUAGGGUUAGAUCUGUUAAAGUGCUCAGGUUGGACUUGGUUGCACGGAUACAAUCUAAUCAGGGACAUGGAUGAAAAAAACAAGACACAAGGAAAAACUAACUAUAUAUAGAGCUUUCUAGGGGCCUAUGCGCAAAAGCACCAUAGCUCAGCAUCCAUGGUGGACGGGCUCCUUGACGGCAAAAUCCUCAUGCUGGAUUUAUAAGCCUGGUAGUCCACCAAGGGGUUUCCCAAGUAGUUGAUUUGUAGGUGAGGGUGAUUGUGAAACCAAGAACUCGAAGGUGAUUGUGAGAACACGAAGGGACACAAAGGUUUUAGACAUGUUCGGGCCUCCGAAGAGUAAUACCCUACGUCCUAUAUGCUGGUUUGUAUUGCUUGAGAUUGAUGUGAUUGUUGCGAUAUCCUCGGGGGUGCCCUUGGCCACCUUAUAUAGGUUGACGACCAAGAGUUAAAAGUCGGUUUGAAUCUAAUCUACUCGGUAGUUACAUGGAAAGUAAUCUGAGUUGGACUACAAUACACGUUCCAUGAUAUCCGAGCAGAUUUGAACUGUCUUGUUGCCUUGACUUGCACUCCAAGUAACUUCAUAUCCUCGGCCCACACGCCCUGGUCGAGCGAGCCCUACUUGUCAGGUUCGGCCAGUAUCCUGGUCGGCUGGGGCCCAUGGGGUACCCAUUUCUCUCAAGCCCCCGAGCGUUGUGUAGGCAAAUAGAAACUUGAGGUCACCAAAACGAAACUUGAAAUGAAGUCGGCUGAAGCUGCGAAGGCGUCAUUGCGACGGAGAGGCUGCGCAGUGCUUAAAAGAAGAAAAUCUGAGCAAACACAGAGCCAACGCGUAGAGCGAAGACGAGUGCCGAGUUGAUGGAUGCUGGCAUCCAGUAGGUCGGAGCGAAGGUUACGGAGGGCGUCGCAAGAGAAACUCCGUAGGAGUAGCCCCCGAGCAUUGAAACGAUUAAGAUAAUCGGUACAUUGGUCAAAGUACAAAAAAUUAUCCCAUGAUGUAGAUCCUAGUGCUCGAACACAAGGAUGGGUGCAGCCAUGGAGGCCCGCCCACUAGAAGUAGGCACCCAGACCCAAGGACGAGGACUGAUAGGACCGCGUAGCCACGCUGACCUGAAAUAGGCGUCCAACCCCCGAGGACGAGGACUAGCGGAGCCGCGGAGGCAUGCUGACCUGAAGUAGGCGCCCAGCCCCCGAGGAUGAGGACUGGCGGAGCCAUGAAGGCACGCCGACUUGAAAUAGGCACCAAGUGUAACAACUCUACCUAAAUUAAGUGCUUUUAAAUAUAAACUAGUGGCUAAUCACUAAGUUAAAGAAGUAAAAUGACCAUUUUAACCCUAAGAAGCUCUUUUUGGAGUUUGAAAUAAAACUUGGAAUUUUAUAUGCAAACUUAAAAUUUUGCCCAAACAAGAGUUGUAAAACUUUCAAUUUCAAACAACUUUUGUUAAACGAACUUUGACUAAUUCAGAGUGGGAGGAAGUCAAAAAUAGCAAUCAAAACUGGAGUACUAAAGAACCCUAUAAACCUCCUAAGUCCUGGUUUUCAAAUUUUCCCUCCAACUUUGCAAGCCUUUAUCUCAUGAUUUCUUAUCCAAACUCAAGUCAGGCUCUUAAUAAAAGUUGUAGUCCCUCGAGUGUGUUCCAACUUUGUUACACUGACCCAGGUCCAAAUCGGGCCAGAACCUGUUCAAAAUCUUGGUCAAAGUGAGGUAAAACAGUCAACUCAUCCCUUGAGCCCCACAACGCUAAGUCUGAAAAACUGCUCAGAGUGCACCUCUUGGCGAGGGCGUUCCUCCAAAUUUUUGAACUAAACUCAAGAAAUACCCUAAAUAAAAGCUUAAACCCAGGGACCCCUACGUAGUUAAACCUUAAACCCAGGGGCUUGCUUGCAACUUUGUCACAGCUUUUCUUUUAAAUAAUAGGCAGAAAUAUGGUUGAAUUUUGUAAAUGCCCAGUAAAUCGUAGAAUAAUCAUAAAAAUGCCAAACUACUUUUGCUAGAAUCCUUUCUCUGUCUAGUUCCUAAGAAAAAUAAGUUUGCUCAUGUUACUGUUGUAAAUAAUAUCCUACGCUUUUAAUCAUGUUGUAGGCCUUUUAAAUCCUAAUAAAUAGAAGAAAAGUGGGAAAAAUGUGGAACCAACUCUGUGAUGCUUGUUUCUAUGUGUAGAAGCUUAGAAAAAUAGUUAGGGCUCUGGUGUAGCACUUUAAGUCACUGUUUUGACUUUAAAUUGGGAAUCUAAGUAUAAAUCUUCCUUUUUGCAUAAGUUUUGAUCUAGAGCUUAGAAAAAUGUGAAACUAGUUGGGUUAAUUUUGUUUUGCUGUAAAGUUCUCAGGAAAAAUAUAAAUUGUUGUGCAAAUCAGAAAUAAAAACACCUUCCUUGCUAAGCAUGUUUAAUUAAGAAAAGAAAUAGAGUAAAUAGUAACCUUGUCCAAAAAUUACGAAAAAAUUCACCAAAGCACCUGUAACAUACCCUUAACACACUGCUUAAGUUUCACCCUCUGUUGCACAAUAAUUUUGAAGAUGGAAAAAAUUAAGCUCAGUUUACCUUUAAUAAUAAAAUGCAUGUAACUUCUUUUUAAGUCAUCCUUUGGCCCCCAAACUUUUACAGUAACCUAGUGAUGGCUUAAGUGAGGUGCUGUAAUUUUAUCAAUGACUUUAACUACUUUUUGGAUAUGAAGUCAUUUUGGUUAAUUAAUCAACCUAAAGGAAUAAAAGGAGAGCGCGAAUUCUAAUACGAUAAAUAAGUGGACACUGAAAGAGGUACAUAAAAACAUUCAGAAGUAAGUAAUUAUUCCAAUGCAUCCAAACCACCCAACACGACCUUUCACACUCUUUAUGCAACUCUAAAUGCAAGAAAGCUAUAUAUGUACACAAUCGCCAUUCAACGCGAACUCAAGUUUAAAACGACCACUUUCGUUUGAAGUUAAAAAAAGUAAACCUCAUCAAAGUGUUUGUGGCUGUUGUGACUCUUGUCUUAAGCCAUGCCUUGUGUCGUUGAAUAAACGCGCGAGUCCAACUAAAUUUUUGUAUGUGCAUGUCGUAUAGAAGCAACUCUCGCCGACGGAACCUACGAGCUCCACCCGGCACCAGAGAAAGACCCCGCUACGGAGCUUCACCACUUGGAAGGCGAGCCCGAACCGGAGCAAGAUCCUGAGGACCCGCUAACUUUUCCUGAAGGCAAGCCCCGGAGCAUAAAUUCCUAUCUUUGAAUACUUGCAAUAUUAUUGAACACUUUGAUUGCGCAUUUACGUUUCUAGGAGUUGUAAUGAAACCUUAGAUGCAUGAACUUAGUACCUUGUUUGAAUACUAGUUGCUAAAGUCGAGUAGUUGCAAUGCUUAAUAGGUUCCGGUAAAAGUCGAGUGAUUUCCUAUCACUCGCGAGUUAUAGGAGUUGAAUGUUUACUUAUGUUGCAACUAUAAGGACGAUGGAUGUGGUCGGGCUUAUGUUCGAUACUUGGUGGUUUUUCCCCGUCUGUCUAAAGGAAAUUGAUCUAAGGUUGAAAUGUGUCGGCGUUCGUGAUCAAGUGUUUGAAAGUACUAAUCUCAUACCUAGUAUGGGAUGGGGAAGCCUAGUACCUGAUUGAACUGGGGCAUGGCAUACUCCCCCAGCUGCCUUGGAACACCGUUCCCAUGGUGCAUCAUGUGGGUGCAAGUGCGGUCAUAGUACGGCAGAGGCCGGGAUUAUGGAGCAUGGCAUGCCAAAGGCAGUUGGCCCUGACACGUGCCUAAGGGAUCGAUGGGGACGGCUGACAAAUGAAGCAACCCUUCGUGGUGCGCGGAUGUCGUGAGAUUAGGUUCGCCAUGCAUGGUUAAUAAAUUCGAAUCGAUUCGUCUGCCUCUCACAGUUUGGGACUACUUGAUCGCUAUUCUGCACUGAGUAACGAUGAAACAUGAUUACGAGAUUAAGUUGAUGCUUGUUAUUUAACUGCUUGGAAAUCAUGCUUGUUUAGCAUAAGUGGCUAAUCUAGAAUGGUUAAAGAACGUAGAACUUGAGCUAAAAUAUUGAAAGUAAGGACUGAUUGUAGACGCUUGUGGCAAAGAAAUCGCAGAGCCAGAAAGCCUUGCAUGUCUAGGUCUUGGUAAAGCUUUUCACUCGACGGGUCAGUCUUGCUGAGUAUUAGUUGCUCAGCCUUGUUGUGGCUUAAUCUUUUCCAGUGAUGUCAAUAGUUUGGUUGCGGGCACCACUUGGCCUACCCAGCUCCCUCCGGGCUGGACAGUCGAGUGGGAUCCCUCCUCGGACGGCGAGGGAAGGGAUUUUUGAUGUCAUGAUUGGAUCCGUCGUGAUGUCAUGUAUCGAUGUUUAGCUUCCGCUUGUUUUAUCCGACUUUUCGAACCUUGCAACUUGUUUGAAUUUUCAGAAACUCUGAUGUAAUAAUUUGUGACACUAAGGAAUGUGAUGGAAUGUAGUAAUCUCUGUGCUACUCACCUUCAUGUGAGCGAUGCUUCUCGAUCCUGUUUAGGUGGUUCAUCGGAUGAAAUCCAACGGUCGACCAGUUUGACUUGCUUAAAGUGCAUAAUCGCGUGUCAGGCGACUUCAACGCAUUUUAGUCAGGUUAAUUUGGGUGGUUCCGCCACAGCUAGCAUCAGAGCUCGAAGCACGGUAUGGAGAACAACAAACCUUAAAACACUUUUCCUGACUAAAACUUGCAAGAAACGAGUUGAAAAAUUCGUAAGUUCGUUAAGGAUGAAUUUAGUACGAGGAGCCCUAGGGGAAUUUUGGGUCUUUUAAGGUGGCUAAUAAUUAUUGGUUAUCUUCUGACUUCCAGCACUUGUUACCACGUCUAUCAUACGUGUGCCGAGAUCUGCAUCGCGAGUGUGCGAAGGGUGAUAGGAAUUCGAUUCCAACGAGCCUAUCAUCACGGUUGUUUCGCCCACGUCUAUUAUACGUGCGCAGGUUCCGUAUGUUAAUUCAUGCGAAGGAUGGUAUGGUUCGAUUCCAACGAGCCUAUCAUCACGGUUGUUCGCCCACGUUUAUUAUACGUGUGCAUGAUUCCGCAUCACGAGAAUGUGAAGGGUUAUAUGGUUCUAUUCAAGGGAACCUAUUUCCACGGUUGUUGCGCUGUCCAUGCAGCGUUAAACGCAUGGGUGCCGUUUCUAUAGUGAACGGUAAUGAUUGUGGACGCUUUUGUGAGUACUGGCACGGAAAGUUCAAGCUAUGAUGUGUUUUUCUGCGGGUACACUAACAACGUUGCGUACGAAACGAUGCUUAGCAACUCGACUAGUUAUUAUAGUGAGAGUCGUAUUGUUGCCUUGCCACCGGCACUAACCACGUAAGUUCAAAGAUUUUUGGCGAUUAUUUUUGGUUGAGAGGAUGACUAGGACGUGCAUGCAUUAAGAAAUAAAAACCGCAACCUAAGGAAAUAAAACCAAGCUCGAGUGUGUCGUAAAAAGAAAUGCACCGCGAUAAGGAUCGUCUAGUUGUCCUUUUUUUUCCGCCAUGCACGUUUAAAUAAAUCUUUCAGGUUGUUCCAUAUGAUAACUUCAGAAACUUUAUAUAAGAAAUUUGUGUUAAAUCUCCCAAGUAAACUGCUGAAAAUUUUUCACAAAGUACUACCACUUGGGUUGAGAGUUGUGAUCAGUUUUGUGACCCCCUGUUGGCUGUUAGCCCUGAGUGCACACCAGUUGGAAUUCUGCUGUUUCGACCACCUUAAGAACUUUUUCUGCUAGGAGUCCCUUAAGAAACGUUUCUCAAAACUUAAUAAAGAACUUACUGGUAAAAUUGCAGCUUCAUUAGGUCUCUUGUUUUGAAGUUAUGUUCAGUUUACUUUGACUCGGGUCUGAAAAAUUCUAGCAUGUACACUUAAUGGGAAUCUGAGGUUAUCACCUUGUUAGGUCCUGUUCUAGCCCUACCUUUGAAUACCAAACUUGUUACGCACUAUCUAAAGAACAUGCUGGUAAAAUUUGAGAAAUUUUGGAUGAAUAAUUGCUGAGUUAUGAGCUUUUCUCUAACUGCUAGAAAUCUGUUUUGAUUUCCAAGUGUUAACUCCGUUUCUCACUUGUCCUUUGGUUACAGUGGCUCAGCCUGUGCACGUUGCAGUCGGUACGGAUGGCACCACCUACUCACGGUGCCUUCACUACGAGGGUUUCCUAGCCGUACUGUGGGACACCCUGCGCUCUUUUGGGUACCCGUCACCGCCAGUUUACGCGGGACGUGCAUACCAGGACCGCGGGAUUCCGCGGAGUCGCGUGCACGUGCGGGUGCCCCCGCCUCCGGGUCAGCCACAGUGUCCGCUUUUGGAGGUGGUGGCCGAGGGAUAGACACUACAGGACACCUGGGAGUUCGCAGCCUUGCAGACCCUGACACAGUUUUGCCGGGCACACCCUCUUGAGAUCGUGCUGGACCCGAUUGGGUUGUGCUCUGCUCGGGAUACGAGGGACCCGGAUUGGUUGGAUCGUAUGGAGCAUAUGGACUUACUCAGGGUUAUGGAUCCACAACGCACGAUUUUUGUUUCAGCUCGUUGCCUGAACGUGUUCUUCCGGAUGGUUGAGAUGCAGAGCCGAGCGAUGGCUACGGUGAUCGGGAUGGCAGUGGCCAACCAGGUCGCUUUAUCUGCCGUGCAGAGUGGCAUGGUGGACCAGUCGCUUGAGCUAGUACAGAAGGAUGUCCAGAUUGCUGAGAUGCAGGACAAGAUCACUCGUUUGGAGGAGGAGAUUGUGGAUAUGGAGCAUGAUAUGGAGAUCUUGGCUGACCAGUUCUAUGAUGUGAACAUGGAGCCGGCGAACGUCAAUGAGCACCUGCAGGAGCAUCACGAUGAGCUUAAUGCCAUUCACACCUUAGAGAUGCAGCAGGAUGAGCCGAUGGCCCAGGAGGAGGAGCCUGAGGAGAUCGAGGGCUUUUCGAGCAUGGACUAUGAGGAGGCCUCUCCGCAGCCUCCAGUUGGCGAUGCUCACUCUCCUGCCCUUAGCUUUGCCUCCGUGGGCAACCUCGACGACUUCUAGUUGUGUUGACUUGUUGUUGAGGGGUUCUCUUUUGUUUUUACUCCUCGGCGACCUAUAUUUUGGCUAGUGAUAUAAUAGGUUAGCUUGAGUUGAGUAUUUGGGAGUUGAGAAACUGAUUCUAUGUUGGAUUGCCGUUGCUAUCUUUAGUGUAAUGUCUGAAAUUUAUGGCAGAACUGCAGUGACUGUUUCUCCUCAGUUUUACCCCUGUCUCCACUCGUUUUUGAGCCAAAGUUUGAAUACCAAAGUUGUGCAAAAACUUCUGUUCUAACUAUUCGUAAAUUUUCAGCUCCUUCGGAUCUGUCAAACGCCCGCUAGAGCCAAAACCCCACUGUUCAGCUUGCUGAAAAAUCAGCCGGACAGCAACUUGCUAGAACGUCUAAACGACCUCUUUUCCUUCCUUUUCGGUCGACAAGCGUAACAUGAAAGUGGUUGUGUACGAUAUAUUCUAACCCUCACUUAAGGAUGAGAACCUUGUGCACUUCGAAGAAGAGAUAUGCACCUACUCAAUAAAAGUUUUGAUUGUUGCUUUUGCACCAUCGGCAAGACUAGCGUUUAUCAUUUCCGCACAUAAUGUUUCCUUAUGGUUAAACAAGAUUUUGGGGCUAUGUGACUAAUGGAAAGGUGAAUCUUGCAGAUGGCACAUCGCAUAUGCUCCGGCUCCAUUCCUAGUGGCAGCGAGGUGCCUCCCCCACCUCCGCCUCCAACCACCCUCGAGGCAAUCUUGGCGGCUCAAACCGAGCUGCUGAGGCACAUCGCUCAGGGACAGCAGCAGCAGCAGCCCUAGGGAGGAAGAGCCCAUCAGCAGCCUCAUGUUGCUCGCUACGAGGACUUUCUGGGGACCCAGCCUCCUCUGUUCCACAAGACGGAGGACCCGCUUGACGCCGAUGCCUGGAUUCGUGCCAUCGAGUCCAAGUUCUCCCUUCUCACCGCCCAUUGCCCGGAGGAGAACAAGGUUCGGUUCGCCGCGCAACAGUUGCAUGGUUCUGCUCUCCUGUGGUGGGAUCACUACCACGCCAUGCAGCCGGCCGACCACGUCGUCGGCUGGGAGGAAUUCAAGACAGCGUUCAAGGGCCAUCACAUCCCUGAGGGUCUUCUGGAGCGCAAGCUCAAUGAGUUCCUGGCUCUCACCCAGGGAGGCCGCGACGUCCUGCACUAUGCGCAGGCUUUCAAUGACCUGUGUCGCUAUGCAGGCUAUCAUGCAGACUCUGAUGAGAAGUAGAGGGACCGCUUCCACAGAGGCUUGAGCCUGGAGCUCAAGGAAAGCCUGAAUCCCAUCAAGGUGGAUUCCUACAAUGAACUGGUGAACCUGGCAAUUUCCCAGGAAGAUUGCAUGAGGGCUCUCAAGGCUGACCUGAAGCGAAAGGCUCCAAUGCCGGCACCCGGCCCACCGGCCCAGAAAUACAAAGUGGUUCCCCCACAGGCGUCUCACAGGCCCGCACAACCUAGGAGAUGGGUUGCUCGACCUCCACCGCAGGCAGCACCUCAUUUCCCUGGAUUCCAGCCGCAAGGGCCCCGACCUACUCUUCCUAUGCCGCCAUGCCUAGUCACUGGAAACCGCUGUUUCACCUGCGGGAACCCAAGACACUUUGCCAAGAACUGCCCCCGCAACAAGAAUCAACGACCCGGUCAGAGCAAUGCACUGAGCAACAAGGGGAAGAAGCCGAGGGUUCAGGUCCGACAAGGCAGGCUGAACUACACCACCCUUGCUGAACUUCCAGAGGGUGCACCAGUGAUGACGGGUACCUUUUCUAUCUAUAACCAACCCGUCCUUAUUCUGUUUGAUUCGGGAGCAUCUCAUAGUUUCAUUGGGACUAGAACCAGUGCUAAGUGUGGGUUAGAUUUCUGUCACACAAAAGGUGCUUAUAUAAUCUCUACCCUGGGUAGGAAAGUAACUUCACACCAAGUGAGCCGCAAGGUGCCUAUCCAGUUGGGGAGAACCCUUUUUAAGGAAAACCUCCUUAUCCUUGGGAUAGAAGGAAUAGAUAUUAUCUUGGGUAUGGAUUGGAUGACUCGACAUCGAGUGGCACUAGACAUCCCUGCCAGAGCCGUCCAUAUAAACUCACCCAUUUAUGGUAGCUCAAUCAUACACUUACCCCCCCGAGAGUGCCAAACUUUUUGUGCCUAUCCCUUGACUGAAGCCCGUUUAGAAGACAUCCCAGUGGUGUGCGAGUAUCCCGAUGUGUUUCUAGAUGAUUUGCUGGGUAUGCUGCCUAAUAGAGAUAUCGAGUUUGCUAUUGAGUUGCAACCAGGUACUGCCCCAAUUUCAAAGAGACCGUACCGGAUGCCACCAGCCGAGCUGGCAGAAAUGAAAGCUCAGUUUCACGAUCUGUUGGACAAAGGUUUUAUUCAUCCAAGUACAUCACCUUGGGGUGUCCCCGCCUUGUUUGUGAAAAAGAAGGACGACAGUCUGCGUAUGUGUCUGGACUACUGCCCUCUCAAUGCGGUGACGAUAGAGAACAAGUACCCACUACCCCGCAUUGAUGUUCUGUUCGAUCAGUUAGCUGGAGCUAGAGUGUUUUCCAAAAUUGACCUCCAUUCUGGCUACCAUCAAAUCAAGAUCCACCCGUGCGACAUUCCUAAGACUGCUUUCUCUACACGGUAUGGACUCUAUGAGUACUUAGUCAUGUCAUUUGGGCUUACUAAUGCACCAGCUUAUUUCAUGUACCUCAUGAAUUCGGUGUUUAUGCUCGAACUCGACAAAUUCAUCGUGGUUUUCAUUGACGAUAUCUUGGUGUACUCAAAGGAUGAGGAAGAACAUGCAGAGCACCUACAUACUGUACUCCAACGCUUAAGAGAUCACCAACAAUAUGCCAAAUUCUCUAAGUGUGACUUCUGGCUGGACAGUGUUAAAUUCUUGGGGCACACCAUAUCCAGAGACGGUAUAGCAGUAGACCCAAGCAAAGUGCAAGAAGUAAUGGACUGGAAGUCGCCCACUUCAGUUCAUCGGAUUCGAAGUUUUCUCGGGUUAGCAGGUUACUACCGUCGCUUCAUUCCUGACUUCUCAAAAAUAGCUAAGCCAAUGACGAAACUGCUAAGGAAGGGAGUUAAGUUCAUGUGGAGUGACAAAUGUGAAGAAGCCUUCCACACCCUGAGACAAUUACUGACCUCUGCGCCGGUUUUAGCUCAGCCCAACACCACUAGGCUGUUUGACGUAUAUUGCGAUGCCUCUAGCACUAGACUGGGUUGUGUUCUUAUGCAAGACAGCCGAGUCAUUGCCUAUGCCUCACGAGCGCUACGGCCACAUGAGUUGAACUACCCUACCCAUGAUCUCGAGUUAGCAGCAAUCGUUCAUGCUCUGAAAUUAUGGAGGCAUUAUCUUAUGGGAACUCGAUGCAACAUCUAUACGGAUCACAAGAGUCUUAUGUACAUCUUCACUCAAGCAGACCUCAACAUGCGCAAGAGAAGAUGGUUAGAAUUAAUCAAAGAUUAUGACCUAGAAGUGCACUAUCACCCAUGCAAAGCCAAUGUAGUUGCCGAUGCUCUCAGCCGCAAGAUCCAUUGUAACUGCUUAUCGGCAAUUAAUUAUGCCGAGACCCUCUGUCAUGAAAUGGCUAAACUCAACUUGGAAAUUGUUCCCCAUGGCACCUUAAGUCAUAUUUCUUUAGAGCCUACCCUGCUUGACCAAAUAAUUUUAGCACAACUAGAGGAUGAAGAGAUAAACCUUAUCAAGGAGAAACUCGCACAGGAGGAUGAGGGAUAUAAGCAUUUCUGAUAGGAUUGGAGAGGAGUGGUACAUUAUGAAGCUCGACUCGUAGUUCCAAAUGAUCCCGAUCUUAGGAAACAAAUUCUGGACGAAGCACACCUUUCCAAGUUCUCGAUUCACCCUGGUAGUACCAAGAUGUACCACAACCUCUGACAAAAUUUCUGGUGGAGUGGAAUGAAACCCGACAUUGCACGAUAUGUUUCAGAGUGUGAUACCUGUCAGCGAGUCAAAGCAAGCCACUUAAGGGUAGCUGGCCCCUUGCGGCCACUGCCUAUUCCCUCGUGGAAGUGGGAGGACAUAAGCAUUAUAGUCAGACUACCCAAUACCUCCCGCAAACAUGAUUCGAUAUGGGUUAUAGUAGACCGACUUACCAAAACAGCGCAUUUUCUUCCAGUACACACCACCCGCGCCAUACAGAAAUAUGCAGAACUGUACCUUGACCGGAUUGUUUCCUUGCAUGGUGUACCUAAGACGAUCAUCUCUGAUCGAGGUAGUCAGUUUGUAGCACGCUUUUGGGAGCAGUUGCAGUUUUCACUUGACACUAAAUUUAUUCGUAGUUCCACAUAUCAUCCUUAAACCGAUGGACAAACUGAAAGGGUUAACCAGAUUUUGGAAGAUAUGCUACGCGCCUGUGCCAUUCAUUAUGACAAGAACUGGGAUAAGUGUUUGCCAUUAGCGGAAUUCUCAUACAACAAUAGUUACCAAGCUAGCCUGAAAAUGGCGCCUUUUGAAGCCUUGUAUGGACGUAGAUGCCGAACCCCGCUAAGCUGGUCGCAACAGUGUAUGGACCUGACCUGGUCAUGGAGGCCGAAGAAAAAGUAAGAGUUAUUCGUGAAAAUCUCAAGGCCGCCCAGUCUCGACAAAAGAGCUAUUCCGAUCAAAGAAGAAGACCUAUCCAAUUUGAGGUUGGGGAUUUUGUAUACCUGCGGGUUUCACCGACCAAAGGCGUACAACGUUUUGGAGUAAAAGGAAAGUUGGCUCCGCGCUAUAUUGGUCCCUAUGAGAUUGUAGAAGUUUGUGGACCCGUAGCGUAUCGAGUUAAACUUCCAGAGAAGAUUGCAGCGAUACACGAUGUUUUCCAUGUCUCACAACUCAAGAAGUGCAUUCGGGUUCCAACUGAAAUCAUCGCCUCGGAAGAAUUGGAGAUUGAACCCGAUUUAACAUACAAGGAGUAUCCUGUUAAGAUCCUUGACCGGAAGGAAAGACAUACUCGUAGGCAAAUGGUAAAAAUGUACAAAAUUUGGUGGAGUAACCAUACGGAAGAUGAAGCGACCUGGGAGACGGAAGAGUAUCUCAACACUAACUUCCGCGGUUUUCUUUUCGACCAGGAAGGUACGUUGCACCGGCCACACUAGUUCCUUUCUGCACUUGAAUCUCGGGGCGAGAUUCCUUUAAGGGGGGUAGGCUGUAACAACUCUACCUAAAUUAAGUGCUUUUAAAUAUAAACCAGUGGCUAAUCACUAAGUUAAAGAAGUAAAAUGACCAUUUUAACCCUAAGAAGCUCUUUUUGGAGUUUGAAAUAAAACUUGGAAUUUUAUAUGCAAACUUAAAAUUUUGCCCAAAUAAGAGUUGUAAAACUUUCAAUUUCAAACAACUUUUGUUAAAGGAACUUUGACUAAUUCGGAGUGGGAGGAAGUCAAAAACAGCAAUCAAAACCGGAGUACUAAAGAACCCUAUAAACCUCCUAAGUCCUGGUUUUCAAAUUUUCCCUCCAACUUUGCAAGCAUUUAUCUCACGAUUUUGUAUCUAAACUCAAGUCAGGCUCUUAAUAAAAGUUGUAGUCCCUCAAGUGUGUUCCAACUUUGUUACACUAACCCAGGUCCAAAUCGGGCCAGAACCUGUUCACAAUCUUGGUCAAAGUGAGGUAAAACAGUCAACUCAUCCCCUGAGCCCCACAACGCUAAGUCUGAAAAACUGCUCAGAGUGCACCUCUUGGCGAGGGCGUUCCUCCAAAUUUUUGAACUAAACUCAAGAAAUAACCUGAAUAAAAGUUUAAGUCCUCAGUUUGGAGAGCAACUCCUUCAAUAACACUUCAGUCUAAUUCAACUUGGAAGCUGCCCUAAAUUCGACUCAAACAUAGCUAAGUUCCUGAAAUUCCACCUCUCCGGCCAAAAUUGGCUAAGUCUGGAUUUCCAGAUUUUUAGCAAACUUUGGCACGAGAUAUCUUCAAAUCCUUUCACAAUCUAAACCAGCACCUUAAACCAAGUUUGAACUACGUCCAGAGUUGAACAAGUUUGUUUAAAGGAGUUUUGGAAGAUGUGUUGCAAAAUCUUAAGUUAGGAUCUCCCAAAGCCGGUCGGGCUUGCUGCCCGAAGGGGGCCUCGACGCCCGCGCGCCAGAGCACGUUCGCCCGCGCGCCACGCGUCGCGUGGCCGCCGGCCACCGGCAGUUCGCCGGCGCCCUAUCACCGGCAAGACAACGAUAGGGCAAGGGCCACGGCGCCCAACCCGCGCUUGCGACAGGACGGUGCGAAUGCCGGGCUAGCGAACCGCCGGCCGCGCGGGUGUCCUUUUCCCCCUGCCACGGCUCUGCUCCGCCAACCGUGCUCCGCCCGUCCGCGGGAGAAGCCGCCACGCCGAUGACAUCCCGCGCCUCCGCCCGCUCGCCCAACCCCAAUGGUAGCCCUCCGCUUCGCCCGCCCGACAGACCGGAAGCCUCAGACACGCAUCGCCCAAGGCCAAUCCCCGCCGGAGACCACUCGGAGCUCCGACUCCUCUGCCCAAUGGCGCCGCUGGCCAAUGGCCGCCUCGCCCGCGCACCCGCCGCACCUGGCCUUAUCCUUCCUCCACCAGAGCCCCGCCUCGACCCUCCGCUCCACCGCUGCCCUAUAAAAAGGUCCCUCUCACCGGCAACGCCACCCUUUGCCACCACCCACAAUCGCGCCACCGCUUCCUCCUCUGCGCCGCCACUAAUCUUCCGUGGAGCUCACCCCUCCGCGCCACCCCGCACUCCGGCGACUUCACCGCUUGCUUUGCCAACCCACCGCGCACGUCUCCGAGCAGCUCGUGGCCUCCCCGACGCCGCCGAUGCGCCGGAACGUCGCCUGCACCGCCGCCAGCCAAGCUCUGUUGCCGCCGCCGCGUUCCGAUCCCCGUCGGCCAUCUCCGUCGCCCCAACCCCGCCAAACCGAGCUCAGGUGAGCCCCCGCACCUCUCCGGCCACUUGUUGCCCCAUCCUCGCCGGCGAACCGCCGGGGAUUUCCUCACCGCCGCCGCGCGCGCCCCGGGGACCACAUUGCAUCGUCCCCAUUCUUUCCAGGGGCUUGAGCGCAAAACUCAAGGACCCCUGUGUAGUUAAACCUUAAACCCAGGGGCUUGCUUGCAAGUUUGCCACGGCUUUUCUUUUAAAUAAUAGGCAGAAAUAUGGUUGAACUUUGUAAAUGCCCAGUAAAUCGUAGAAAAAUCAUAAAAAUGCCAAACCACUUUUGCUAGGAUCCUUGCUCUGUCUAGUUCCUAAGAAAAAUAAGUUUGCUCAUGUUAAUGUUGUAAAUAAUAUCCUAUGCUUUUAAUCAUGUUGUAGGCCUUUUAAAUCCUAAUAAAUAGAAAAGUGGGAAAAAUGUGGAACCAACUCUGUGAUGCUUGUUUCUAUGUGUAGAAGCUCAGAAAAAUGGUUCGGGCUCUGGUCUAGCAUUUUAAGUCACUGUUUCGACUUUAAAUUGGGAAUCUAAAUAUAAAUCUUCCUUUUUGCAUAAGUUUUGAUCUAGAGCUCAGAAAAAUGUGAAACUAGUUGGGUUAAUUUUGUUUUGCUGUGAAGUUUGCUGGAAAAAUAUAAAUUGUUGUGCAAAUCAGAAAGAAAAACACCUUCCUUGCUAAGCAUGUUUAAUUAAGAAAAGAAAAGGAGUAAAUAGUAACCUUCUCCAAAAAUUAUGAAAAAUUCACCAAAGCUCCUGUAACAUACCCUUAACACACUGCUUAAGUUUCACCCUCUGUUGCACAGUAACUUUGAAGAUGGAAAAAGUUAAGCUCAGUUUACCUUUAAUAAUAAAAUGCAUGUAACUUCUUUUUAAGUCAUCCUUUGGCCCCCAAACUUUUACAGUAACCUAGUGAUGGCUUAAGUGAGGUGCUGUAAUUUUAUCAAUGCCUUUAACUACUAUUUGGAUAUGAAGUCAUUUUGGUUAAUUAAUCAACCUAAAGGAAUAAAAGGAGAGCGCAAAUUCUAAUACGAUAAAUAAGUGGACACUGAAAGAGGUACAUCAAAACAUUCAGAAGUAAGUAAUUAUUCCAAUGCACCCAAACCACCCAACACGACCUUUCACACUCUUUAUGCAACUCUAAAUGCAAGAAAGCUAUAUAUGUACACAAUCGCCAUUCAACGCGAACUCAAGUUUAAAACGACCACUUUCGUUUGAAGUUAAAAGAAAGUAAACCUCUCCAAAGUGUUUGUGGCUGUUGUGACUCUUGUCUUAAGCCAUGCCUUGUGUCGUUGAAUAAACGCGCGAGUCCAACUAAAUUUUUGCAUGUGCAUGUCGUAUAGAAGCAAAUCUCGCCGACGGAACCUACGAGCUCCACCCGGCACCAGAGAAAGACCCCGCUGCGGAGCUUCACCACUUGGAAGGCGAGCCCAAACCGGAGCAAGAUCCUAAGGACCCGCUAACUUUUCCUGAAGGCAAGCCCCGGAGCAUAAAUUCCUAUAUUUGAAUACUUGCAAUAUUAUUGAACACUUUGAUUGCGCAUUUACGUUUAUAGGAGUUGUAAUGAAACCUUAGAUGCAUGUACUAGUUGCUAAAGUCGAGUAGUUGCAAUGCUUAAUAGGUUCCGGUAAAAGUCGAGUGAUUUCCUAUCACUCGCGAGUUAUAAGAGUUGAAUGUUUACUUAUGUUGCAACUAUAAGGACGAUGGACAGGGUCGGGCUUAUGUUCGAUACUUGGUGAUUUUCCCCGUCUGUCUAAAGGAAAUUUAUCUAAGGUCGAAACGUGUCGGCGUUCGUGAUCAAGUGUUUGAAAGUACUAAUCUCAUACCUAGUAUGGGAUGGGGAAGCCUAGUACCUGAUUGAACUGGGGCGUGGCAUACUCCCCCGGCUGUCCUUGGAACACCGUUCCCAUGGUGCAUCAUGUGGGUGCAAGUGCGGUUAUAGUACGGCAGAGGCCGGGAUUAUGGAGCAUUGCAUGCCAAUGGCAAUUGGCCCUGACACGUGCCUAAGGGAUUGAUGGGGACGGCUGACAAAUGAAGCGACCCUUCGUGGUGCGCAGAUGUCGUGAGAUUAGGUUCGCCAUGCAUGGUUAAUAAAUUCAAAUCGAUUCGGCUGCCUCUCACAGUUUGGGACUACUUGAUCGCUAUUCUGCACUAAGUAACAAUGAAACAUGAUUAUGAGAUUAAGUUGAUGCUUGUUAUUUAACUGCUUGGAAAUCAUGCUUGUUUAGCAUAAGUGGCUAAUCUAGAAUGGUUAAAGAACGUAGAACUUGAGCUAAAAUAUUGAAAGUAAGGACCGAUUGUAGACGCUUGUGGCAAAGAAAUCGCAGAGCCAGGAAGCCUUGCAUGUCUAGGUCUUGGUAAAGCUUUUCACUCGACGGGUCAGUCUUGUUGAGUAUUAGUUGCUCAGCCUUGUUGUGGCUUAAUCUUUUCCGGUGAUGUCAAUAGUUUGGUUGCGGGCACCACUUGGCCUACCCAGCUCCCUCCGGGCUGGACAGUCGAGUGGGAUCCCUCCUCGGACGGCGAGGGAAGGGAUUUUUGAUGUCAUGAUUGGCUCCGUCGUGAUGUCAUGUAUCGACGUUUAGCUUCCGCUUUUUUUAUCUGACUUUUCGAACCUUGCAACUUGUUUGAAUUUUCAGAAACUCUGAUGUAAUAAUUUGUGAAACUAAGUAAUGUGAUGGAAUGUUGUAAUCUCUGUGCUACUCACCUUCGUGUGAGCGAUACUUCUCGAUCCUAUUUAGGUGGUUCAUCGGAUGAAAUCCGACGGUCGACCAGGUUGACUUGCUUAAAGUGCAUGAUCGUGUGUCAGGCGACUUCAAUGCAUUUUAGUCAGGUUAAUUUGGGCGGUUCCGCCACAGCAAGCCCCCGAGGACGAGGACCGGCAAAGCCAUGAACGCACGCUGACCAGAGUUAGGCGUCCAGCCCCCGAGCAUGAGCGCAAGGACUGGUGGAAGCACGUCGAGUUGCCUCCCGCCCUAAGCCGAGGCAGAGAGGUUGGCUGGGCGACGGGCGACACGUGGAGUCAUCUACGGUACCUAGCCGCCGAGCCUGGGAGCAGGACGAGUUGCAAAAGCAUGCCAAGUUGCCUCUUGCCCUGAGCUAGCAAGGUCGACCGGGUGACGGGAGGCACGCCAAGUCAUCUGCGGUGCCCAGCCCCCGAGCCUUGGAGCCGGCCGAGCCACAGAAGCACGCCAAGCCGCCUCCCGCCCCGAGCUAGAGAGGUCAGUCGGGCAAUGGGAGGCACGCCGAGUCGUCUGCGGUGCCCAGGCCCCGAGCCUAGGAGCCGGACGAGCCACAAAAGCAUGCCAAGUCGCUUCCUGUCCUGAGCUAGAGAGCUCGGCCGGGUGACGGGAGGCACACCGAGUAGUUUUUUGAGCUGUAAAAGGACAAUACAAUCAUUAUGUAGCAUAAUGUAGAUUAUUUAAUCAUUGAACAACUCGGAAGUUUAAUACGCUGUAGAAGUAAACUCUUGCUAAUCCUGCUCUUGUAGGCCAAGUAAAUUCCCCAGGUAGUUAGCUUAUUACGUUCAAGCACCUAGCCCUACUAACCACUGCUCAUGGAGAGGAUAGUUUAUCUCAGGCUAUAGCGCUGGGGCUGACCUGAUGCUCGCAUAUAGGAGACGCGCAGGAUGAGUCAAGGUUUCACGGAUUAAGGCGUGUGCUACCCGAGUACUUUAGCAACCGUUAACAGGGACGGAUAAGCCGCAAAGCAACUGGAGCUAUGCAAAAAAGCACCAGCAUGAGCUGGGCACCCAUGGGGUGUAGCCCCCGGCCGCCCGUGUAGUGGGUGGACCAAGCUGUAUAAGUAGGCACGGUGCGACCAAGGUGGUCGGCGAAAGUCACGAGGACAUAGGAGAGCUGAGGUGGUCGACAAAAGUCACAGGAACAUGGAGGAGCCGAGGUUUAUGUAGGUAUACGGAAGUCGUAAAAUAUUUAAUUAUAAAUAAGACUUAUCCUUAUUUGUGGUCAAGUCAAAAAACCCGCGUGUCAUCUUCGCGUUUAGGCUUAGAAGCCCCUGAGCGUGGUCGUCGGAUAGUUGUUGGUGAAGCAAACUAGUUGGGCAUGCCCAACUAAUUCAUGUCGAGGCCGAGUUGUUGGAGUUGUUAGCGGCACGUUUGUGGUAUGCUACUGCCGAGUCGAUGCGGCCAUCGGGUCGUGGCCGGCUGGCCGCCACGCUCACAGUACAACAUGCCUAGGUUGUGCUGCCAAACCAAGGGUGCAUGUAAAUCUUUCCGAAGCUUGUAAGGAAGCCCUCACAUAUUAAGGAACUCUAUACCUAAUACCAUCAUGGUUGUUUUGCAAAAAAGUCUCUCAACUUUUUUGUAAUCAACCCGCAGUCUUUGGAAUGUCUUGAAGAUUGUGCAAAAAGAUCCCCAAACUUUACUGCAAUUGGCCAUCGAAGCUCCCACAGCGUGCACCUAUGCCACAUGCGGUGCGGACGGGUGUGCCGGCUGCGACUGCAAGCUCCUCGCUGCGGCAGGGACCAGGUCGAGCAGCGACAGCAAUGACGAAGGGGAGUAGUCUGCGUCUGCGUGCCAUGCCACCGUCACCGGGCAAGCUGUGGUAGCGGCGGAGUGGGAGAGUGAGUCCAUUGGCGUGUGGAGGGUGCCGUGGGGCAGGUGGGUGGCGGAGAUCUGCAACCCACACCUCGCUGUGUGCAAGUGGCUCAGCACCUUCGACACCACUGAGGACGCCGCGCGUGCCUACAACGUCGCCACCGUCGAGUUCCGAGGCUGCUGUGCCAAGCUCAACUUCCCCGACGAUGCGGCUCUCGCACCUGCACCUUCCUAGGUGCUGACCUCGACAUACCAACACCACCACCACCUGCCGCAGCCGCUGCUCGAGAGCCUGCACGAGACCUGCGGGUCGAACGCAUCCUCAUCAGUGGACGUGGCUCUUGUGGUAGCGGCACCGACUGGGCAGCACGACACGAGGCCGGUGCCGAAGGAGCAGGACAUAUGGGACACGCUAAACGAGUUCAUGAUGAUGGAUGACGGUAGCUUCUGGUCGCCCAUGCCAUGAUCGUCAUAUUCUCCUCUUGUCUUCACUUUCGUUGCUUAGCAGAUAAUGGUGGUCAGCUGCCCUCUAGUCUGUCGUCAAUCGCCAGCCAUCCAUUGCUUUUAUAUGGUUUUACACUAGCUUUUGGGCUUUGAUCACACCUCCACACCCAUACGAAACGACUAGCUAGAGCGAUGUUGAUCUACUGCCUACCGCGCGCUAGGGCGAGCAGCUACUCACUCGGGCUGCAUGCCCUACCCACCACCUGGACCUAAGAGGUGAAGGAGAGAGGAGGAAGGGGGAAGGAAACAAGGAGCCGAGUGCCUCUUUGUAGUCAACCAAGUAGAGCCAUAUGCUAGUGAAGGCAUGGCGCCAGCGAGGGGGGCGCAGCGGCAGUCGGCAGGCAACGCAAACAGGGGCGGAGGUCGAGACCUCACACCCCCCUCUCAAUGACGUCCAUCCCCUUCAGAUCCGGAACUAAAGCCUCCACACCUAGCAAUUGGGGGCUCGAUUUUGCACUUGAUUGGAACGAUUUGGAGUGGAUUAUAGAAGGGAGGUGGAUGGAAAUGAGAAGAAGAGGAAAACGCACUCCUGCUCAUGGUGGCCAGAGGCACUGUGGCCUAGCGCUCAAAGCGGGAAUGAGGCUAGGCACGGGAAGGACGAGCGUUUGCCUGGGCGACGACGAGGAUGGCAAGAUGCGCAGCGCUUAGACGACGGUGAAGAUGGGGCAAGAUGUGGGUGGCACCGAUGGACGAAGAGGCAUCGACUGGUUAGAUGAUAAUGAGUACGGGGAAAAUUGAAUGAAUUUAUAGAGCGGUGGUUGAGCGGUGAUUUUUUUUGUUUCCAUGUGUGGGUCCCACGUAAUAAACAGAUGGCAUCAAACCACCCACAAAUAUCUUCUACUACUGUACUCGGACACCGCACCAACAUAUGGUGAAGUGAAGCUAACAUAUUAGAAACAAGCGAAUAAUAAUGUGAGAGUAAGUAAAGACCUGUAGUAACGUACGGGUAUUUCUGCUAGUAAGAAAAAAAAUUGUUAGUAAGCACCGAGCAACGUAGGAGAUCUACUGGAUGGAAUAGAUUAAAUAAUAAAGGGAAGGGAGAAUUGUUCUCUUUUUUUUCCGUGGCAGAUCUGACGUGUGUGCAUGCAACAAGUUGAGGUCGACGUGUCGUGCUAAAUCAACCAGAUCGUACCGGGGCUGGAUCAGGCGAGCUUGGUUGUGGCCGGGAUGAGGCCAAUAAGGGCGCCGCCCUUGACCUUGGCCUCCUAUUCCUCGCGGAUCUUCUGCAUCUGGAGCAUCCGCUCCAUGAUGAGCUUGUACUGGCACUUCUCGCAGGCGUGGCGCUCGGGCUCGCACUUCCAGCGGAGGUAGAACUGGGAGGUGCACGCACUGGUCAUGGUAGGCGAGUGGAACCCGAGCCUCCGCCAUCUCCACCUGCGUGACGAUCUGGAGCUUCGAGGAGCCGAACUGCACGCCGCCCGCCGCCUCCAUCUGUCACUUUGUUCCCCUCUCUCUCACUGGCGAGGUCGUUCCGUCGAUAUAUGGGCGCUGCGGGUUUGGUGCGGCGUGGGUGGGUAGGGUGCAGCAAGGAUGUGAGGAACCCUCUCGGAUAGAGAGAUUGCUGACCUACUGGGUAAGCGGUGUGAUGAUCCUUGGAUAGAGAACUUGCUCCACCAGAGUAAAUCUGACAGAUGCCGAGCUGGCGGCGGGCACCAAGUCGAAGUCCACUGACAUGCUCCUGAAGCGAAGCUGGAUCGGGUUGGUGAGAAAGUCCUUCAUGCUCUCAGGGAAAGUAAUGCCGGGGCGGGAUGCAAUCAAGCUCGCUAGGGAGGAUCUCACAAUCAUCCCUACCUGGCGCGCCAACUAUUGGAUUUAUAAGCCCGAUAGUCCACCAGGGGGUUACCCAAGUUGUUGAUUUGUAGGUGAGGGCGAUUGCGAAACCAAGAACUCUAAGGUGAUCGUGAAAACACGAAGGGACACGAAGGUUUUAGAUAGGUUGGAACCUCCGAAGAGUAAUACCCUACGUCCUGUAUGCUGGUUUGUAUUGCUUGAGAUUGAUAUGAUUGUUGGGAUACCCUUGGGGGUGCCCUUGGCCGCUUUAUAUAGGCUGACGAUCAAGAGUUACAAGUCAGUUUGAAUCUAAUCUACUCGAUAGUUACAUGGAAAGUAAUCUGAGUAGGACUAUAAUACGCGUUCCAUGAUAUUCGGCAUGUUUGAAUUGUCUUGUUGCUUUGACGUGCACUCCAAGUAACUUCAUGUCCUCAGCCCGUACGCCUUGGUCGAGUGGGCCCUACUUGUCAGGUAUGACCAGUAUCCUGAGGUACCCAUAUCUCUCACCUUGGUGCUCCGGCGAUUAGGGUCGGCAACGAGGAUGGGGAUUGGAAGAGGAGAUCGAGGGGACUUUAUGGAGAUGCUUACCGGCGGCGAGGUGGACGGAUUCCGGCUAGAAUUUGGCUGGCGGUGGAAGAACACGGCAACUGGCUCAGGUCUUCGCGAGUGAUGGUACUCCGGCGGUGGAGCGGCGACGAAGAAUGGUGGCAGAGCUGCUCCUCGAUGUCACGGAGCUCCCUAAGGCUCUAGCUUUCUUCGAUAGUCGACGGGCAUAGUGAAUCGGCCAGAGAAGGCUAGCAGCAGCUCCUAGCUCCGGCGGAUGUGGGGGAUGGCGGCGCUCGUGCAAGUAGGGAAGAGCGGCGGUGUGAGGCAGGGCAGUAGCAGGGGCACUGUCUCGACUUUUAUAGGUGUGUGGGUCCGCGCCUGCCUUGGCACGCACGCCGAGGUUCGGCGGUGGCGACGCCCAAGUGCAGCUACGCUUGGCCUUGACCCGCUAGUGGCCGAUGGGCCUAGCGAGCCUAGCCGAGCCAUCAGCUGGGCCGAGUCGGUGCAGGUUGGCUGGAGAGGGUCGGGCUACAAAGACUUGGCCCGAUCGAUUAGGAUUUUGCUUUUUUAGAAAUGAUUUCUCAUGAAAGAAAAAUCUAGAAAAAUUCUAGAUAAUUAAUUUAAAUAACGAAAAAAACCCUAAAAAUCCAAAAUUCCAGGAAAAAUCCUAGAGAUAGUUUGGGACAUGAGGAGUCCAAAUAAAAUACUUGGAGCUCAUGAAAAGGAUUCUAGAACCUUCCAAAAAUUGGAUUUAGCUAUAGAAAAAAUGAGAAUAAAUCUCAAAAAAUCUGGAAAUUCUCAUAAGAACCUAAUCGGCAUCUAAACGCAUUCCAAAAUAUUUGCACUUAUGAAAUACCAAGAUGCAUCGGUAUGAAUGCAACACAUACGGAGAACCAUUAUAUUUAAUUCAGAAAAACACUCAAUUAUUUCCCUAUACUAAAUUUCCUGUCAAGAAAAUAAAUGUUGGAAAAAUUUUAAAAUUAUGAGAAAAACAUUGUUUAAUUAUUAUUUUUAAUCUGAAAGUUCAAAAAUUUUAAGGUGUGGCAGAUACCCUCAGGUUUACAGAAUUUGACAUCCAUGUGCAAAUUGGAUGUAUCCUUCAAUGAUCUGCAAGGUGAAGUGCCAAUAGGGCUUUUUUUUUGCAAAUGCAUCUUACAUGUCGGUUUAUGGAAAUGAUCAGCUUUGUGGUGGAAUACGUCAACUUCAUUUAGCUCCAUUCUCCAUGUCCAGUGCAAAAAAGAAAAAAAAGGAAAUUUGUCGAAAACCCUUGUGAUCACCCUAACAUCAAUCAGUGCAGUUGUAUUCUCAGUUUCAGUACUUGCUGUAAUUGUGUUGAUCUGUAAGAAGCUUAGGAAAAGGCAUGAAAGUCAACUCAUAUCCACAACUGAGGAACGGUAUGAAAGAGUUUCUUAUCAUGCUUUGUCAAAUGGGACCAAUGGAUUUUCAGAGGACAAUUUACUUGGACAAGGAAGCUAUGGCAUGGUUUAUAAAUGUACUUUACAUGACCAGGGUACUACUGUAGCUGUAAAGGUGUUUAACAUAGAACAAUCUGGGACUUUUAGAAGUUUUGUCGCUGAAUGCGAGGCACUCAGAAGGGUGCAUCACCGUUGUCUCGUAAAGAUCAUCACUUGUUGCUCAAGCAUCAAUCACCGGGGUCAAGAGUUCAAGGCACUAGUUUUUGAGCUCAUGCCAAAAGGUAGCCUAAAUGGUUGGCUUCACGCAGAGUCUGACACACUUACCCCGACAGAUACUCUGAGCCUUGAACAAAGGCUACACAUUGCUGUCGAUAUCAUGGAUGCUUUGGACUAUCUUGAUAAUCACUGUCAGCCAUCAAUCAUUCAUUGCGAUCUCAAGCCAAGCAACAUCUUUCUUGCGGAAGACAUGAGUGAGUGCCCGAGUUGGAGGUUUUGGCAUAUCAAGAAUCCUUCCAGAAAGUGCUAGUAAAACCCAGCAAAAUUCGAAUAGCACAACUGGAAUAAGAGGCACCAUUGGUUAUGUUGCACCAGGUAAUGAAAGAGAUGGUUUUGGUAUUUGAAAAAUGUUCUUAGUUCUUAUGUAUACAUGAGCUGCUGACCUUUGGCUUUUUUUUUUCCAAUAAGAGUAUGGUGAAGGUUCUUCUGUCUCAACUCAAGGUGACGUUUAUAGCCUCGGCAUAUUGCUGCUUGAGAUGUUUACUGGAAGGAGCCCAACGGAUGAGAUAUUCAAUGAUUCUUUGGAUUUGCACAAGUUUUCAGAGAAUGCUCUUCCAGAGAGAAUAUGGGAUAUAGUUGAUCCGACAAUAUGGAUGCACACAGAUGCCUAUAACAGCACUAUAAGAAGUGGAAUUAAGAAUUGCUUGGUUUCUGUUGUUUCUCUUGGAAUAUCAUGCUCGAAGAAACAACCUAGGGAGCGGAUCCCGAUUCAGGAUGCAGCCAUUGAGAUGCACGCUAUUAGAGAUUCGUAUCUCAAGUUUGCCAGAUCUCUUUUGGUGGAGCAUGGAGUAGUAGCAACAACUCACAGUGAUUUCCCACAACAGUGAAUACAUAGGACUGAAAAUGGGCAAGAUGUCUGCAGGUGAUCAGUUUACCUGAAAUAACUGAAGAUGUAUGAAGCUUCAGCUUUAUAAUUCGUCCUUGCAUUUGUUUGCAUCAGAUAUAUGGAAGUAUAAAAUAAGUUUAGAAAAUGUUUCAAAAUAGAUUAGAUCAAGAGGUUUUACUUGUCGUCUGUAUGACACAUUUUUUGUAGAGAAUUCAGUAAUAUGUAUGAUUCAUAAUACAAUCAAUGCUCUGCAAAUUUCAGAUAGCACAAUUGGAAUAAAAAGCUCAUUCAUUGAUUAUGUUGCUCUAGGUGACUCAACUUAUUGUGAUGUUCACUGUAGAUUUCUCCAUGGUCCAAACGACCAUUGUGAUCAGUUAUGUUUAUGCAUUUUGUAGACUUGUUAAGUCUUUCCCUAACUUGCUGACAUAUCAGCCGGAGCAGAGCACUCUGCCAUUCUGCGCCACUCGCCUCUAGGCGGCGCUUGCCGCUUGGUGGCUGCGGUGGCGACCGGCGGCAUCCGUACCUGCUCUGUCGGAGGCUGAGGGGCACAAUUACGUCUUGGAGUCGCCACCGCGCGACCUUCGGAGCUCGCCCAUGCCUCGUCGGUACGAGCUCAGUCGCGCGGUGAAUGGCAUGCGCAUCUGGGGUCCCGUCAGCUGCAGGUGCAGAUGGGUAGAGAGCUUAGCUGCGCUAGGUCUUCAGAAGAUGUUGAGUGGGCUGGAUGGGGCUUUGCGGCUCUGAAUGGCGACGCGGGCAGGACGACGACGCUGGACGCGUGGGGAGGAGACGACCUGAACCAGGGGCAUUUCGGAUAAUAGUCGGAUCGCGAUCAAUAAUCGCAAUCCAAAUUAGGGGGCUAUUUACAAAUAAUAGGGGGUAUUCCGUAAAUAUUCGGUUCGCGAUCAUUAAUCGCGAUCCAAAUGAGGGGUUAAUUGAAAAUAUGAUGGGGGUGUCUUUUGAAAUUCCGGAUUGCGAUCCCAUCCUCCGCCGCGGCUCGCCGGAGCGCCGCCAGACGCCGGCCGUCCCUUGGGGUACCUCUUCUUCGUUCCGUCUGUCGGAGCCCUAAGACGCGGUCGGUGUUUUAUCUGACAAGGAACCCUGAAGUCCGAACUAACUGAAGAAAGACAUGAUGCUGACCUGGAAGAAGAAGACGGCCUCGCCAUGGCCGGAUGCGGCGCGGUGGAAGGACAGUGUGUUGGCGGAGCGGAUGUUGUCCGACGUGAACUCGCCAGCGGCGUGGUCCACCACAUUCCGUCGACGGGCGGUGCACUUGCUGUCGCCUGUCGGCUACUUCCAGGCAGUAGCUGAGCUUCAGAGUUCAGACAGGGUGCUUGUGCUUGCAACAAGUUCAGAACGAUGUCAUUGCUUUGAUGCAGAGGAUGGAGCAAACCGGUUGCAAAUUGGAUUCUGAUACAUAUAACUUAAUAUUGAACCUUUAUGUCGAUUGGAAAUAUGAGAAGGGGUGCCCCAAAUAUGGGAUGAGAUGGAGAGGAGUGGAUCAGGCCCAGAUCAACGAUCAUUUACUAUUAUGGUUCAUGGUCUUCAUUCCCAAGGAAAGCUUGAUGAGGCUCAACAAUGAAGUCAAGAGGGUUGAUCCCUGAACCAAGGACCAAGAUACUGGUGAAAGCUAUACAUAUGAAGAAAGAUGGGGCUGUCACAGAAGAUCAGUCUGUAAAUAUGACAGGGAAGAAUCUAAAACUGGAUCCACGAUCUAGACUAUUCCAUGUUCAUAAAUAGUUUGCUGUCAGAUCUUACUUCUAUAACCUGAACAGAGGAUUGCUGGGCACGUAUUAUGUGUCAAAAGAAUCUCUUCUACCAGUGUCCUGAUCACAAUGGCCACACCUUGGGCUACAAUAAAUCAUCAGCAAAGUGUGUUGGCAUUAUGUAUCCCAGAAAGUUUUGCUCAGACUUUCAAUGCCAGGGUAUGUUUUUUAUGUCUGAUAUGGAUCAAUUAUAUUGCAAGUACUGUAUUACACCCUCGUAUUAUGAAGGUUAUGUGAAAUAUGACAGAUGUUUGUUUAUUCAUUUGUUAUGCAUGGCUGUGUCUACUAUCUAGUUGUUGGCUUGUUGCCAACAUAUGCAGCAGCAGGUAGCUUCAGCCGCUCAGAAGCCCAAAUGAAGAAUGGUCCAGGCAGAAUAGCUAGUCUAGACCCAGAAAGCUUAGGACAUGUCUUGCCAGCCUGCAGUUUUGUACUCGUAGCACCAACCAUCUCCGGGUUCUGGCCGGUUAUAUACAUGGUCUGGAAUGGGCAUCCGCUGAUCGAUUGAAACCUUGAACUGCUUCCGUGUUUGUCUUUUACCAUCUAUAUAGUAUGGUUAGUCAACGGCAUGCAAUACACCCAUGCAUAUGAUUGCAGUAGGAUGACAUGGCGUGACCAGAACCCUUCUUUUGCCAGUUUUUUAUUCUUAUACACGGCCAACAACAGGGAGUUGCCGAUUGCAAUACACCCAUGCUACUAACGCAGCAGGGAGUUGCAUGCUAAGCAGUUCAGCGUAGGUGGUGAGUUCUCAACUCUGAUAUGGUUUAUGGAAGAACACUGUCACGGUGUCACCUAGCCGGUUGGAGGCCAACCUCUUACUAGGGACAGCAAUGGCCCUGUCCACUGUUUCGUGGCUGGUAUUAUUACCCCUAUGCAGUGAAUAUGACAUGUGGAUCUAUGUGUAUAUUAUGUCGCCAGAAGAACAUUAUAUGAACCGUUGAGCCACCUUUGAUUCUAUUAAUGUGUCAUGGUCAAUUGAUGUCAAACUCUAUUAUCUUCAAGUCUUAUUGUAUUGAUAAAAUCACGAUGCUGCUACUGCCAUUUUGAUGUUUAUAAAAGGGUAUUGAGAACCUGGUGGGUAUCCAUUCGAUGCGCAGGGGUGAGGGUGGGGAAAAAUGAGUGUAAAGGACAGGGAUACAGUAUUUAGAAAGAUGGGGCUGCCACAGAAGAUAGUCUCCAAGUACGGCAGGGAAGAAUCUAAAAACUGAUUCCUUGAUCAAGACUGUCCCGUAUUCAUAAAUAGUUCACUGACAGAUCUUGCUUCCAUAUUCUGAACAGCUGAUGCUGGGUACAUAGGAGGUUAACCGGUCAGCGGAUCGAAGGAAAAAAAAAUCUUGCCUGUCAGUGUCCACAAUGGCCUCAUCUUGGGUUAGAGACAAUCAUCCCUAAAGAAUCAUAUUGCCGGAUAAGGUUAUCAGUGAUUGGUAGGUGCAGAUCCAUGCUCAUCCUAGAAACAAGCCAGGGCUGAAUGCGCCACUCAUUUUAGGUGCUUGGAUGUUGUGACCGAAAUGAUCGUGUGUUUAAUGGAGUUUCCCAUAGUGACUAGCGUACAGGCUGUCCUCGUAUUCGAGAAAAAAAAUAAUGGGCGAAAUGUUUUCACCCAGGUAAUUGUUGCAUUGUAUGAAUAGGCUUAGUGGUUGGUGGGUGCAGAGUAUGAAUGUGCUUGUACUGUGACACAAGAAGAUUUAUCAUAUCUAUGUAUGAAUUAGUAUUAAAUCUGCUACAUAAAUAUCUUCUCUUAUCUCAUUGUAUGUGUAUAUAUGACACAGAAGCACAUGUAUAUCAGCAUUGUAGAGAGAGAUGAGAGAGAAGCUUAUCUGCUUUUUGGAGAUAAAUAUUCAAAUUGUGGUGUAUGAGAAGGAUAGAAUUAUUCUAUCAAAUUGUUUAUUCAACAUCUAAAAAGAUUCCAUGUUUAGUCAUCUAUAUCGGCAUUGUAGAGAGAGACUAGUGUUCAACUGGUUGGAAGGAUGAGAGAGAGAGGAGAGAGAGAGGAUGAAUAGUGUUCAGCUGGUUGGAAGGAUGAGAGAGAGAGAGGAGAGUUUCGAUGAUAGAGAGAUUAGUGUUCACCUGGUUGGAAGGAUGAGAGGGAGAUGAGAGAGUUCGGAUGAGGAGGUGGAGAGUUCGGAAGAGAGAGAGGUGAGAGUUCGGAUGAGAGAGAAACAGCUUAGAAGGAUGAGAGAGAGAAAGUGAUAUUUAGCUGGAUGGUGGAGACUUCAUAUAUUACUAACUAGCAAGGUGUCCGUGCGUUGCUACGGUGAAACGACGUUGCUUAGCACGCGAUGUUUUUUAUCGUGUCGUGUAGCGCACCAUAUUUUUUAUCGUGUUGUGUAACUUUUUUAUUUUAGUAGUAUUAGACUUUUCAUAUAUAAAGGGUCACGUGAGUGUGUCCAUAUCCCAACCGUGCGGAAACCGCUUGCCAUCGAACUUGUUAUCUCUUUCUCUAUCUUGAGAUUGGUAUGCUUCUACAGCAAUUCUGCACAAAGAAGGCCCCACUUCGCCCCGUUCCCGCCGUCCGGUUAGUCCCACGCCUACCCUCUCCCUCUCUGAUCCUCGCUGUCGGCUCCUCGAGGUCCAGGUCGGGCUUGUGAUGUAGCGGCCUGUUAUCCUUCCACCAUUGGAAGCGGGUAGUGAUCGCUGCUCUGUGAACCCUGCCUCACGCCGUUCCUACCACUCCAGGUCCAGUGAAGCCUGAGCUUUCGCUUGGACAAACAGCCACUACCAACUUGGAACGGGCAGGGCCAGCAAGGGCAUACAAUGGACCCAAGCCCUCCGCACCCAAACAUCCACACCACUUUAAUGCCUCCACUUGGGUUACAAGCCCGCGCAACCAAGCUCGGUGAGGAUGACUCGUGAGGAUGAACAUUUAAGUUGGUGUGGCGCUGCUUCAGAUGGCGAGGUGGUACUAAUCUAAGGAAUAGGAAAAUUUCACAUGGGUCCCACACCGCACCCAGCCCUAUCCUUAUCCUUUCUCAUCUCUCUAUCGUCCGUCCGGUCCUUAUCCUCUUCAUCUCAUCUCUCUCUCUCUCCCUAUCUCUCUCUCAAACUCUCUAUCUCGCCUACCCCCUCUUUCUCUGGAGAAGGCGGUGCACGGCUGGCCCCAGUGAUGGCCUGGGGGCGCGGGGUGCCAAUAGCGGCCGAGGGUUGUAGGGCUGCGGCGAGGAGCCUCCCAGCCGUGGAUGCGACGGCCUAGCCAUGGGCACCGGGCAGGCGGCUCUGGCACGACCGGCUGGGGCGGGCAGGGAGAGGCGAACAGCAGUGCUACGACGUCACGAAGAGGCGGACGUCGGGCAUGGGCGGGUGAAAGGGGAGACGGGGAAAGAAAGCUAGACCCACCUAUCAAUGCGUUAAUCUUACCUAUUAUUAAACAUCAGGGCCACCUCUCGUUGAUAGAAGUUGGACCAAACAAGAAAAAGUGGGCAGAAGUGUUCCUCACUUUAAUAAUAAUAAUAAUAAAGUAUAGAUAAUGCAUCCAAACAACAUUCGAAAUUUAAUUUUAAAAAAAACUUUCUCGGUACAUCCAAACAAGAAAAUUCAAUUGAAUUAAAUUCUACUAAAUCCAUUUCUUAUGGAAUCUAAUAGCUAGAAUAUGAUUCAUGGGAUGAGUUUCAACUCUAGGGAUCUAAACAUGCCCUUAGUUAUUUCUUAUGUAGCUCAAAUCAGAUGCAAGGUAUGUCCUAACUAAAAAACGUAAGUUACUUUGUGUUAUCUCGUGAAUCAGUGAUUAAUUACUUCCGAUCACUAGUAGAGAAUUGGCUUUCGAUGCGCCCCCUUUUGUCCCGGUUUAAAGUUGGCCCGGGACAAAAGGUUCACCAACCGAGACUAAAGCUCGGUCACUGGUGGGGGGCUCACCAACCAGGACCUUUUAUCCCGGUUGGAAAGGCUAGUGGGAAAAAAAGAUCAUGAGAGGCUUUUUAUCCCGGUUUGAAACACCAACCGGGAUAAAAGACCCAUCUAACUAUAUAGGGGAUGUUACCAACCAGGAUAAAAAGGGUCGAGAGCCUUUUAUCCCGGUUUGUAAUACCAACUGGGAUAAAAGGGGGUCAUUUAUCCCGGUUGGUGUUUCAAACCGGGAUAAAAGGGUCCCAACGAGGUGACUGAAACAUGACUAAAUCCUGAACCCUUUUAUCCCGGUUUGUAAUACCAACCGGGAUAAAAGGGGGUCUUUUAUCCCGGUUGGUGUUUCCAACCGGGAUAAAAGGGUCCCCCACAAGUUAAUACAAAACGAUAACAUCCCCUAUAUAGUUAGAUGUGGUGUGUAGGUGGGAUGGCAAGGAAGCUACGCGCGAGGCUGGAGGUUGUGGGUUCGAAUCCCAUGCAGCGCGCACGCGCAUAUUUCGCGUGGAAAAUCGCGUGACUUGCGACGCGCGUGUGGGGGGCCUCCUGGGAGCUCGGAAUUUCUUUUUUUUGUUUUAUCCCGGAUGGAUUUUCGGAAGAUUUGCACCCUACCAAUCGGGACUAAAGGUCAAUUCUCUACUAGUGAAUCUUAUGUAAAAAGAACUACGAGUUAAAUUCUUUGUCAGAUUUAUACUGACAAGUUACAAGCACAUGCCUCUGCAGUAACAGGCCAGCCCUAGACUAGCGGGCAAACAAAAACAACAUGAUUCGUCAACUGAUCGAAUGUUAAUGACUAUUUUGCUAGGAGAAUGAACAUGAUUCAUAAAAAAAGGGGAGCUACUAACUUGGUCAAGGUCUCCGUCCUCUAGCGUGGCGAAGGGGCCAUCUUGCUCCACUCCACGUCUGCGUGGUUGCUAGGUGGGCGCGACGGCGGCUGCGGAGUGCGGACGGGCGCGUAGAUGUGUCAUUGUUGAUCAGGACAUGCGCUUCUAUCACCGUCUGUGGUUGGCGUCCGCGGCCGAGCGGGUCAAGGUCUCCGUCCUCUAGCGUGGGGAAACAGGAUCUCUUCAAUCAGUGCUUCUACAGAAACGGUGCACGGUCACCACGGACCAACGACAUACCAUGAGAAAAGCGGAGCUAAAUGUUGCAGUAGCAGAGUAACCGGAGACUGGAGAGCACUUGCUGCUAAAAGCUGCCUCUUAUUUUGUAUCGUCUUUAACAGAAGACUUUAAGUCAACCGCCAUUCGAUUCCAAUAUAAACUAGCAAGUUGGCCCGCGAUGAUAGCACGGCUAGAUUUGAUACAAUAUAACUUUUUUAAAUGCUAUGUUAGCUUAGUAUAUUUCUUCGUCCCUCUUGAUUUGUUUUUCAUCCUCUUGAAAUCACUUAGUAUACUUAGGUGCCUUACUCUACACAUUGAGUAUCAAGCCAUAUGUGUAUAUUUGUUUUUUUUUGCAAAUGAACUCCGAUGCCACAUGUGCAUAUGCACGCCUAAUUAAAAUUGCUCACUUGUAACAAAAUAACAAGAGUAGUUGAUUCUGAUCUUAUGUUGCAGUUUUUGCCAACUUUUCCUAGUAUUAUUGUGUUGAGUAGAAAGCCUGUGUAGAAAAAGAUACAAAACAAACAAUCGUGUUAACUACUCCCCAUACUUGCUCAAAUGAUUUUGAAAAAUAAAAACAACCGCGCUCUAAGUCCUAGGUGGUGAUAUUCCUCCUUACUUUCCUCCUCUCGUUUUCCUUGCACAAUCGAGGAUGACAAAUACCACAAACCACUUAGGCUCGAUCAUGUUUCAUCAUCACAUUCCUCAAAUCUUGAUCACGUUGUUGUCUUCAUUAUGCUAGCAGUACACAUCUCUCCGCCUCUUCUCACUGGUAGAGAAUUGGCCUUUAGUCCCGGUUGAUAGGGUGCAUAUCUCUCGGAUAUCCAUCCGGGAUAAACCAACCGGGACAAAAGGGAGGGUCUUUAGUCCCGGGUCUUUUAACCGGGAGUAAAGGUCCUCCUUUAUUUCCCAACCGAGACUAAAGGGUUACCCUUUAGUCCCGGCUGGAUUCCAACCAGGAGUCCCGGCUGGAUUCCAACCGGGACUAAAUGGCGCCUGCAUGGCACUGCCGUGGCGCCUGAAUUUUUCAUGCAUGCAUCACGUACGUAGUACCGCGACCCUUUUAAUUUGUUAAACUUUAGUAGUUGAGAUUUUUUUAGAACGAAAUCAACUAGUAUUUAAACGAAUGGGAUUUGUAAUUAUACAAUUACUAUAUAUGUACACAAUCCUUAUACACAAUUCAUAUACACAAUUCAACUAGCUUAGUACAAAUUGAUCAUAAUUAGCGCGUAUUAUAUAUACAAAUAAAUCAAAGUAUCUGUCUACAAUCUUCCCGUCGUGGUGUUGCUGAUCGGAGUGUCUAAUUGUCGUCCAUCGUAAUAAAAUUCUCCUUUUGGAUUUACCACCUUGUCCAUUAUGAAUCCAAUGAGACUUUCACAUAUUGCCGCUACUCUUUCUUCCUUCAAGAGUCCUUGUUGAAUAUUUAACAUCUAUAAUUUGGAAAUUUUUGAAUGUUACACGAACAAAUACAUAUAAGGAGCUAGAAAAUAAUUAACUAGUAAUAGUUUUAUUUUACGUACUUUAAAGUUGUGCGGCGUCAUCUUCGGUCCCUUGGGUCCCAUAAAACUGUGCAUGUGCUCACAGAUGUAGUAGCCACAUAGAUUAUUUCCGGGUUCCUGUCUUAAGCACUUCAGUGCGGAAAAAAAUAAGUUAUGAAAUAUUCGUAUUAUACAAUGUAAUAAAUGUGCAGACUUCAUACGUACCGGGAAGUCUGUGUUCCAUGUAAGUUUUUCUUUGAAUGGACCUUUGUGUGUCCUUAUGAAUUGUUUCCAUGCGCUGCAGAUUAGAAUAAUGAAUGAUAUAGUGUAACAGGAAUAAAAUUUAGGAAAUAAACUUUUGCAUAUAGAUAAAGGUACAGAAUUAUUACAAGCCUAGCAUGUCUUGCACUUCUUGGUAGUCCACCGGAUCUUUCCUUAACGAAUCGAAGACAGUGACGUGGCUUCUUUCAGGCUCAAUUAUAAUAAGAAUCCAGUGGAAGCUGCGUGCGUAAAAUGUUCAUGCAUAUUAGAGCUAACUAACAUGUAGAGAUAAGGAAAAAGACAUCGAAAGUAGACGGUAUACACACACUUACUUGAAGUUGUAUGGAAGUAGUAUGAAAUCCUUGAAUGUUUGUUUGUCUAGGAAAUUGUAUAUUUCCGCAAAGGUUUUUUCCGGUGCUAAUUGUGUCUGUUGUUGGUUAACUACAGAUGGAUCCAUGAAGCCUACAUGUAGGUACGCCUCUCGGCGGCAUGUCUGAAUUAGCAUCCUACAUGAAAUGGAAGAUGAAGUUAGUACGGUGACGCAUGCCAAAAUUUACAUGUAGAGAUAAACGGACACUUACAGAACCUAAGCGCUGAUCAGAGAGACGUCCAGGGCAUCAUGAUGGUACACUUCGUAUAUAUCCUUGAAGUCUAGCCACAGCACUUUCUCCCCUUCACCGUGAAAAUCUAUCGGUUUUACCUUCAUGCCGAUCAUCUCCCUCGAGUCGGCGGAUGCCAUCAUGUACCAUUGAUGGAAUGCGUACAUCUUUGUUGAUAGCUUCCGUACCAAUGAAGGCUUUACUAGAGGUUUGCCUAGCUCAUAAGGCCAUCUCAGCUCAGGGGGCGGUGCAGUUGGCGUCUCAACUUGCCCUAUGCAUUCAUCAAGUCCCAGACCUGUUUCUUCCAUGAACUUCAAUACAUUUGCUUGUUGAUCCAAGGGCAUUGCUUUUACCCGUUGAGCAUCUUUUUUUGAUAAAUGGCUGAGGUCGGGGACUGGACCGCUGGAAGAUGACUUUCCUUUCCUUUUAUCCUUUUCAUCAGCCUUUACUAGAGCCCGUUCAUAGUUUGACAAGAGUGGUAUCCUUUUCUUGGCUCCUUCUUCUAUCCUGAUAAAAAAGUUUAAAUCUCGCCGACUUACUGGCGGUGGCUCCAUCUCCCUUACUUUUUUUUCUUCGGCUUGUUUCUUGAACCACUCACUGGCCUCUCGUUGGAUUUCUGCCCACUGUUCCGCAUGAGACAUUGCCUCCCAGCGUUCCUUACGAGUCACUUCAGGCUCCUUUGUUUUCUUCUUUCUCUGUCUUUGCUUGGGAGGCGGUGCUCGUGACUUCUUUAGUGGUGGUGCAGGUUCCUUCAAGGGGGCCGCUCUUGGUGCCGGCGACGGUGAUCGGGGAGGGGUGUUGUUAUUGUCGUCGUCGCUCCCAGCACCAGGAUGUAGUGGAGAUGGAGACCUUGAUAUAGAUGGAAGGGACGGUCCUGGAGCAGGAGAUGACGGUCUCGAGGUAUGAGGAGAAGGUCGCUGCUGGGGAUCUACGGGGAGCGGUCUUAAGGUCUGAGGAGAUGGCUCCGUGCUGGGAAUAAUGAUGUAGCGUUUUUGCCAUAGAAUAAUCCCAUGAAGCGCAUCUGCCAAUGUCUUUUCCCCGUCGCCUCCCGGGAAGUCGAGCUCUAGACCUUCAUACUAGGGAUCAACUAUUUGCUCUACGCAGACGCUGGCGUAGCCUGUUGGAAUUUCCAUGCCAUGACUGCUCUGCCCCGCCAGGGUUGCUAACGCACUCCCGUACGCUACCUGUACAUAUAGCAGAAGUAAACAAGUUGAACUCCGAUCUCGAGGCCUGGAUCAAUUGACAAGAUUGCAUAAAUAUUAUGUAUAAGUAUACCUUAAUAGUGAGGUUGCCGACCGGUGCAUGCAGCUCACAUGAGGUCCGUUGUGUGAUGGCAUCCACGGGGAACCGUUGCUCCUCCACGGGUAACCUGGGCGUCUGCGCAUCGGGGACCCCUGUAGAAGCACAACUGCUCAAGAGGCGUUGAGAAGGGCUGGCGGUGUUAGGAAUCGGCAAUGCUCCAGAUUGGGCCAACUCCGCAACUGCGUGGGCCACCCGCCGAUUGGUUUCAUCCAUCAUUCUUUGUUCUUGUGCCUGCACUUUAGAUUCUAGCAUCUGCCGCCAGCUCUCCUCGAUCUGUUCCUUUCUUCGCUUCCGGCUUCUGUACGAGGUGCUGUCGCCUCGGAAAGCAAACUUCCACGGAACCACCCCGAACCCUCGGCAACGUCCUGGGUGUUCUGGAUUACCGAGGGCCAAUGUGAGCUCAUCAUUUUCUCGGUCCACCUUCAACCUCCCAGCCUUAGAAUCUUCAAUGUUCUUCAUGAGAUGUUCGGCCUUCUCACGUAUUGUGUCAUUAAAAAUCAACGUCCCAUCCUCUUGGCUUAGGGAGCCUCCAUGAGCGUAGUACCAAUUUUUUGAUCGUUCGGGCCAUUCAAUAGUUGCAGGUACGAUUCCCCGUUCGAUCAGAUCUUGUUCCAUCUUCCUCCACUUGGGAAUUGCUGAGCCAUACCCACCUCGCCCCAAAUGAUGGUGGUAGCCCUUCUGACUAGCAUUUGCUGUGUUGGUCGUGAUCUUUUUCACACCGUCUUCACUCCUCUUAUAUUCAACAAAUGCAUCCCAGUGGUCCCUCAACUUUGGCCACGCGUUGAAGUCUAGAGUUCGGCCCUUCUUGAUGUAGUGGGUAUCCAGCAUCUUCUUGAAUGUCUGGAAUUGAGUAGCCAUCUUCUUAAGCGUCCACGCUUUGACAUCCUUCUCACUAUAUCCUUCGGGGAAUGUGAAAUGUCUCUUCACGUCUUCCCACAGCAUAUUCUUUUCUGUCUCCGGAAGGGCGUACGGAUUAGUGCUUCUGCCCUUCCAUUCUCUGAUGCUGAUAGGCACGUUGUCCCGGACGAUUGCCCCGAUCUGACUCACGUACUUCUUUGCUACUUUCUCGGGAGCAACCGGCCUGCCCUCUUCUGUCACUUCCGUGAUGACAAGCCUCCCUUCCAUCACCUUUGUACAACCUUGGGUCUUCUGCCCUUGUGUCGAUCCGGAGGGCUAACAUUUUAAGAUUCGUUAAUUAGUACGUAGUAGUAACAGUGGCGUGAAACAAUACAAGAAUGGUUAUAUAUACCUCGCCGGAACCUUCCGCCACGGCAAGUUGUUGCUGCGGCUAAUGCUCUUCAUUCCCAUCGGUGGACAUGUUGAGGAACAUGUCCGCCUGGGUGCCCUCUUCAUCCGUGUAUGAUAGUGGAACGUUCUCGCCACUACCAUCACCAGCGAUUAUCUGCUCCAUGAUAUACCUUGCGGUCUCAUUGUCUGCCAUUUCAACUAUUGAUGGAAACAUACAUGGAAUCAUACAUGACAGUCAUAGAAAUCGUCUUACUACAAAUUUCUACAAAGUCCUACAAAGUCCGGAAUCAUACAUGUAUAUAAUGAAAUCAUAAAAUAACAUGAAUCCUACAAAGUCCGGAAUAUUUCUACGAAUUUCUACGAAUUUCUACGAAUUUCUACGUUCUAUGAAUUUCUACGAAUUUCUACGAAUAUCCACAUGCGGUGCCUAGGUUGUGACGGCGGCGAUCAGGGCGGCGGAGGCGGGGACGGUUCCCUGGAACCACGGGCGGUGCCUAGGUUGUGACGGCGGCGGUCAGGGCGGCGGUACGGCGGAGGCGGGGACGGUUCCCCGGAACCACGGGCGGUGCCUACUAGGUUGUGACGGCGGCGAUCACGGCGGCGGGACGGCGGAGGGGACACAUAUACAAAAAUAUAACUUAAAAAAAAUCUAACUUAAAAAAAAAUCUAACUUAAAAAUCUAACUUAAAAAUCUAACUUAACAAUCUAACUAAAAAAUCUAACUUAAAAAUAUAACUUAAUUUUCUAACUUAACAAUCAAAAUUAAAAAUCUAUCAUAAAAAUAUAACUUAAUUUUCUAACUUAAAAAAAAAGCCCUCCCAAUGCUGCCGGCCGGCGCGGCGGCGGACCUCUCGCGCGCGGUCGUCGACGGUGGCCGGGGCGACGAGGGGGCCGGGCGGCGGGACGGCGGCGGCCGGUGCGGCGAGGACGGCGGCCGAGGCGACGACGACGGCGGCGGCGUAGGCGGGACGGCGGCGGCGUAGGCGGGACGGCGACGAGGGGCGACGAGGCGGUGACGAGGAUGGAGGCGGUGACGAGGAUGGAGCCGGCGACGAGGAUGGAGCCGGUGGCCGGAGGCGACGAGGUGGGGGCCGGGCGCGUCGACGGACGAGGAGGAUCGAGGCGGGCCGGCCGGGGGGAUGGAGGACGACGAUGUCUGGGCGCGAUCGGCGGCAGGACGACGACAAACGGCGCAAUGGGGGAUGACGACGGCGGCGGCCGGCGAGGGAGGCGGACGGGCGGCGACGGCGGAGCAGAACGCGUGGAACUUGGCGAAAAUUUUGCUAAGUGUAACUGGCGGGGGGUAGAAGGGAGUACAGUGCCUUUUAAACCCCCCCCUUAUCCCGGUUCGUAAUGGUACCCGGGACAAAAGGGUGCCCCCGCCAGGUGGGGCUGGGAGCGUACCCUUUUAUCCCGGGUGCCACCACCAACCGGGAUAAAAGGGGGGGGGCCUUUUAUCCCGGUUGCAGUUGGCAACCGGGAUAAAAGGGUACGUCCGGGCGGGAGACGAAAAGUACCCUUUUAUCCCGGUUGCCGUUUGCAACCGGGAUAAGCAACCGGGAUAAAAGGGGGCCUUUUGUCCCGGUUGCUGUUAGCACCCGAGACAAAAGGUCUUUUUUCCUAGUUUUCUUCUCCCGCCUGUUUUUUGAAAUGGAUUUUAUUUUAUCUUUUCACUACAUUUCAGGAUGAAAAACAAAACCUUCACAGAUUUUGUACAUGCAAAAAUAUAUUUAAUUAACAAGUAAAUUGACAAUAAGUAUGAAUUAAUCAUUAAUUCUAUACCAGUUCAUUUAGCCUCUAAAAUAUUUAUUUUACUGCGUUGCUGUGAUUAAGAAAUUAUUCAAUUAAAUAAUUUCAAUGCGUAGAAAAAUCCAUGUUUGUAUGUGGUUAACAUUGUUCAUGUUUAUCUAAAAAAUCUUCACCUAACAAAUUUAAGAACACAUGAAAUCAUACAUAGGGUAAAAUUACAAAUUGUAUCGAUUAAUACACAAAGGUCAUGUACAUUUAACGCAUUACAAUACAACGUUGUAAAAUUUCUUCUUCACGAAAGUUCCUUGAUCAUGAUCGCGACGUAAGUACGGAGCCUCUUCUUUGGAUAGCAGGAUGCUUGGAUCAACUUCAACAGCGAAUGGAGGCAUGCCAUCAAACUGAUCAUAAUCAUCUGAUUGGUCUGUUUUAUCCUCGACUCCCACGAUUUUUCUUUUACCUGGAAGAACUAUGUGGCACUUUGGCUCCCAUGUCUCUUCUGGAUUCCUCUUGGGUUUGCUGCACAUGUCCUUCACAUAGAACACCUGAUCCACAUCAUUGGCAAGUACGAAUGGGUCAUCACUGUAUCCAGUCUUGCUCAGAUCUACUAUUGUCAUUCCAUACUGAUCUUUGGUGACGGUAGUUAGCUUCACCCAAUUGCAAAGAAAUAGAGGGAUGUACAGCGGUCCGUAUUCGAGUUCCCAUAUCUCCUGUAUGAAACCAUAAUACGACUCCUUGCUAUUAUUUCUGUCCAUGGCAUCUAUGCGGACACCACUAUUCUGGUUUGUGCUUUUCUGGUCCUGGGCUCUCGUGUAAAAUGUGUAACCAUUUAUCUCAUAGCCUUGGAAUUUGACGAUUGUGCUAGCAGGUCCCCUGGCUAACUAGGCAAGCUGUGGGUGAAUCUCAGAGUUAUCCAUAAGUUGUUGGCGCAACCAGGAGGGAAAAGUUUCCAUGUGAUGACGGGUAAGCCAAGCAUCGGAUUUGGUCGGGUUUUUUGAAGCUACUAUCUGUCUGUGCUGCUCGAUAUACGGAGACACAAAGGAUGACUGUUGUAGAACAGUGUAGUGUGCCUUGUCGAACAAAUCAGUAUCAUUGCUCAAACUUGAUUUCCUUCCAAGGGUGCCCAUUCCUCGGAGCCUCCCCUCGUGGCGUGAAGUUGGAACCCCAAUCGAGUCAAUUGAAUCAAUAAAAUCAACACAAAACUCGAUCACCUCCUCUGUUCCAUAUCCCUUGGCGAUGCUGCCUUCUGGACGGGCACGAUUAAGAACAUAGUUUUUUAGGACUGCUAUGAACCUCUCGAAAGGCCACAUAUUGUGCAGGUAUACAGGUCCGAGAAUACCAAUCUCUUUUACUAGGUGAACCAGUAAGUGCGUCAUAAUAUUGAAGAAGGAUGGUGGAAAUAACAACUCAAAACUGACAAGACAUUGCACCACAUCGUUCUGUAGCUUUGAUAGCUUGGAUGGAUCGAUUGCCUUCUGCGAAAUCGCAUUGAGAAACGCGCAUAGCUUUACGAGCGGCAACCGGACAUUUUCUGGUAGAACACCCCUCAAUGCAACCGGAAGCAACUGGGUCAUCAACAUGUGGCAGUCAUGAGCCUUGAGAUUUGUUAACUUAUUUUGUUUCAUAUUUAUUAUUCCAUUUAUAUUCGAGGAGUACCCAGACGGGACCUUCAUACUAUUCAAGCAUUCAAACAUGCUAUCCUUCUCUUCCUUGCUGAGAGUGUAACUGGCAGGACGUAAGUAGUGCUGUCCAUUAUCUCUCUUUUCCGGAUUUAGGUCAUCUUGUUGCCCCAUGGCUUUCAGGUCCUGUCGUGCUUCCAAUAUAUCUUUUGAGGUUACAUAAACACCCAUGAAGCCUAGCACGUUCACGCAAAGAUUCUUCGUCAGGUGCAUCACGUCUAUUGCGUUGCGAACCUCUAGGAUUUCCCAAUAAGGUAGCUCCCAAAAUAUUGACUUUUUCUUCCACAUGGGUGCAUGUCCGUUAUCGUCGUUCGGAACAGGUUGGCUACCAAGUCCCUUUCCAAAGACUACAUUUACAUCCUUCAUCAUCUCGAACACACGCUUUCCAUUACGGUGUGCAGGUUUUUUACGAUGGUCUGGCGCCCCUUUGAAAUGCAUCCCGCUCUUUCUCAGCUGGUGGUGAGCAGGGAGAAAUCGACGAUGACCCAUAUAGACGACCUUCUUACAGUGCUUCAAGUACAUGCUGUCUGUGUCAUCUAAACAGUGGGUGCAUGCCCGAUAUCCCUUAUUUGUCUGUUCUGAAAGGUUACUCAAUGCAGGCCAAUCGUUGAUGGUUACGAACAACAAUGCUCGUAGAUUAAAGAUCUCUUGUCUAUCCUCAUCCCACACACGUACACCUUCUUCCUUCCAGAGCUGUAAAAGGUCAUCAACCAACGACCUUAGGUACAAGUCAAUGUCAUUGCCGGGUUGUUUUGGGCCUUGGAUAAGCGCCGGCAUCAUAAUGAACUUCCGCUUCAUGCACAGCCAAGGAGGAAGGUUGAACAUACAAAGGGUCACAGGCCAAGUACUAUGGCCACUACUCAACUCACCGAAUGGAUUGAAUCCAUCAGUGCUUAAACCAAACCUUAUGUUCCUUGCUUCACUUUCAAAGUCUGGGAAUGUUCUAUCAAUUGAUCUCCACUGUGCCCCAUCUGCGGGGUGUCUCAGCAUCUCAUCUUCCUUACGGUCUUCUUUGUGCCAUCGCAUCAACUUAGCAUUCGCCUUGUUCCUGAAUAAGCGCUUCAAGCGUGGUAUUAUAGGGAAAUACCACAUCACCUUCGCGGGAACUCUCUUCUUGGGAGACUGCCCCUCGACAUCACCAGGAUCAUCUCGCCUGAUCUUAUACCGCAGGGCUUCGCAGACGGGACAAGCAUCCAAUUUCUCGUAUUCAUCACCACGAUAGAGGAUACAAUCAUUAGGGCAUGCGUGUAUCUUCUGAACAUCCAAUCCGAGAGGGCAAAUAAUCUGUUUAGCUUCAUAUGUUGUGGACGGUAAUUCAUUAUUCUCGGGGAGAAUCUUCUUGACAAUGUUCAACAUCCCCUGAAAUGCCUUAUCGGACACACUAUUUUUUGUCUUCCAUUGCACAAAUUCUAGUGUCGUACCUAGUUUUUUAUGGCCCUGCUGGCAACCUGGGUACAACAAUUUUUGGUGAUCAUCUAUCAUGCGCUGCAACUUUGCUACUUCCUUCUCAGUUUUGCAAUCUCUGUAUGCAUCUCGUAUCACCUGACGAAGGUCAUCAGUAGGGCCAUUUUCUGCAAACUCAUCUUCAUCAGCCUCGCCCAUUGUAGUACCUACAAAAGCUUGGCCUGCAACCCAGUCCGGAAUGGUGUCAUCUUCCUCCUCCUCCUCGCCAUCUUCCAUUACAACCCCUAGUUCACCGUGCUUGGUCCAAACCAAAUAGUUAGGCAUGAAACCGUAUUUAAACAAGUGGCUGUGAAUAGUCCCCCAGCUUUCCUUUGAAUACUCCUUCCUGUUAUUGCAUUGGAAGCAUGGACACAUACGAACCUAUUCUCUGGCUUGUUCGCUUUUGCCAUUUCGAGAAAAUAUGCAAGCCAUCAAUAAACGUCUUGCUCCGCCUGUCUGCNNNNNNNNNNNNNNNNNNNNNNNNNNNNNNNNNNNNNNNNNNNNNNNNNNNNNNNNNNNNNNNNNNNNNNNNNNNNNNNNNNNNNNNNNNNNNNNNNNNNAACAUAUUGAAGGAGAAGGACAUACCUCCUUCUCGUCGGUAAAUCACGCGGGUUAGCCUCUGAGCCAGGUAUAUUGUCCAGUCGAUGCAGAAGGGAUCACAGUUGUUACCUAAGUCUAGUUUAGCCGCGGAGCUCAGCUUCAACCCGGAUUAAAGGUGAACCACCUUUUAUCCCGGUUGGAGCCUCCAACUGGGAUAAAAGGGUCCCGCCACCAACAGCUCCCCACUAGCCGUUGCAACCGGGACUAAAGGGGGGCCUUUAGUCCCGGUUGCAAUUACCAACCGGGAGUAAAUCUUCCCUCCAUUUUUGCCUACCGUGGCGCACCCCCUUUUGUCCCGGGCCAACUUUAAACCGGGACAAAAGGGGACGGAUCGAAAACCAAUUCUCUACUAGUGUCUAUUCCACAAAACCAUAAUUGUUCACCGGCUCCAGCAUUGCUGUUGCUCUCCACCAAUGGAGGAAGCUCUUGUCCUUGGCACCACCUUAUCCACUGACCAGCUGAAGUUAUCUGUACGUCCUAAGGUCUCAUAAGAUUUUUGAUGAAUUUGCAUUAAUACUAAUAUUGCCACCAAUCUAGUCUCAACCUUGCCUCGUGUUCUCCGUGGUCAUGUUUUAUUCUAACUUGCAAGCCCUACAACUACAUAUGAUGGUUCUUCUAUAUGCAUAAUAUAUCGCAUCUCCUAAGACAUAUCGCGGGCCGGCGGCGCGCGGGGGAGCGGUGCCAGCAGAGCGGAGGCGACCGGCGGUGGGCAGAGGUGGGUGGGUGCGGGUGCGGGCGAAGGCGGAGGAGCAUGUGGGCAGAGGCGGGUGGGCGUGGGCGGAGGCGGAGGCGGAGGCUGGCGUGGGCGUGUGCGGAGGCGGAUGGGUGGAGGCAUGCAGCGGCGGUGGGCAGAGGCGGGCGGGCGCAGGUGAGUGGCAGCUGGGCCAGCGGCGUGGGCGGAGGCGGAGACCGGCAGCGGUCGGGCGGCGCGGGCGGGCGGCCGGCGAGCGUGGCGCUUCUUUUUUUUUCCAAAUUUUUUAGUCCCGGUUAGUGGUUGGUAACACCAACUAGGACUAAAGGGGGCCUUUAGUUCUGGGUGGAUGACCUGGAACUAAAGACCUCCUUUUUUAUCUCGAAAAAUUUAUCUCGGACGGCUUUUAGAGAGAUGUGAGCGUAUCCAAUUGGGACUAAAGGUGAGUUUUCCACCAGUGAAUGCAGAGCAGGCUCAUCCUAAAUGGUGACACCAUGCUGAUCACGCAAUUUAUCAUUAUUUUAUCGACCUCAUCCGUGUUUGUCUUUUACCAUCUAUAUAGUAUGGUUAGUCAACGGCAUGCAGUACACCCAUGCAUAUGAUUGCAGUAGGAUAACAUAGCGCGACCAGAACUGACGCAGUUUGCCAGUUUUAGAUUCGUAUACACGGCCAACUUACGCAGCAGAGAGUUGCAUGCUAAGCAGUUCAGCGUAGGUGGUGAGUUCUCAACUCUGAUAUGGCUUAUGGAAGAACACUGUCACGGUGUCACCUAGCCGGUUGGAGGCCAACCUCUUACUAGGGACAGCAAUGGCCCUGUCCGGCCACUGUUUCGUGGCUGGUAUUAUUACCCCUAUGCAGUGAAUAUGACAUGUGGAUCUAUGUGUAUAUUAUGUCGUCGAAAGAACAUUAUAUGAACCGUUGAGCCACCUUUGAUUCUAUCAAUGUGUCAUGGUCAAUUGAUGUCAAACUCUAUUAUCUUCAAGUCUUAUUGUAUUGAAAAAAUCACGAUGCUCUGCUACUGCCAUUUUGAUGUUUAUAAAAGGGUAUUGAGAACCUGGUGGGUAUCCAUUCGAUGCGCUGGGGUGGGGGUGGGGAAAAAUGAGUGUAAAGGACAGGGAUACAGUAUUUAGAAGGAUGGGGCUGCCACAGAAGAUAGUCUCCAAGUAUGGCAGGGAAGAAUCUAAAACUGAAUCCUUGAUCAAGACUGUCCCAUAUUCAUGAAUAGUUCACUGACAGAUCUUGCUUCCAUAUUCUGAACAGCUGAUGCUGGGCACAUAGGAGGUUAACCGGUCAGCGGAUCGAAGAAAAAAAAAUUCUUGCCUGUCAGUGUCCACAAUGGCCUCAGCUUGGGUUAGAGACAAUCAUCCCUAAAGAAUCAUAUUGCCGGAUAAGGUUAUCUGUGAUUGGUGGGUGCAGAUCCAUACUCAUCCUAGAAACAAGCCAGGGCUGAAUAUGCCACUCAUUUUAGGUGCUUUGAUGUUGUGGUCACACCGAAAUGAUCAUGUGUUUAAUAAAGUUUCCUAUAGUGACUGGCGUGCAGGCUGUCCUCGUAUUCGAGAAAAAAAAUCAAUGGGCGAAAUAUUUUCACCCAGGUAAUUGUUGCAUUGUAUGAAUAGGCUUAGAUACCUGGUUAGAGUAUGAAUGUGCGUGUACCGUGACACAAGAAGAUUUAUCAUAUCCAUGUAUGAAUUAGUGUUAAAUCUGCUACAUAAAUAUCUUCUCUUAUCUCAUUGUAUGUGUAUAUAUGACACAGAAGCACAUGUAUAUUGGCAUUGUAGAGAGAGAUGAGAGAGAGAAGCUUAUCUGCUUUUUGGAGAUAAAUAUUCAAAUUACUGGUGUAUGAGAGGGAUAUAAUUAUUCUAUCAAAUUGUUUAUUCAACAUGUAAAAAGAUUCCAUGUUUAGUCAUCUAUAUCGGCAUUGUAGAGAGAGACUAGUGUUCAGCUGGUUGGAAGGAUGAGAGAGAGAGGAGAGAGUUCGGAUGAGAGAGAGACUAGUGUUCAGCUGGUUGGAAGGAUGAGAGAGAGGAGAGUUUGGAUGAUAGAGAGAUUAGUGUUCACCUGGUUGGAAGGAUGAGAGGGAGAUGAGAGAGUUCGGAUGACGAGGUGGAGAGUUCGGAAGAGAGAGAGGUGAGAGUUCGGAUGAGAGAGAAAGCAGCUUAGAAGGAUGAGAGAGAAAGUGGUAUUCAGCUGGAUGGUGGAGACUUCAUAUAUUACUAACUAGCAAGGUGUCCGUGCGUUGCUAUGGUGAAACGACGUUGCUUAGCGCGCGAUGCUUUUUAUCAUGUCGUGUAGCAUACCACAUUUUUUAUCGUGCUGUGGAACUUUUCUAUUUUAGUAGUAUUAGACUUUUCAUAUAUAAGGGGCCACAUGAGUGUGUCCAUAUCCUAACCGUGAGGAGACCGCUUGCCAUGGAACUUGUUAUCUCUUUCUCUAUCUUGAGAUUGGUAGGCUUCUACAGCAAUUCUGCACAAAAAAGGCCCCACUUCGCCCCACUUCGCCUCGCUCUCGCUGUCCGGUUAGUCCCGCGCCUACCCUCUCCCUCUCCGAUCCUCGCCGCUAGCUCCUCGGGGUCCAAGUCGGGCCCGUGAUGUAGCGGCCUGUUAUCCUUCCACCGUUGGAAGCGGGCAGUGAUCGCUGCUCUGUGAACCCAGCCUCACGCCAUUCCUACCACUUCAGGUCCAGUGAAGCCCGAGCUUUUGCUUGGGCCGAACAGGCCACUACCAACUUGGAGCAGGCAAGGCCAGCAAGGGCACACAAUAGACCCAAGCCCAGAGUCCACACCCAAACAUCCACACCACCUUAAUACCCCCACUUGGGUUACAAGCCCGCGCAACCAAGCUCGAUGAGGAUGGCUCGUGAGGACGAACAUUUGAGCUGGUGCGGCGCUGCUUCAGAUGGCGAGGUGGUACUAAUCUAAGGAAUAGGAAAAUUUCACGUGGGUCCCACACCGCACCUACCCCUAUCCUUAUCCUUUCUCAUCUCUCUACCGUUCAUCCGGUCCUUAUCCUCCUCAUCUCAUCUCUCUCUCUCUCUCUCUCUGUCUCUCUCUCCCUCUCUCGCUCUCAAACUCUCUAUCUCUCCUAUCCCCUCUUUCUCUGGAGAACGCGGUGCACGGCUGGCCCCAGCGGCGGCCUGGGGGCGCGGGUGCUGGCGGCAGCCGAGGGUUGCGGGGCUGCGGCGAGGAGCCUCCUGGCCGUGGAUGCGACGGCCUAGCCACGGGUGCCGGGCCGCAUCGCACCGCGCGCUGCUGCCACCGAGUAGGCUGCACGCACUGCCUGCACACCAGGCGGGGUGGGCGGCCAGGGCCGAGCGGCGCGGCCGGGGCCGGGGAGGUGACUCUGGCGCGGCCGAGGCGGCUUGGGCGCGGCCAGCUGUUGUGGGUAGGGAGAGGUGGACAGCGGCGCAUGGCGGUGUGGAGAGGCGGACGUGGGGCACGAACGGGUGAAAGGGGAGACGGGGAAAGAAAGCUGGACCCACCUAGCAAUGCAGCCGGGGCCGGGGCCAGGGUAGCGCGGGUGGCCGAGGCCGAGGCCGAGGCCAGGCGGCGCAGUCGGGGCUGGGGAGGCGGCUUUGGUGCAGCCAGCCGUGGCGGGCAGGGAGAGGCGGAGAGUGGCGCAACGGCGGCGUGGAGAGGCGGACAUCAGGCACGGGCGGGUGAAAGGGGAGACAGGGAAAGAAAGCUAGACCCACCCGUCAAUGCAUUAAUCUUACCUAUUAUUAAACAUCAGGGCCACCUCUCGUUGAUAGAAGUUGGACCAAACCAAAAAAAGUGGGCAGAAGUGUUCCUUACUUUAAUAAUAAUAAUAAAGUAUAGAUAAUGCAUCCAAACAACAUUUGGAAUUUAAUUCUAAGAAAAACUUUCUCAGUACAUCCAAACUAGAAAAUUCAAUUGAAUAAAAUUCUACGGAAUGCAUUUCUUAUGGAAUCUAAUUGGUAGAAUAUGAUUUAUGGGAUGAGUUUCAACUCUAGGGAUCCAAAUAGGCUCUUAGUUAUUUCUUAUGUAGCUCAAAUCAGAAGGAAGGUACGUCCAAACUAAAAAACGUAAGUUACUUUGUGUUAUCUUGUGAAUCAGUGAUUAAUUACUUCCAAUCUUAUGUAAAAAGAACUACGAGUCAAAUUCUUUGUCAGAUUUAUACUGACAAGUUACAAGCACAUGCCUCUGCAGUAACAGGCCAGCCCUAGACUAGUGGGCAAACCAAAAACAACAUGAUUCGUCAACUGAUCGAAUGCUAAUGACUAUUUUGCUAGGAGAAUGAACAUGAUUCAUACAAAGCAGGGGAGCUACUAACUUGGUCAAGGUCUCCGUCCUCUAGCUACUAACAUGAUUCAUACAAAGAAGGGGCCAUCUUGCUCCACUCCACGUCUGCGUGGUUGCUCGGCGGGCGCGACGGUGUCGGCUGCGGAGUGCGGACGGCGCGUAGAUAUGUCAUUGUUGAUCAGGACAUGCACUUCUAUCACAGUCUGUGGUUGGCGUCCACGGCCGAGCGGGUCAAGGUCUCCGUCCUCUAGCGUGGGGAAACAGGAUCUCUUCAAUCAGUGCUUCUACAGAAACGGUGCACGGUCACCACGGACCAACGACAUACCAUGAGAAAAGCAGAGCUAAAUGUUGCAGUAGCAGAGUAACCGGAGACUGGAGAGCACUUGCUGCUAAAAGCUGCCUCUUAUUUUGUAUCGUCUUAACCGAAGACUUUAAGUCAACCGCCAUUCGAUUCCAAUAUAAACUAGCAAGUUGGUCCGCGAUAAUAGCGCGGCUAGAUUUGAUACAGUAUAAUUUUUUUAAAUGCUAUGUUAGCUUAGUAUAUUUCUUUGUCCCUCUUGAUUUGUUUUUCAUCCUCUUGAAAUCACUGAGUAUACUUAGGUGCCUUACUCUACACAUUGAGUAUCAAGCCAUAUAUGUAUAUUUUUUUUUUGCAAAUGAACUCCGAUGCCACAUGCGCAUAUGCACGCCUAAUUAAAAUUGCUCACUUGUAAAAAAAUAAGAACAACUUGAGUAGUUGAUUCUGAUCUUAUGUUGCAGUUUUUGCCAACUUUUCCUAGUAUUAUUGUGUUGAGUAGAAAGCCUGUGUAGAGAAAGAUCCAAAACAAACAAUCGUGUCAACUACUCCCCAUGCUUGCUCAAAUAAUUUUGAAAAAAAAAACAACCGCGCUCUAAGUCCUAGGGAGGUGAUAUUCCUCCUUACUUUCCUCCUCUCGUUUUCCUUGCACAAUCGAGGAUGACAAAUACCACAAACCACUUAGGCUCUAUCAUGUUUCAUCAUCACAUUCCUCAAAUCUUGAUCACGUUGUUGUCUUCAUUAUGUUAACAGUACACAUCUCUCCGCCUCUUCUAUUCCACAAAACCAUAAUUGUUCACCGGCUCCAGCAUUGUUGUUGCUCUCCACCAAUCGAGGAAGCUCAUGUCCUUGACAUCACCUUAUCCACUGACCAGCUGAAGUUAUCUGUACAUCCUAAGGUCUCAUAAGAUUUUUGCUGAAUUUGCAUUAAUAUUAAUAUUGCCACCAAUCUAGUCUCAACCUUGCCUUGUGUUCUCGGUGGUCAUGUUUUAUUCUAACUUGCAAGCCCUACAGCUACAUAUGAUGGUUCUUCUAUAUACAUAAUACAUCGCAUCACUUAAGACAUAUAUCGCGGGCCGGCGGCUCAUGGGGGAGCGGCGCCGGCGGAGCGAAAGCGACUGACGGUGGGCGGAGGCGGGUGGGUGCGGGCGGAGGCGGAGGCCGGUGCGGGCGCGUGCGGAGGUGGAUGGGUGGAGGCGUGCAGCGGUGGCGAGUAGAGGCGGGCGGGCACGGGCGAGUGGCAGCUGGGCCAGCGGCGGCCGGGCGGCCGGCCGGUGAGCGUGGGGCUUUUUUUUAUUUUUUUUCAAAAUGUUUUAGUCCCGGUUCGUGGUUGGUACCACCGACCGGGAUUAAAGGGGAAGACCCCGUCUUUUGUCUCGAAAAAUUUAUCCCGGAUGGUUUUUAGAGAGAUUUGAGCCUACCCAACCGGGACUAAAGGUGAGUUUUGCACCAGUAAUGCAGAGGAGGCUCAUCCUAAAUGGUGACACCAUGCUGAUCAUGCAAUUUAUCAUUAUUUUAUCGCCCUCAUGCAUGCUGUGCAUGAUUGAUAUUAGUAUUGGGCAGCUUAGAUUCCUCAGCGCAUCAUGCUGCUCAGCCAUGGAGGUCAAGGCAUCAAUAUUGUCCAUAUCACAACGUCUCUGCUUUCUCUUGUUGUCCUCCCCCUUCCCUCUACAUUGCACCUUCUUGUUUUCCUGAUCCUAUUGCCAGUUUGUUGCAGCCAUUUAUGGGCACCUCUUUCGUCCAUUGUCCACUGUUGUUGCCCGCUGCCUCAGUUCUUCUCUAACCAAAGCGGUCGUAUCGCGCUGGUCGGUAGGAAGCCAUCGUCUCACAAAAGCAUCGUCGUGAUCGCCAAACCACAUCUAGCCGAUGCCGAACCAUACUUGCCAUCUUCUUUGCCAACUUGCCGCUAUGGAAGCCUCCAUGCAUCGCUCCUCGAGUCUAUCCUAUCUCUAUCAGCUCCUGUGGUAUCCUGUUUUGUUUUUGCCUCAACCACGAAGCCAUAGGUAGCUGGUGCUAAAUUGCAGGGCCAGCAACAGCUAUUUCCUCUCCCUGGCCUUGCGGCCAUGCUAUGUAUUUUUCUCUCUCAAAAAAAAUUCCAAUGAUUUAAUUCUAAUGUUCCGAUCAUGUGUGAUUGGUUUAUUAAUUAAAGUUAUAGUUAUACACGAGUAUAUUAUAAAAAAAUAAUAUAUAUAUAAGUUACCAUACAAAGUACAACUUCCAAUAAGGUGGAGAGGUUCGGAUGGAAUUUUGAUUCAACUUACUCUAUUCUAGAUAUUAGAGUUGUACUAGCAAAAUAUCCAUACAUUGCUAUAGCAAAAUAUCCGUACAUUUGCUACGGUAAAAGAUCAAUUGUGUUUUUCAAACUAAUAAUAUUUUUUAUUUUCAUCACUAAAGUUUUAUUCCACUUAUUGGAUGUCCACACAUUUAAUAGAAAACUAAAAGAAUUUUAACUAAUUAUUUCCUUCAACUCAAAUACCAAUUAAAUUAAAAUAUUUUUUUAUUCAAGCAAGAGAGUUAAAUCAGCCUCCGAUGGCCAUCGAUGAGGGGCUCUUUAGUCCUGGUGAGUAAUAUCAACCGGGACUAAAGAACCCCUUUAGCCCCGGUUGUAAAAGUUAGUGGCCUCGGGAUUCUGUUGGGGCGUUUUGUCCCGGUUGCAACUACCAACCGGGACUACGCUCCCCGCCUCCACACACACAAUGUGCGUGCCUCACUUUCUCUCCUCCCUCUCCUUAAUUCCAGUACCCAAGCCUCCUCUCCUUAAUUCCAAUACCCACAUGCCUCCUCUCCUCCUCCCUUCGGCCCCUGCCUCCUCUCCUCCCUCUCCUUCUCCUCCGCUAGAUCCGGCCAACCCCCAUUCCCUCUUCCAAGCUCCUCCCUCUCCCUCGACCGAGGCGGGCGGCGGGCGCAGGUCGGGUGGCGCGGCUGGGGCCGAGGCGGCGUGGGCGGCCGGGGGUCAGGGAGGAUGAUAGGUGGUUACGAGGAUGAUACCUGCAGACAAUACUUUUAGUCCCUCAAUUUUUUCUGAGAAUUGCACUGUGAGCUGCGCUUUCAUUUAUGUCACACCGCUCAGCAAAAAAAACGGUGCAAAUCGACCAAAAUAAAUGAAUAAAUCACACGGUUUAGACUGGUGGCAUCUGUAUGUUUGAUGAGUUUUGAAUCCCAACAGACCUCUGUUUGCUUAUCCAACAGGAGGAAAAAACUUUACUUACUAAAUCAGCUUUGCAUGCCAGGCUGCAAUUGUUAGAGCAGAAUUGGGUAAUUUGUGAACAUAAUUGAAUCAAAGUUUUGUCUCAGACUAGUAAUAGAAAAUGGUAAUGCUCCACAGCUAGAACACGUUCCUACACUAGUUUAAAAAAUUCCCUGAAAUUGGCGACAAUGGUCAAGCUCAAUGUCAAAGUCAAAAAUUCCUACACACGUUCCUACCAUACUUGGAACUUGGAAGGCCGCUGGUCGAUGUCAAAGUCAAAAACAGAAGCAGACAGCGACGUCUCACCAGAUCACGAAUCAGAUGCGAUGCAUGUGCAUGUUCAGCAAGACAUUGAAAAGCAAGCUCUGUCUGGCAGCAGCUCUUCAAUACGCUCCAGCCCAUCUCUACCAUGGCAUUGGCAAUGCGCGUCAUGAGCUUGCUUCCUGCCACCAUCGCCGUGAUGAUCGCAGCGGCCUCCUGGGGAGCGCACGGCGGUGCCAGCGACGAGGCCAGCGCGCUACUUGCUUUCAAGGCUGAGCUCGCCGGCAGCGGCUCCGGCAUGCUUGCAUCCUGGAAUGGCACCGCUGGCGUCUGCGGCUGGGAGGGCGUGGCGUGCACCGGCGGCCAGGUGGUGGCACUGAGCCUGCCCUCCUAUGGGCUCGCCGGAGCCCUCUCCCCGGCCAUUGGGAACCUCACUUUCCUGCGGACCCUGAACCUGAGUUCCAACUGGUUCCAGGGGGAGGUCCCAGCAAGCAUCGGCCGCCUAGCGCGUCUGCAGACGCUUGAUCUGAGAUACAAUGCGUUCUCUGGUACGCUUCCUUCCAACCUCAGUUCCUGUGUCAGCUUACUGCUGUUAGAUCUCAGCAGUAACCGGUUCCAUGGGCGUAUCCCUGUUGAGCUUGGAGACAAGCUAACAAGUCUUCAGAAGUUCUCACUGGGCAACAACAGCUUGACGGGUGCCAUACCAGGAUCACUAGGUAACCUGUCAUCCCUGAUCUACCUUGAUCUGACAGAAAACCACCUCGAGGGUCCGAUCCCACAUGAACUUGGCAGCAUGGGCGGCCUGCAGGUCCUUUUCCUCUAUGAGAACAGACUCUCCGGUGUGCUUCCACACUCCCUGUACAAUCUGUCCUCACUGAAAAACUUGGUGGUAGGAAACAACAUGCUGUCUGGAACCAUCCCUGCUGAUAUCGGCGAUAGGUUCGCCGGUAUGGAAGUUCUUGACUUUAGUAGCAACCGAUUCAGUGGAGCUAUCCCACCUUCGCUCGGCAACCUCUCUGCUCUCACGUUACUAAACCUUCCAGGAAAUGAUUUUAUUGGAUAUGUGCCUUCUGCUUUGGGGAAGUUGCAAAGUCUUACUGACCUGUUCUUGAGUGACAACAGGCUAGAAGCAAACGACAGUCAAGGGUGGGAAUUCAUCACUUCACUGGCAAACUGCUCCCAGCUUCAGUAUCUUGUUCUCGGCAACAACUCUUUCAGCGGGCAACUGCCUAAUUCAGUCGCAAACCUGUCAUCAACUCUGCAACAUCUUUAUUUGGGAGACAAUAUGAUUUCUGGGAAUAUUCCAAUAAACAUCGGAAAUUUGGUUGGUCUUACAGUACUUGAUAUGGCAAAUACUUUAGUAUCUGGACAGAUUCCAGAGAGCAUUGGUCAGCUAAGAAACUUGGUUGGGUUAGGCCUUUACAACACUAGCUUGUCAGGCCUCAUACCUUCAUCACUAGGAAAUCUUACACAGUUGAAUAAUCUUUAUUUAUACUAUGGAAACUUAGAGGGGCCAAUUCCAUCAAACUUGGGGAACUUAAAGAAUGUGUUUGCCUUUGAUCUCUCAACAAAUCGACUCAAUGGUUCAAUUCCUAUAGAGGUUUUAAAACUUCCUCGACUUUCCUGGUACUUAGACUUAUCAUAUAAUUCACUAUCCGGGCCACUUCCAACUGAGGUUGGUACCAUGGUGAAUCUUAACGAACUGAUUCUGUCUGGAAACAAGUUCUCAGGCACCAUACCAGCUAGUGUUGGGAACUGUAUAUCGUUGGUAAAGCUGCUGCUCGAUAACAACUUAUUAGAAGGAAGCAUACCUCAAUCUCUGAAGAACUUAAAAGGUCUUGCAUUACUGAACCUAACAAUGAAUAAGCUAUCUGGUAGUAUUCCUGAUGCCCUUGCUAGCAUUGGCGACCUGCAACAACUGUAUCUUGCACACAACAACUUGUCAGGUUCCAUCCCCAAAGUUCUACAGAAUUUGACAUUGUUGGCAAAACUGGAUUUGUCCUUCAAUGAUUUGCAAGGCGAAGUGCCAAAAAGGGGUCCUUUUGCAAAUGCAACUCACUUGUCAAUUGAUGGAAAUGAUGAGCUUUGUGGUGGAAACCCUCAACUUCACUUAGCUCCGUGCUUCACAGCUGCUGCGGGGAAGAACAGAAGGCGAAUGUCAAGGUCAGUUAUGGUCACCGUAGCGUCAAUCUGCGCACUUCUAUUCUUAGGUUUAGUAGUUUUUCUUAUCCAUUUGAUCCACAAGACGCUCAGACAAGGAAAGGAAAAUCAACUCAUUCCCACAGUAAUUGAUGAACAGCACGAAAGGGUUUCAUAUCAAGCAUUAGCAAAUGGGACUGACCAUUUUUCGGAGGUUAAUCUGCUCGGACAAGGAAGCUAUGGUGCAGUUUAUAAGUGCACUUUACAUGACAAGGGAAUUACCGCAGCUGUAAAGGUAUUCAACGUACGGCAAUCUGGGUCUACUAGAAGUUUUGUGGCUGAAUGUGAGGCACUGCGAAGGGUGCGCCACCGAUGUCUCAUAAAGAUCAUCACCUGUUGCUUAAGCAUUGAUCACCAAGGCCAAGAAUUCAAGGCACUGGUUUUUGAGUUCAUGCCCAAUGGUAACCUAAAUGAUUGGCUGCAUCCAGCAUCCAAAAUACAGAGUCUGAGCAAUACACUCAGCUUAGCUCAGAGACUAGACAUUGCGGUAGAUAUCAUGGAUGCUCUGGAUUAUCUUCACAAUCAGUGUCAACCGCCUAUUAUCCAUUGUGAUCUCAAACCAAGUAACAUCCUCCUUGCCGAAGAUAUGAGUGCUCGGGUUGGAGAUUUCGGCAUAUCAAAAAUCCUUCCUGACGACACUAGCAAAACUCUGCUGAAUUCAGUUAGCUUCACUGGACUAAGAGGUUCCAUCGGAUAUGUCGCUCCAGGUAACAGAAACUAACACUGAUAUUGCUAUGUUCAGUUUUUAACUUCCAUUUUGCCAAGUCCAGUUAUCUCGGCAUGCACGUUGAUAAGUAGCUUGCCAUGAAUCCACUGACCAAAUAGUGUCUGAAAUCUGAAUUGACUGCAGAGUACGGCGAGGGUCGCGCUGUCUCAACUCUUGGAGAUGUUUACAGCCUCGGCAUACUGUUGCUUGAGAUGUUCACCGGGAUGAGCCCUACUGACGACAUGUUCAAAGGCUCCUUGGACCUUCAUAAGUUCGCCGAGGCCGCUCUCCCCGACAGAGCCUUGGAGGUAGCCGACCCGGCAAUCUGGUUUCAUGAAGAAGCAAAGGGCGAAGACCCUGCCACGGUGAGAAGCAGAAGCGAGAGGUGCUUGGCUUCAGUGGUCGGGCUUGGCGUGUCCUGCUCAAAGCAGCUGCCAAGGGAGCGGACGGCGAUGCGGGAUGCUGCCGCUGAGAUGCGUGCGAUCAGAGAUGCCUUCCUGGUUCAAUGUGCAACAGAGACUUGGCCUGCAGUCGGCACCACCGGCCUUGGGAGCGCAGACAGUUGAAUGGUGGACGGAGCUACGGUCUCUUGAUGAACCAAGGAGCACCGGACUAGCAACUCUGCAACUAACAGAGUGGAGAAAGCGCCCCUUAAUGAAAAGAAAAACAGCCGGUGCAAGGCUUUAUAAAAAGAAUGUGACAGCCACUGCGUGUAUCCGAGAGACUUAUCUAAUCUACCGAGGAUUGUUGGGUAGGGAUGCGUAUAGAUUAUGCACGUGCUCCCUCCGUCCCAAAAUAAAUGCACAUCUCGCUUUUCGAGGAGUCAAACUUCUAAGUUUGACUAAAAUUUAUAAAAAAAUGUACUACUAUUUAUAAUGUAUAAUAAAUAUCAUUAGAUUGGGCGUUGGAUAUACUUUCCUAAUAUAUUUAUUUGAAGAUGCAAAUGAUGAUACUAUUUUCUUUAUUCUUAGUCAAACUUAAAAAUGUUUGACUCUUCGAGAAGUGAGAUGUGUGUUUAUUUUGGGAUGGAGGGAGUACCCGUCACGGGGAUUAGUCACGAUAUAAGUAGGGACUAGCAAGCACCAAAAUCCCAUUCACUGCCCUUCGAUCGCUCAAAUAAAACAAACCAUUGCAUAUGGUGGCGAUGCGCUUGCGGGCCUUUUUCCAACCUUUCUGCUGUCGUGGGUCUUGAACUCGCAUGGAACAGUUUUAGUGAAAGCGUGCCCUUCAAUUUUGGGAAGAUUGCGAAGCCUCAUUUACCUGUCCUUAGUGACAAUAAGUUAGGAUCCAAUGAUAAGGACGGAUUGGAAUUCAUCACCAUGCUGGCAAACUGCAGCCAGCUUCAGCAACUGGCUUUUGACAAUAAUUCAUUCAUCGGGGAACUUCCUAGCUCAAUUGCAAAUCUAUCGACAACACACCAAUUACUCUGUAUAGGAAACAAUUGGAUUUCGGGAUUUAUUCCAUCCAGCAUAGGUAAUUUGCUUGGUCUAGAACUGCUUGCGUUGGCAAAUACUUUCAUAUCCGGAGUGAUUCCAGAUAGCAUUGGUCGCCUAGAAGACAUGUCCGUGUUAGGCAUUUACUACGCUAGCUUGUCAGGCAUCAUACCUUCGUCACAAGGAAACCUUACACAGUUGAAAACUCUCUAUGCGUACGAUAGCAACUUCGAGGGUCCAAUUCCAGCAAGUGGGGGAACUUAAAGAAUGUUGUUGUUCUUGAUCUCUCAACGAAAGUGUGUAACCCGCUAAGAUUUCGUGUCGAAGCAAAGCAUAAACCUCUCUUAAGACUGCAAAGCUAUCAUAGAGCAGAUCAGUCUAAGACAAUGUAGAACUUAGUCAAAUUUUAUUUAUAAACAUUCAAGUACAAUUUAUGCAAAGUAAAUUUGAAAAUAAAGUAUACGUAAACAUCUAAGCGCAUAGCUUUAUGAUUUGAGUUGAACUAACCAAAUAUAAUUGAAAAACACAUUUAUAUUUAUAUUAAGUCAAAUUAACAUAUAAUUAUGAAAGCUCGAGAUAUAACUUAUGGAGCCUUUAUUUAGAAAACAAAUUGAAUAAACAUUAAUCAAUUUAAGUUUAAUUAUGAACCACCAUGUUGCAUCUCUCAUUGACUUUUAAUUGAAAGAGUUAUUUAAAUAAGCAUUAACUAAUUUAGCAUUUAUUAUGAAAAGCAGUUAUAACACUAAGUAGCUUUUAAUUAAAGAAGACAUGUUUAACAUGCAUUAAUCAGAUUAAUAUUAAAUUUAUUUUAAAAACAUGCAUGAUGGAAAGAUCAGUACUAACAUGUAAUUUGUGUUAUUACAAACCUAACUCAAUAAGAACAGAUAUAAACGGAGCUGUAACGACCAGUCUAUGGGUUAAACAAGGUUGCAGGGCCUAAUCAUGAUUAACGGAAGGUUAUUGGGGCUAGCAAGGAAGAUUUGCAAGACACUGGAAUAGAGCUCCCCAUUAGGUCAAAGCAUAGGGCGAUUGCGAAAUCAAGAACUCGAAGGUGAUCGCGAGAACACGAAGGACACGAAGGUUUUAGAUAGGUUCGGGCCUCCGGAGAGUAAUACCCUACGUCCUGUAUGCUAGUUUGUAUUGCUUGAGAUUGAUCUGAUUGUUGGGAUACCCUCGGGGGUGCCCUUGGCCGCCUUAUAUAGGCUGACGACCAAGAGUUAAAAGUCAGUUUGAAUCUAAUCUACUCGGUAGUUACAUGGAAAGUAAUCUGAGUUGGACUACAGUACACGUUCCAUGAUAUCCAGGCAGAUUUGAACUGUCUUGUUGCCUUGACUUGCACUCCAAGUAACUUCAUGUCCUCGGCCCGCACGCCCUAGUCGGGCGGGCCCUACUUGUCAGUCCGGCCAGUAUCCUGGUCGGUCGGGGCCCAUGGGGUACCCAUAUCCCUCAAGCCCCCGAGCAUUGUGUAGGUGAAGAGUAACUUGAGGUCACCACAGUGAAACUUGAAAUGAAGUCGGCUGAAGCUACGAAGACAUCAUGGCGACGGAGAGGCUGCACAGUGCUCAAAAGAAGAAAUUCUGAGCAAACGCAGAGCCAACGCGUAGAGCGAAGACGAGUGCCGAGUUGAUGGAUGCUGGCAUUCAGCAGUCGGAGCAAAGGUUAUGGAGGGCCUCGCAAAACGCACUCUGUAGGAGUAGCCCCCGAGCAUUAAAGUGAUUAAGAUAAUCGGUACAAUAGUCAAAGAAGAAAAAGUUAUCCCCUAAAGUAGAUCCUAGUGCUCGAACAUAAGGAUGGGUGAAGCCAUGGAGGCCCGCCAACCAGAAGUAGGCACCCAGACCCAAGAAUGAGGACUAGCGGGACCGUGUAGCCACGUUGACCUGAAAUAGGCGCCCAACCCCUGAGGACGAGGACUAGCGGAGCCACGGAGGCAUGCCGACCUGAAGUAGGCACGCAACCCCUGAGGACGAGAACUGGAGGAGCCAUGAAGACACGCCGACUUGAAAUAGACGCCAAGCCCCUGAGGAUGAGGACCAGUGGCGCCACGGAGGCACGCCAGCCAGAAUUAGGCAUCCAACCCCCGAGGAUGAGCAUGAGGACUGGUGGAAGCACGUCGAGGUGCCUCCCGCCUCGAGCCGAGGCAGAGAGGUCAGUCGGGCGACGGGAGGCACAUGAGUCAUCUAUGGCGCGCAACCGCCGAGCCUGGGAGCCGGACGAGUUGCAGAAGCAUGCCAAGUCGCCUCCCGCGGCGAGCUAGAGAGGUUUGCUGGGCGACGGGAGGCACGCCAAGUCAUCUGCAGUGCCCAGCCCUCAAGCCUUAGGGCCGGCUGAGCCAUAGAAGCAUGCCAAGCCGCCUCCCGCCCCGAGCCAGAGAGGUCGGCCGGGUGACGAGAGGCACGUCGAGUCAUCUGCGGCGCCCAGCCCCCGAGCCUAGGAGCCAGACAAGUCAUAGAAGCAUGCCAAGUUGCCUCCCAUCCCGAGCUAGAGAGGUCGGCCGCGUGACGGGAGGCACGCCGAGUAGUUUUUGAGCUAUAAAAGGACAAUACAAUCAUCAUGUAGCAUAGUGUAGAUCGUUUAAUCAUUGAACAACUCGGAAGUUUAAUUCACUAUAUAAGUAAACUCUUGCGCAUCCUGCUCUUGUAGGCUAAGUAAUUUCCCCAGGUAGUUAGCCUGUUACGUUUAAGCACCUAGCCCUACUGACCACUGCUCACAGAGAUGACGGUUUAUCUCAAGCUAUAGCGCUGGGGCUGACCUGAUGCUUGCAUAUAGGAGACGCGCAGGAUGAGUUAAGGUUUUACGGAUUAAGGCAUGUGCUACCCGAGUACUUUAGCAACUGUUAACAGGGACAGACAAGUUGCAAAGCAGCCGGAACUGUGCGGAAAAGCACCAGCAUGAGCUAGGCACCCAUGGGGUGUAACCCCUGGCCGCCCGUGUAGUGGACGGACCAAGUUGUAUAAACAGUUAGGGUGCGACCAAGGUGGUGGGCAAAAGUCACGGAGACAUAGGAGAGCUGAGGCGGUCGACGAAAGUCACAGGAACAUGGAGGAGCCGAGGCUUAUGUAGGUAUACGGAAGCCAUAAAAUAUUUAAUUGUAAAUAAGACUUAGCUUGAUUCGUGAUCGAGUCGAAGAACCCGCAUGUCGUCUUUGCGUUUAGGCUUAGAAGCCCCUGAGCGUGGUCAGCGGAUAGUUGUUGGUGAAGCAAACUAGUAGGGCUCCAUGCCCGACUAAUUCGUGUCAAGUCCGAGUUGUUGGAGUUGUUAGUGGCAAGUCUGUGGCUGCGAUCGUGGUAUGCUGCUGCCAAGUCGAUGCGGCCAUCGGGUCGUGGCUGGCUGGCCGCCACGCUCGCAAUACAGCAUGCCUGGGUUGUGCUGCCAAACCAAAGGUGCAUGUACAUCUUUCCGAACCUCGUAAGGAAGCCCUCAGGUAUUAAGGAAAUCUAUACCUAAUAUUAAAGUGCGGUUGUUUGUUCCAACCAUUAUGGUUGUUUUGCAAAAAAGUCCCUCAACUUUUUCGUAAUCAGCUCGCAGUCCUUGGAAUAUGUCUUGAUGAUUUUGCAAAAAGGUCCCCAAACUUUACUGCAAUUGGCCGUCGAAGCUCCCGCAGCAUGCACCUACGCCACGUGCGGUGCGGACGAGUGUGCUGGCGGUGGCUGCAAGCUCCUCACCACAGCGGGGACCAGGUCGAGCAGCGACAGCGAUGACGGAGGGGAGUAGUCCGCAUCCGCGUGCCGUGCUUCCAUCGUCGGGCAAGCUGUGGCGGCGGUGGAGAGGGAAAGUGAGUACAUCGGCGUGUGGCAGCAGUCGUGGGGCAGUUUGGCGGCGGAGAUCCAUGACCCGCACCUCGCUGUGCGCAAGUGGCUCAGCACCUUGGACACCAUUGAGGACGCCACACACGUCUAUGAUGUCGCCGCCAUCGAGUUCCGAGGCCACCACGCCAAGCUCAACUUCCCCGACGACAUGGUCCCCGUGCCCGCACCUUCUAGGGUGCCCACCUCUACAUACCACUACCACCACCACCUGCCGCAGCCGCUGCCCAAGAGUCUGCACAAGACCUGCGGGUCGAACGCAUCGUCGUCGGUGCACAUGGCUCCUGGAUGACGGCAGCUUCUUGUCACCCAUGCCAUGAUCGUCACAUUCUCCUCUUGUUUUCACUUUCGUUGCUUAGCGGAUAAUGGUGGUCAGCUGCCCUUUGGUCUGUCGUCAAUCACCAGCCAUCCAUCGCUUUCAUAUGGUUUUACACUAGCUUUUGGGCUUUGACCACACCUCCACACCCAUAAAGUGGAGUGAUGUUGAUCUACUGCCGCUCGCCCUGGCGUGCAACUACUGUCGCUCACCCUAGCACAUGGCUACUCACUCGGGCUGCGUGCCCUACCCGCCACCUGGACCUAAGAGGUGAAGGAGAGAGGAGGAAGGGGGAAGGAAAUAAGGAGCCGAGUGCCUCUUUGCAGUCAACCAAGUAGAUCCAUGUGCCAGCGAAGGCAUGGCGCCAGCAAGGGGGGGGGGGCGCAGCAGCAGUCGGCAGGCAACGCAAAUUGGGGCAGAGGUUGGGACCUCACACCCCCCCUCUCAAUGACGUCCAUCCCCUUAAGAUCCGGAACUAAAGCCUCCACAUCUAGCAAUUGGGGGCUCAAUUUUGCACUUGAUUGAAAUGAUUUGGAGUGGAUUAUGGAAGGGAAGUGGAUGGAAAUGAGAAGAGGAGGAGAACGCACUCCUGCUCAUGGCGGCCAGAGGCGUUGUGGCCUAGCGCUCGAAGCAGGAAUGAGGCUAGGCACAGGAAGGACGAGCGCUUGCCUGGGCGAUGGUGAGGAUGGCAAGAUGCGCAGCGCCUGGAUGACGGCGAAGAUGGGGCUAGAUGCGGGUGGCGCUGAUGGAUGAAGAGGCAUCGACUGGCUAGAUGACGAUGAGUACGGGGGAAAUCGAAUGAAUGGAUGGAGCGGAGGUUGAGCGGUGAUUUUUUUUAUUUCCAUAUGUGGGUCCCACAUAAUAAACAUAUGGCAUCAAAUCACCCAUAAAUAUCUUCUACUACUAUACUGAGACAACGCACCAACAUAUGGUGAACCGAAGCCACCGUAUUACGAACAAGCGAAUAAUAACGUGAGAAUAAGUAAGGACCUGUAGCAACGCACGGACAUUUCUGCUAGUGAGAAAAAAAAUUGUUAUCUACCGCAGUAAGCACCGAGCAACAUAGGAGAUCUACUGGAUGGAAUAGAUUAAAUAAUAAAGGGAAGGGAGAAUUGUUUCCUUUUUUUUCCGUGGCAGAUCCGACAUGUCUGCAUGCAACAAGUUGAGGCCGACGUGUCGUGCUAAAUCAAUUGGAUCGGACUGGGGCUGGAUCAGGCGAGCUUGGCUGUGGCCGGGAUGAGGCCAAUAAGGGCGCCGCCCUUGACCUUGGCCUCCUGCGUCUCGUGGAUCUUCUGCAUCUAGAGCAUCCGCUCCAUGACAAGCUUGUACUGGCACUUCUCUUAGGCGUGGUGCUCAGGCUGGCACUUCCAGGGGAGGUAGAACUCGGAGGUGCACGCACUGGUUGUGGUAGGCGAGCGGCACCUGGGCCACCGCCAUCUCCACCUGCGUGAUGAUCUAGGGCUUCAAGGAGCCGAACUGCACACCGACCGUUGCUGCCGCCUCCAUCUGUCACUUUCUUCCCGUCUCUCUCACCGGCGAGGUCGUUCCAUCGAUAGAUGGGCAUUGCGGGUUUGGUGCGGUGUGGGUAGGUGGGGUGCAGCGAGGACAUGAGGAACCCUCUCGGAGAGAGAGAUUGCCAAUCUACUGGGCAAGUGGCAUGAUGAUCCUUGGAUAGAGAACUUGCUCCUCCGGAGUAAAUCCGACAGAUGCCGAGCUGGCGGCAGGCAUCGAGUCGAAGUCCACCGACAUGCUCCCGAAGCAGAGCUGGAUUGGGUUGGCGAGGAAGUCCUUCAUGCUCUCGGAAAAAACAAUGUCGGGACGGGAUGCCAUCGAGCUCGCUAGGGAGGAUCUCACAAUCAUCCCUACCUGGCAUGCCAACUGUUGGAUUUAUAAGCCUGAUAGUCCACCAGGGGGUUACCCAAGUAGUUGAUUUCUAGGUGAGGGCGAUUGUGAAACCAAGAACUCGAAGGUGAUUGCGAGAACACGAAGGGACACGAAGAUUUUAGAUAGGUUCGGGCCUCCGAAGAGUAAUACCCUACGUCCUGUAUGCUGGUUUGUAUUGCUUGAGAUUGAUAUGAUUGUUGGGAUACUCUUGGGGGUGCCCUUGGCCGCUUUAUAUAGGCUGAUGACCAAGAGUUACAAGUCGGUUUGAAUCUAAUCUACUCGGUAAUUAGAUGGAAAGUAAUCUGAGUCGGACUACAAUACGCGUUCCAUGAUAUCCAGGUAGAUUUGAACUGUCUUGUUGCUUUGACGUGCACUCCAAGUAACUUCAUGUCCUUAGCCCGCACGCCUUAGUCGGGUGGGCCCUAGUUGUUAGGUCUGACCAGUAUCCUGAGGUACCCAUAUCUCUCACCUUGGUGCUCCGGCGAUUAGGGUCAACGGCGAGGAUGGGGAUUGGAAGAGGAGAUCAAGGGGACUUUAUGGAGAUGCUCACCGGUGGUGAGGUGGACGGAUUCCAGCCAGAAUUUGGCUGGCGGUGGAAGAACACGACAGGUUGCUCAGGUCUUCGCGAGUGAUGGUACUCCAGCAGUGGAGCGGCGACGAAGACUAGUGGCAGAGCAGCUCCUCGACAUCAUGGAGCUCCCUAAGGCUCUAGCUUGCUCCAAUGGUCGACGGGCAUAGCGAAUUGGCCAGAGAAGGCUGGUAGCGGCUCCUAGCUUCGGUGGAUGUGGGGGAUGGCGGCGCUUGUGGAGGAUGGCGGUGCUUGUGCAAGCUGGGAAGAGUGGCGGCGCGAGGCAGGGUAGCAGCAGGGGCACUGUCUCGACUUUUAUAGGCGCGUGGGUCCGCGCCUACCUUGGCACGCAUGCUGAGGUUCGGCGGUGGCGACGACCAACUGCAGCUACGCUUGGCCUCAACCCGUUGGUGGCCGAUGGGCCUAGCGGACCUAGCCGAGCCAUCAGCUGGGCUGGGUCGGUGAGGGUCGAGCCGCAAAGACUUGGCCCGAUUGAUUAGGAUUUUCCUUUUUUUUAGAAAUGAUUUCUUGUAAAAGAAAAAUCCAGAAAAAUUCUAUAUAAUUAAUUUAAGCAACGAAAAAACCCUAAAAAUCCAAAAAUUCCAGGAAAAAUCCUAGAGAUAGUUUGGGAAUGAGGAGUACAAAUAAAAUACUUGGAGCUCAUGAAAAGGAUUCUAGAACCUUCCAAAAAUUGGAUUUAGCUCUAGAAAAAAGAGAAUAAAUCUUAGAAAAAUCUUGAAAUUCUCAUAAGAACCUAAUGGGCAUCUAAACGCAUUCCAAAACCUUUGCACUUAUGAAAUACCAAGAUGCAUCGGCAUGAAUGCAACACAUACAUAGAACUAUUAUAUUUAAUUCAGAAAAACACUCAAUUAUUUUCCUAUACUAAAUUUCCUGUCAGGAAAAUAAAUGUUGGAAAAAUUUUAAAAUUAUGAGAAAAUCAUUGUUUAAUUAUUAUUUUUAAUCACAUCCUGAAAUUUCAAAAAUUUUAAGGUGUGACAGAUACCCUCAGGUUUACAGAAUUUGACAUCCAUGUGCAAAUUGGAUCUAUCCUUCAAUGAUUCUUUGGAUUUGCACAGUUUUCAGAUAUUUACUGGAAGGAGCCCAACGGAUGAGAUAUUCAAUGAUUCUUUGGAUUUGCACAGUUUUCAGAGAAUGCUCUUCCAGAGAGAAUAUGGGAUAUAGUUGAUCCGACAAUAUGGAUGCACACAGAUGCCUAUAACAGCACUAUGAGAAGUGGAAUUAAGAAUUGCUUGCUUUCUGUUGUUUCUCUUGGAAUAUCAUGCUCAAAGAAACAACCUAGGGAGCAGAUCCCGAUUCAGGAUGCAGCCAUUGAGAUGCACGCUAUUAGAGAUUCGUAUCUCAAGUUUGCCAGAUCUCUUUUGGUGGAGCAUGGAGUAGUAGCAACAACUCACAGUGAUUUCCCACAACAGUGAAUACAUAGGACUGAAAAUGGGCAAGAUGUCCGCAGGUGAUCAGUUUACCUGAAAUAACUGAAGAUGUAUGAAGCUUCAGCUUUAUAAUUCGUCCAUGCAUUUGUUUGCAUCAGAUAUAUGGAAGUAUAAAAUAAGUUUAGAAAAUGUUUCAAAAUAGAUUAGAUCAAGAGGUUUUUACUUGUCGUCUGUAUGGCACAUUUGUUUAGAGAAUUCAGUAAUAUGUAUGAUUCAUAAUACAAUCAAUGCUCUGCAAAUUUCAGAUAGCACAAUUGGAAUAAAAAGCUCAUUCAUUGAUUAUGUUGCUCUAGGUGACUCAACUUAUUGUGAUGUUCACUGUAGAUUUCUCCAUGGUCCAAACGACCUUUGUGAUCAGUUAUGUUUAUGCAUUUUGUAGACUUGUAAAGUCUUUCCCUAACCUGCUGACAUAUCAGCUGGAGCAGAGCACUCUGCCGUUCUGCGCCACUUGCCUCUAGGCAGCGCUUGCCGCUUGGUGGCUGCCGUGGCGACGGGCGGCAUCCGUAAUUGCUCUAUUGGAGGCUGAGGGGCACAAUUACGUCUUGGAGUCGCCACCGCGCGACCUUCGGAGCUCGCCCAUGCCUCAUCGGUACGAGCUCAGUCCCGCGGUGAAUGGCGCGCGCAUCUGGGGUUCCGUCAGCUGCAGGUGCAGAUGGGUGGAGAGCUUAACAGCACUAGGUCUUCAGAAGAUGUUGGGUGGGCUGGAUGGGGCUUUGCGGCUCUGAAUGGCGAGGCGGGCAGGGACGACGGCGGCAGCGGCAGGCGGCGGCACUGGACGCGUUGGGGUGGAGACGACCCGGACCAGGGAGCAUUUUUGAAAAUAGUCGGAUCGCGAUCCUAAUUAGGAAAUGUGAGAAGGGGUGCACCAAAUAUGGGAUGAGAUGGAGAGGAGCGGAUCAGGCCCAGAUCAGCGAUCAUUUACUAUUAGGGCCCGUUUGUUUGGCAGGAAUUGGGCUGAAUUGGAAUUACUUUCCUAGGCCGACCUGUUUGGCUGCACAUGGAAUUGGAAAUCGUCUUUCCGGUGAUUUUCACGGGCUGAUUUUCUUACUUGCGACACAUUCCGGGCCUAAGACAAAGAAAUCAAUUCCAUCCGACUUGCUUCCCCUCCCGACUCGCCUCCCUUCCCCGACACCGCGCCACCUCCCUCUCCCAACUCCCCUCCAUCCCGACGCCGCACCCCCUCCUCCACCGCCUCCUCCGGCGCCCCCUCCUCACCUCCCCCUGACUCGCCUCACCCCGUGCUGCCGCCGCCCUCGACUCUGACUCCCCGAGCGCUGCGCCGCCGCCUCUCGCGCCGCCGCCCCUCGCGACCACCUUCUCGACGGCGAGAUAAACCUCCUCCAGUUUCCCUCCUCCAUCUCGUUCUCCGGCUCACCCCUUCCUUUUUCUUCCUCACCGGCUCACCCCUUCCCCUUGAACAAUCCGCAGAUCUGCGGGGGAGGUGCCACCGGCAAGCAGGCUGGGAGCAGCUGCAACGGCGGCCGCCCCAUCCACGUCUCUACGGACGGCAUCUUCAACAUUCCGACCACGCGCGUGCUCUCCACUAGCAAAGAAGCUGUACGUCCCAAUCCCUUCUGCCCAUCCCCUUUGCUACUCGAGCCAGCAAAGAAACUACUAGUUAGUUGCAUCAGAUUCUCACUGUCAAAUUGGAAGGCCAUUGCUCUUGCUCCUACUAGUAUACCGCACUUUCCACAAAAUGCGACACACGAAUUUGUUAAUUUUGCCGUAAUUCUGCUAUCAAAUCAAAAGGCCAAUCCUCUUGCUCUAAACAGUUUCUGCAAUUUCGUGCACUAUCGAUUGCUAGUGCUAAUUACAUGGAGGGCCUUUGGUACUUCUCUGCUAAUGCUAAUUAUAUGUGACAUGCUCUGAGAUUCUUCAUACUGUGUGCUGCCAUUAGUUUAAAUUUGGUAGAAGCUGAAAUCUCUUCGUAGAUCAUUAUGUGCUGCCAUUCUGAUAUCCUGUGGAGUUGCAUAUCAACUACUAGUGCUAGCAUUUAGUUUUAUCUGUCACAGCAGUUAAGCAUCAGUCAGCCCUUAUCUAGCAUUUAGUUGGUGCAGCUGUGCAAGUGAUGUUCCUAUUGUUUUUAAUUUUUGUCUUCUGCAGCAUUUUGCAGGCUGUCUAUGUUUCUGCUUAGUUUCGUGAAAUAGUGUAGCAUUUUGAUGAUAAAUUAAAACAUUCCUUUUUGCAUAUGUUUAGAUGCCUGACAGCAACAUAGACUUGGUUAAUACAGGCAUAGAGCAAAUGAGAGAGAGCGUAGGAAGAAGAGAAAAAGAGUGGCUAUUUUAUUUAUUUCUGCUGUCAUGAGCAUGAUUGUGCACUAAUGCGUAAGAGACCUAGGCGUAUCGUUGAUCCGGAUGAAGUGGCUGAGAGAAAUGUUGCUAGUCGGAAACAAAUGCCAAGGAAUCUGUACUAAGGAUCAAAUAUUUUUUGCUAUGACAGUUUGCGCCUAAUUAAGAGAUCAUUUUCUGACCUAUGUGCCAUCUUACGUGAUAGGUGCGGUAUGUGUGAUACUGUCGGUAGAAGAAAAUGUGGCUAUCUUUUUGCUUAUAGUGGGCCAUGGCACUAAGAUGAGGAUGAUUCGUAGCUCAUAUAGGUGGUCGCUCGAGCCAAUCUACCAUCAUUUCAAUGAGGUGUUGAGAGGUGUUCUAUCAUUAUGCCAUGAAUUUAUCAAGCUUCUUGAUCCAUCAGCUGUAGAACCUGAGGAUUCCAAGUGGAAGUGGUUUGAAGAUUGCCUUGGAGCAUUAGAUGGUACACAUAUUGACAUUUUGGUGCCUUUGGCUGACCAAGGGAGGUAUAGGAAUAGGAAGCAACAGAUUACCACCAAUAUUUUGAGGGUUUGUGAUCAUCACAUGAAAUUUAUUUACAUCUUAGCAGGAUGGGAAGGAUCGGCUUUAGAUUCACGUGUGCUACGUGAUGCAAUGUCUCGGGACGAUGCAUUUCUUAUUCCAAGUGGGAAAUACUAUCUUGUAGAUGCUGGAUACACCAAUGGACCGGGCUUUCUUGCUCCAUAUCGAUCCACUCGCUACCACUUGAAUGAGUGGGCUGCUCAAGGGCAUAACCCAUCCACUCCCAAAGAACUAUUCAAUUCGCGCCAUUCAACUGCUAGAAAUGUGAUAGAGAGAACAUUUGGGCUAUUAAAGAUGAGGUGGGCUAUACUAAGAAGCAACUCAUAUUUUAACUUACAAAAUCGGGUAUUCCGUAGUUAGUAACCUAGCUUGAAAUUCACCUCUGAAUGACCCUAGCAUGUAACUCAUUUCUACUAAUUUUUUGCAGAUUAGGAUCAUUAAUGCUUGUUGCAUAUUGCACAACUUUGUAAUUGAUAGACAAAGAGAUAUAGAUGACUUACUUAUAUACACCAAGUUGAUCAAGUAAUAUAUGUUGAACCUCAUGAAGUUCAAAGUGAAGUGGGCAUGAUUAGCAAUGUUCAAUCAUCAAAUGAAUGGAGCAAUUUUAGGGAUACCAAAGCUAACCAAAUGUUUGCUGAUUACCAAGCGAGACGUGGUCAAUGUAUGAUAAAUUCUAUCAUCAAUGCAUGCUCAAAUUUAUGAUAUUUGGUGUUGCUCCUUAAUAUUUUACUGAUAACCUUUGUGAACUUUUUUCUUGUAGAAUAUGGAGAAGGGCAAGAAGUCAGUCUCGAGCAGGGGUUACAUUUGUUGGAAUGACGACAUGAAUAAGGCUCUUCUUGACACAUUUGUGGAGUACUAUAACAAGGGUGACACAUGCCAAAAUGGGUGGAAGUCUCAUGUCUAUACAACUUCUAUCAAGAAUAUCCGAGAAAAGUGUAAUGUGGAUAUCACAAAAGACAACAUCAUGGCAAGGAACAAGACCUUUGACAAACACUACACUAUCAUCAAUGGUAUGUUGGAAUCAAGUGGAUUUGGUUGGGAUUGGAACAAAAAUAAAAUAUCUGUUGAUAGUGAUUCUGUAUGGGAAGAAUAUGUGACGGUAAGUUUCAAAAACCACUGAUUUACUUGCUUAACUUGCUUCUCUUUACAAGCAGUUUUCAUUUUGUUAGACACAAUCACAUAUGAGGUUAUCCUUAUUUUACACAUGGUAUGGUAUGAAUCUACUAGGUGGGCUUGGCAUAUAAUUGAAAGAUUUUUUGUACUCUAUCUAAAGUGGCAAUGAUUGUUUCAUCAAAACUUAUUGUUCCUGAAAACUUAUUGGCAUAUAAUUGAAAGUUUCUAUCUAUUGUUGAAAACAGUGUGUAGUGAAUUAUGUUCGUUACCUGUGUUCCUAAACAAUUAUGUAUGCAUCCUUGUCCCUGUAUGUUUUGUUACUUUUUUUAUUGAUAGUGUGGCAUCUUUAGGUUGUUCUUGAAAUGAAAGUAUACUUUCACUGCACAAGAAUUUAUUGGCCAGAAUAGUGGCUUGUAUUGGUCAGAUCCUAGUCAGCAAGUGCACGUCUCCUACAAGGCUGAGAAUCUUGCGUGAGGAAACUAGAGAGACCACUAGCAUGAACAAUGCCUCUCCAUACUCUGCAAUUUUUGAACUUUAGAUGCACCUGUCUCUUUGCUAGAAUUGCAAAUUAAGUAUGAAACAUGAAUCGACAUCAUUUAGUAUUGUUGUGCAGCACCAUACAAUGGUUUUGUGGUUUUGUGGAUUCUAGAAAAGGAUUCUCACAAAUGAUAGUUGCCAGUUAUACCUUUUGUUGCCAGUUCUACAAAAGGAGCCAUGGAUGUGUUUCAAUUUGUAGAUAUUCAUUGUGCAAAAUGCGACUAGAGCUUCUAGUACAUGUAUUUCUAAUAGUAGAAGCCAUGCAGAAGUUCCUGUAUUUGAACUACAGUAUGUAAACUGAUCUAUAUGUGUCUAAACUGGUCUGUAUGUGAACUACAAUGAUUGUACUUCUAUUUGGGUUCAGUACAUACUUGCUCUACACUUGUUUUCUAACCAAGUACAUUUAUUUUCUGUAGAAAAAUAAAGAAGUUACUGGGUACAGGCACAAGACUGUCUUGUACUGGGACUCAAUUAGCUUGGUGUUUGGCAAAGGCCAUGCUACUGGUGAAGCGGCAAAGACUGUGGCUGAGAGCUCAAAAAAUAUGAGUAAGGAAUAUCUUAGUAACAAAGAACCCACAUCAUCGGCAACUUCAGGAAGUUUAAAGAGGCAACGAUCAGGUGACUCUUUUACCUCUAUGAUAGCUGAAAAAAUGGACAAGUUUGCUGAAGCACUCAAGGAGGAAGCCCUAAAGGCCUAACAUCAAAAGAAAUUCUAGACACACUGAAUGAGGUACAAUGAUUGGAUGAAGACACUUUGUUGGACCUAUUUGAUAUCCUGACCGGUGAUGCACGCAAGUAUGAGUCUCUGUUGGCGCUUCCGGAGAAGAUGAGGAAGAGGUGGCUCCUAAAACAGCUCAAGAAGUGAAAAAAUUAGUUCAUAUAUAAAUUAUACUAUCAAGUGAUGGAUAAUGUCUAUUGAACUUCCAUUGCCUUGUAAUAAUAUGUGGCUUCAACUAUAUGAAAGUUUAGAUACUAUGUCUGUAUUGCUUGCAUUGUCAAGAUAAUAUGUUUAUCAUGAUCUCAUACUAUGUCUGUCAUGAAAGUUUAGAUAAUAUGUGGCUUCAACUUGUCAUGAUUGUAAUCUCCUUUGACAUGUUGCAAGUAAUCAGAUAUGUCUGCCAGGAUUGCAUUGUCAAGUAUGAAUGUAUAUCAGCAUUGUAGGGAGAGAAGCUUAUCUGCUUUUUGGAGAUAAACAUUCAAAUUACUGGUGUAUGACGGGAUGAAAUACUCUAGUGUUCACCUGGUUGGAAGGAUGAGAGGGAGAUGAGAGAGAGAGUUUGGAAGAGAGAGAGGUGAGAGUUCGGAUGAGAGAGAAAGCAGCUUAGAAGGAUGAGAGAGAGAAAGCGGUAUUCAGCUGGAUGGUGGAAAUUUUAUAUAUUACUAAUAAUGCAUCCAAACAAUAUUUGGAAUUUAAUUCUAAGAAAAACUUCCUUUGUACAACCAAAUAAGAAAAUUCAAUUGAAUCAAAUUCUACGGAAUCCAUUUCCUAUGGAAUCUAAUUGCUAGAAUAUGAUUCAUGGAAUGAGUUUCAAUUCUAGGGAAACAAACGGGCCAUGGUCUUCAUUCCCAAGGAAAGCUUGAGGCUCUGCAAUAUUACACAACAAUGAAGUCAAGAGGGUUGAUCCCUGAACCAAGGACCAAGAUACUGGUGAAAGCUAUACAUAUGAAGAAAGAUGGGGCUGUCAUAGAAGAUCAGUCUGCAAAUAUGACAGGGAAGAAUCUAAAACUGGAUCCACGAUCUAGACUAUUCCAUGUUCAUAAAUAGUUUGCUGUCAGAUCUUACUUCUAUGUGUCAAAAGAAUCUCUUCGACCAGUGUCCAGAUCACAAUGGUCACACCUUGGGCUACAAUAAAUCAUCAGCAAAGUGUAUUGGCAUUAUGUAUCCCAGAAAGUUUUGCUCAGACUUUCAAUGCCAGGGUAUGUUUUUUAUGUCUGAUAUGGAUCAAUUGCAGGUACUGUAUUACACGCUCGUAUUAUGAAGGUUAUGUGAAAUAUGACAGAUGUUUGUUUAUUCAUCUGUUAUGCAUGGCUGUGUCUACUGUCUAGUUGUUGGCUUGUUGCCAACAUAUGCAGCAGCAGGUAGCUUCAGCCGCUCAGAAGCCCAAAUGAAGGAUGGCCCAGGCAGAAUAGCUAUGUCCAGACCCAGAAAGCUUAGGACAUGUCUUGCCAGCCUGCAGUUUUGUACUCGUAGCACCAACCAUCUCCGGGUUCUGGCCGGUUAUAUACAUGGUCUGGAAUGGGCAUCCGCUGAUCGAUUGAAACCUUGAGUUGCUUCCGUGUGUCUUUUGCCAUCUAUAUAUUAUGGUUAGUCAACGGCAUGCAGUACACCCAUGCAUAUGAUUGCAGUAGGAUGACAUGGCGUGACCAGAACCCUUCUUUUGCCAGUUUUAGAUUCUUAUACACGGCCAACUGACGCAGCAGGGAGUUGCAUGCUAAGCAGUUCAGCGUAGGUGGUGAGUUCUCAACUCUGAUAUGGCUUAUGGAAGAACACUGUCACGGUGUCACCUAGCCGGUUGGAGGCCAACCUCUUACUAGGGACAGCAAUGGCCCUGUCCGGCCACUGUUUCGUGGCUGGUAUUAUUACCCCUAUGCAGUGAAUAUGACAUGUGGAUCUAUGUGUAUAUUAUGUCGUCAAAAGAACAUUAUAUGAACCGUUGAUCCACCUUUGAUUCUAUUAAUGUGUCAUGGUCAAUUGAUGUCAAACUCUAUUAUCUUCAAGUCUUACUGUAUUGAUAAAAUCACGAUGCUGCUACUGCCAUUUUGAUGUUUAUAAAAGGGUAUUGAGAACCUGGUGGGUAUCCAUUCGAUGCGCAGGGUUGGGGGUGGGGAAAAAUGAGUGUAAAGGACAGGGAUGCAGUAUUUAGAAAGAUGAGGCUGGCACAGAAAAUAGUCUCCAAGUAUGGCAGGGAAGAAUCUAAAACUGAAUCCUUGAUCAAGACUGUCCCAUAUUCAUAAAUAGUUCACUGACAGAUCUUGCUUCCAUAUUCUGAACAGCUGAUGCUGGGCACAUAGGAGGUUAACCGGUCAGCGGAUCAAAGAAAAUCCACAAUGGCCUCAUCUUGGGUUAGAGACAAUCAUCGGUAAAGAAUCAUAUUGCCGGAUAAGGAUAUCUGUGAUUGGUGGGUGCAGAUCCAUGCUCAUUCAAGAAACACAUGAUUCUUUACGGAUGAUCAUCUCUCAGCACACCCUGCUGAUAAGGUUAUCUGAGAUUGGUGGGUGCAGAUCCUAGAAACAAGCUAGGGCUGAAUGCGCCGCUGUACUUGGAUGUUGUGGUGACACCGUAAUGAUUGUGUGUUUAAUGGAGUUUUCCAUAGUGACUAGCGUGCAGGCCGUCCUCGUAUUUGAGAAAAAAAUCAAUGGGCGAAAUAUUUUCACCCAGGUAAUUGUUGCAUUGUAUGAAUAGGCUUAGAUACCUGGUUAAAGUAUGGUGCGUGUACUGUGACACAAGAAGAUUUAUCAUAUCUAUCUAUGAAUUAGUGUUAAAACUCCUACAUAAAUAUCUUCUCUUAUCUCACUUUAUGUAUAUAUAUGACACAGAAGCACAUGUAUAUCGGCAUUGUAGAGAUAGAGAUGAGAGAGAAGCUUAUCUGCUUUUUGGAGAUAAAUAUUCAAAUUACUAGUGUAUGAGAGGGAUAGAAUUAUUCUAUCAUAUUGUUUAUUCAACAUCUAAAAAGAUUCCAUGUUUAGUCAUCUAUAUCGGCGUUGUAGAGAGAGAGACUAGUGUUCAUCUGGUUGGAAGGAUGAGAGAGAGAGGAGAGAGUUUGGAUGAGAUAGAGAGAUAGUGUUCAGCUGGUUGGAAGGAUGAGAGAGAGAGAGAGGAGAGUUUGGAUGAUAGAGAGAUUAGUGUUCACUUGGUUGGAAGGAUGAGAGGGAGAUGAGAGAGUUCGGAUGAGGAGGUAGAGAGUUCGGAAGAGAGAGAGAGGUGAGAGUUCGGAUGAGAGGUGUGAGAGAGGUGAGAGUUCGGAUGAGAGAUAAAAUAGCUUAUAAGGAUGAGAGAGAGAGAAAGCGGUAUUCAGCUGGAUGGUGGAGACUUCAUAUAUUACUAAUAAUGCAUCCAAACAACAUUUGAAAUUUAAUUCUAAGAAAAACUUUCUCGGUAAAUCAAAACAAGAAAAUUCAAUUGAAUCAAAUUCUACGGAAUCCAUUUCCUACGAAAUCUAAUUGCUAGAAUAUGAUUCAUGGAAUGAGUUCCAAUUCUAGAGAUCCAAACGGGCCCUAAGAGAAUUGUAGUGAUCAACUCCCAAGUUGCAAUAUAUUCUAGGAAAUAGGUGGUUAUGAGGAUGAUACCUGCAGACAAUACUUUUUAUCCCUCAAUUCUUACAGAGAAUUGCACUAUCAACUGCAUUUUCAUUUGUGCCACGCUGCUCAGCUAUAAAAAACGGGGCAAAUCGACCAAAAUAAAUGAAUAAACCACAUGGUUUAGACUGGUGGCAUAUGUAUGUCUGAUGAGUUUAGAAUCCCAACAGACCUCUGUUUGCUUAUCCAACAGGAGGGAAAAAGUUUACUUACUAAAUCAGCUUUGCAUGUCAGGCUGCAAUUGUUAGAGAGUAGAAUUGGGUAAUUUGUGAACAUAAUUGAAUCAAAGUUUUGUCUCAGACUAGUAAUAGAAAAUGGUGAUGCUCCAUAGCUAGAACAACACGUUCCUACACUAGUUUAAAAAAUCCCCUGAAAUUGGGAACAAUGGUAAAGCCCAAACCAUACUUGGAACUUGGAAGGCCGCUGGCGGAUGUCAAAGUCAAAAACAGAAGCAGACAACGACGUCUCACCAGAUCACGAAUCAGAUGCGAUGCAUAUACAUGUUGCAGGCAUUAGCACGCAUCCCUUAGGAUUAAACAAUUCAGCAAGUAGCUCCCCUGCUGACCAAGAAAAGCAAGCUCUGUCUCGCAGCAAGCUCUUCAAUACGCUCCAGCCCAGCUCUACCAUGGCAUUUGCAAUGCGCGUCAUGAGCUUGCUUCCUGCCACCAUCGCCGUGAUGAUCGCAGCGGCCUCCUGGGGAGCGCACGGCGGUGCCAGCGACGAGGCCAGCGCGCUGCUUGCUUUCAAGGCUGAGCUCGCCGGCAGCGGCUCCGGCAUGCUUGCAUCCUGGAAUGGCACCGCUGGCGUCUGCAGCUGGGAGGGCGUGGCGUGCACCAGCGGCCAGGUGGUGGCACUGAGCCUGCCCUCUUAUGGGUUCGCCGGAGCCCUCUCCCCGGCCAUUGGGAACCUCACUUUCCUGCGGACCCUGAACCUGAGUUCCAACUGGUUCCAGGGGGAGGUCCCAGCAAGCAUCGGCCGCCUAGCGCGUCUGCAGACGCUUGAUCUGAGCUACAAUGCGUUCUCUGGUACGCUUCCUUCCAACCUCAGUUCCUGUGUCAGCUUACUGCUGUUAGAUCUCAGCAGUAACCGGUUCCAUGGGCGUAUCCCUGUUGAGCUUGGAGACAAGCUAACAAGUCUUCAGAAGUUCUCACUGGGCAACAACAGCUUGACGGGUGCCAUGCCAGGAUUACUAGGUAACCUGUCAUCCCUGAACUACCUUGAUCUGAGAAAAAACCACCUCGAGGGUCCGAUCCCACAUGAACUCGGCAGCAUGGGCGGCCUGCAGGUCCUUUUACUCCAUGACAACAGACUCUCCGGUGUGCUUCCACACUCCCUGUACAAUCUGUCCUCACUGAAAAAGUUGGGGGUAGGAGACAACAUGCUGUCUGGAACCAUCCCUGCUGAUAUCGGCGAUAGGUUCCCCGGUAUGGAAGCUCUUGACUUUUCUAGCAACCGAUUCAGUGGAGCUAUCCCACCUUCGCUCGGCAACCUCUCUGCUCUCACAAAACUAAUCCUUCAAGAAAAUGGUUUUAUUGGAUAUGUGCCUUCUGCUUUGGGAAAGUUGCAAAGUCUUACUGCCCUUUUCUUGGGUGUUAACAGGCUAGGAGCAAACGACAGUCAAGGGUGGGAAUUCAUCACUUCACUGGCAAACUGCUCCCAGCUUCAGGUUCUUGUUCUCGGCAACAACUCUUUCAGCGGGCAACUGCCUAAUUCAGUCACAAACCUGUCAUCAACUCUGCAAGGUCUUUAUUUGGGAGACAAUAUGAUUUCUGGGAAUAUUCCAAUAAACAUCGGAAAUUUGGUUGGUCUUACAGUAUUUGUGAUGGGAAAUACUUCUGUAUCUGGACAGAUUCCAGAGAGCAUUGGUCAGCUAAGAAACUUGGGUGUGUUAGGCCUUUACAACACUAGCUUGUCAGGCCUCAUACCUUCGUCACUAGGAAAUCUUACACAGUUGAAUAGGCUUUAUGCAUACUAUGGAAACUUAGAGGGGCCAAUUCCAUCAAACUUGGGGAACUUAAAGAAUGUGUUUGUCUUUGAUCUCUCAACAAAUCGACUCAAUGGUUCAAUUCCUAUAGAGGUUUUAAAACUUCCUCAACUUUCAUGGUACUUAGACUUAUCAUAUAAUUCAUUAUCCGGGCCACUUCCAAUUGAGGUUGGUACCAUGGUGAAUCUUAACGAACUGAUUCUGUCUGGAAACAAGUUGUCAGGCACCAUACCAGCUAGUGUUGGGAACUGUAUAUCGUUGGUACGGCUGCUGCUCGAUAACAACUUAUUAGAAGGAAGCAUACCUCAAUCUCUGAAGAACAUAAAAGGUCUUGCAUUACUGAACCUAACAAUGAAUAAGCUAUCUGGUAGUAUUCCUGAUGCCCUUGCUAGCAUUGGCCACCUGCAACAACUGUAUCUUGCACACAACAACUUGUCAGGUUCCAUCCCCAAAGUUCUACAGAAUUUGACAUUGUUGGCAAAACUGGAUUUGUCCUUCAAUGAUCUGCAAGGCGAAGUGCCAAAAGGGGGUCCUUUUGCAAAUGCAACUCACUUGUCAAUUGAUGGAAAUGAUGAGCUUUGUGGCGGAAACCCUCAACUUCAUUUAGCUCCGUGCUCCACAGCAGCUGCGGGGAAGAACAGAAGGCGAAUGUCAAGAUCACUUAUGGUCACCGUAGCGUCAAUCUGCGCACUUCUAUUCUUAGGUUUAGUAGUUUGUCUUAUCCAUUUGAUCCACAAGAGGCUCAGACAAGGAAAGGAAAAUCAACUCAUUCCCACAGCAAUUGAUGAACAGCACGAAAGGGUUUCAUAUCAAGCAUUAGCAAAUGGGACUGACCAUUUUUCGCAGGUUAAUCUGCUCGGACAAGGAAGCUAUGGUGCAGUUUAUAAGUGCACUUUACAAGACAAGGGAAUUACCGCAGCUGUAAAGGUAUUCAACGUGUGGCAAUCUGGGUCUACUAGAAGUUUUGUGGCUGAAUGUGAGGCACUGCGAAGGGUGCGCCACCGAUGUCUCAUAAAGAUCAUCACCUGUUGCUUAAGCAUUGAUCACCAAGGCCAAGAAUUCAAGGCACUGGUUUUUGAGUUCAUGCCCAAUGGUAACCUAAAUGGUUGGCUGCAUCCAGCAUCCAAAAUACAGAGUCUGAGCAAUACGCUCAGCUUAGCUCAGAGACUGGACAUUGCGGUAGAUAUCAUGGAUGCUUUGGAUUAUCUUCACAAUCAGUGUCAACCGCCUAUUAUCCAUUGUGAUCUCAAACCAAGUAACAUCCUCCUUGCCGAAAGUAUGAGUGCUCGGGUUGGAGAUUUCGGCAUAUCAAAAAUCCUUCCUGAUGACACUAGCAAAACUAUGCUGAAUUCGGUUAGCUUCACUGGACUAAGAGGUUCCAUUGGAUACGUCGCUCCAGGUAACAGAAACUAACACUGAUAUUGCUAUGUUCAGUUUUUAACUUCCAUUUUGCCAAGUCCAGUUAUCUCGGCAUGAAUCGUUCGUAAGUAGCUUGCCAUGAAUCCACUGACCAAAUAGUUUCUGAAAUCUGAAUUGACUGCAGAGUACGGCGAGGGUCGCGCCGUCUCAACUCUUGGAGAUGUUUACAGCCUCGGCAUACUGUUGCUUGAGAUGUUCACCGGGAUGAGCCCUACUGACGACAUGUUCAAAGGCUCCUUGGACCUUCAUAAGUUCGCCGAGGCCGCUCUCCCCGACAGAGCCUUGAAGGUAGCCGACCCGGCAAUCUGGCUUCAUGAAGAAGCAAAGGGGGAAGACCCGGCCACGGUGAGAAGCAGAAGCGAGAGGUGCUUGGCUUCAGUGGUCGGGCUUGGCGUGUCCUGCUCAAAGCAGCUGCCAAGGGAGCGGACGGCGAUGCGGGAUGCUGCCGCUGAGAUGCGUGCGAUCAGAGAUGCCUUCCUGGUUCAAUGUGCAACAGAGACUUGGCCUGCAGUCGGCACCAGCGGCCUUGGAAGCACAGACACUUGAAUGGUGGACGGAGCUACGGUCUCUUGACGCACCAAGGAGCCACCGGACUAGCUGCUCUGCAACUAACAGGGUGGAGAAAGCGCCCCUUAAUGAAAAGAAAAACAGCCGGUGCAAGGCUUUAUACAAAGAAUGUGACAGCCACUGCGUGUAUCCGAGAGCCUUAUCUAAUCUACCGAGGAUUGUUAUGUAUGGAUGCGUAUAGAUUAUGCACGGACUCCUCCGUCCCAAAAUAAACGCACAUCUUGCUUCUUGAGGAGUCAAACUUCUAAGUUUGACUAAAAUUUAUAAAAAAAAUGUACUACUAUUUAUAAUGUAUAAUAAAUAUCAUUAGAUUGAGCAUUGGGUAUACUUUCUUAAUACAUUUAUUUGAAGAUGUAAAUGUUGAUACUAUUUUUUAUAUUCUUAGUCAAAUUUAAAAAUAUUUGACUCAUCGAGAAGCGAGAUGUGUGUUUAUUUUGGGACGAAAGGAGUACCCGUCACCGGGAUUAGUCAUGAUAUAAGAUUAGUCACGAUAUAAGUAGGGAUUAGCAAGCACCAAAACCCCAUUCACUGCCCAUCGAUCGCUCAAAUAAAAGAAACCAUUGCAUAUGGUGGCGAUGCGCUCGCGGGCCUUUCUCCAACCUUUCUGCUCUCGCGGGUCUUGAACUUGCAUGGAACAGUUUUAGUAAAGCUGCCUCCAACUUUAGGGAGAUUGCCAAGGUUCAUUUACCUGUCCUUAAGUGGCAAUAAGUUAGGAUCGAAUGAUAAGGACGGAUUGGAAUUCAUCACCAUGCUGGCAAACUUCAGCCAGCUUCAUCAACUGGCUUUUGACAAUAAUUCAUUCAUCGGCGAACUUCCUAGCUCAAUUGCAAAUCUAUCGACAACACACCAAUUACUCUAUAUACGAUACAAUUGGAUUUCGGGAUUUAUUCCAUCCAGCAUAGGUAAUUUGCUUGGUCUAGAACUGCUUACGUUGGCAAAUACUUUCAUAUCCGGAAUGAUUGUAGAUAGCAUUGGUCGCCUAGAAGACAUGUCCGUGUUAGGCAUUUACUACGCUAGCUUGUCAGGUAUCAUACCUUCAUCACAAGGAAAGCUUACACAGUUGAAAACUCUCUAUGCGUACGAUAGCAACUUGGAGGGUUCAUUUCCAGCAAGCUGGGGGAACUUAAAGAAUCUUUUUGUUCUUAAUCUCUCAACGAAAGUGCGUAACCCGCUAAAGUUUCAUGUCAAAGCAGAGCAUAAAUCUCUCUCAAAACUGCAAAACUAUCAUAAAGCAGAUCAGUCUGAGGGCUAGCCUAUGCCCUAUCAACGCCUCCCUUCUUGCCCUUUUGGUAAGAUUACCCCAAACUAGAGUCUAUAAUUAAUUAGCUAAGACUAGAGCCACGUAGUUCUUGUGGUUGUACUGUUUUCCUGAGUGGUCGCUCCAUGUUCCAAUUAAGCAUGAUGAUCUUGUAUUAAUAAAAGGUAUAUCAUAAAUAAAACAAGUUUAAUCAUUGAGUUCAUUAAAACCAUCACAAUCCAAGGUAUUGCAACUAAGCAUAUCUACCUUAAAAAAAGGUAAAACCCAGGUUGACAAGGAAUGAUCAUAAAAACUAGGUAAACCUUAAUAGGACCUAUCAAUAUUAAAUGUAGAGCAAUGCAAAAGUGAUUAAAUAUAGUUUUUGGGAUAAAAGUAUAAGGACACACGUGCCUUUCUCCAAAGAAUAGCUGCUCAGAUUAUCUUCCGCUCUUGUUCCUCAAAGCUCUCGAACAAUGUUCCUUCUACUUGCAUCAAUCAUCGGCACAAGCAUACCAAGCAAACAACAAUCACAACUAAGAACAAUACAUCAAUCAUUGGAAAGCUUUAAAAGAGCGUACUAAAGGAUAAGGCUUGAAUCUAAGGUCACGCGAAUGCAAGAAACGCUGGGAACAAAACUAUGGUUGAAAAGACAAAGUUAUCGAGAGAUUUGAAUUAUAAAAGAAAGAGAAAAGCAUAUGUGCUUCAUAUAUUUUAAUAAAACAAUGUAAAGAUAUUUUAGAGAAACAUCCUUAGCAUGUUAUAGUUAUGUAUGAAAAGACAAUGUAGAACUUAGUCAAAUUUUAUUAUAAACAUUCAAGUACAAUUUAUGCAAAUUAAAAAUUUAAUUUGAAAAUAAAGUAUAUGUAAACAUCUAAGCGCAUAGCUUUAUGAUUUAGGUUGAACUAACCAAAUAUAAUUAAAAACACAUUUAUAUUUAUAUUAAAUCAAAUUAACAUAUAAUUAUGAAAACUCGAGAUAUAAAUUAUGUAGCUUUUAUUUAGAAAACAAAUUGAAUAAACAUUUUAAUUAAAGAAGACAUGUUUAACAUGCAUUAAUUAGAUUAAUAUUAAAUUUAUUUUAAAAACAUGCAUGAUGGAAAGAUCGGCACUAACGUGUAAUUUGUGAUUCAGGUUGAACUAACCAAAUAUAAUUCAAAAACACAUUUAUAUUUAUAUUAGUCAAAUUAACAUAUAAUUAUGAAAACCCAAGAUGUAACUUAUGUAGCUUUUAUUUAGAAAACAAAUUGAAUAAACAUUAAUCAAUUUAAGUUUAAUUAUGAACCACCGUGGUGCAUCUCUAAUUCGCUUUUAAUUGAAAGAGUUAUUUAAAUAAGCAUUAAUAACUAAAUUAACAUUUAUUAUGAAAAGCGGUUAUAACACUAAGUAGCUUUUAAUUAAGGAAGACAUGUUUAACAUGCAUUAAUUAGAUUAAUAUUAAAUUUAUUUUAAAACAUGCAUGAUGGAAAGAUCACUACUAACAUGUCCUAAGAAUGGAUAUAAACGGAGCUGUAAUGAGGAGUCCAUGGGUUAAACAAGGUUGCAGGGCCUAAUCGCGAUUAACGGAAGGUUAUUGGGGCUAGCAAGGAAGAUUUGCAAGACACUGGAAUAGAGCUCACCAUUAGGUCAAAGCAUAGGGUUAGAUAUGUUAAAGUGCUCAGGUUAGACUUGGUUGCACGGAUCCAAUCUAAUCAGGGACAUGGAUGAAAAAAAACAAGACACAAGGAAAAACUAACUAUUUGUAGAGCUUUAUAGGGGCCUAUGCGCAAAAGCACCACAGCUCAGCAUCCAUGGUGGACGGGCUCCUGGAUGGCAAAACCCUCGUGUCAGAUUUAUAAGCCUGGUAGUCCACCAAGGGAUUCCCCAAGUGGUUGAUUUGUAGAUGAGGGUGAUUGUGAAACCAAGAACUCGAAGGUGGUCGCGAGAACACGAAGGGACACUUAGACAAGUUCGGACCUUCGGAGAGUAAUACCCUACGUCCUAUAUGCUGGUUUGUAUUGCUUGAGAUUGAUCUAAUUGUUGCGAUACCCUCGGGGGUGCCCUUGGCCGCCUUAUAUAGGCUGACGAUCAAGAGUUAAAAGUCGGUUUGAAUCUAAUCUACUCGGUAGUUACAUGGAAAGUAAUCUGAGUUGGACUACAAUAUGUGUUCCAUGAUAUCUGGGCAGAUUUGAACUAUCUUAUUGCCUUGACUUGCACUCCAAGUAACUUUAUGUCCUCGGCCCGCACGCUCUGAUCGGGCAGGCCCUACUUGUUAGUCCGACCAGUAUCCUGGCCGGUCAGGGCCCAUGGGGUACCCAUAUCCCUUAAGGCCCCAAGCAUUGUGUAGGCAAACAGGAACUUGAUGUCAUCAAAGUGAAACUUGGAAUGAAAUCGGGUGAAGCUGACGAAGAGCCAACGCGUAGAGCGAGGAUGAGUGCCGAGUUGAUGGAUGCUGGCAUCCAGCAGGUCGAAGCGAAGGUUACGGAGGGCGUCGCAAGACGCACUCUGUAGGAGUAGCCCCGGAGCAUUGAAACAAUUAAGAUAAUCAAUACAAUGGUCAAAGAGGAAAAAAUUGUCCCCUGAAGUAGAUCCUUGUGCCCGAACACAAGGAUGGACGCAGCCACGGAGGCCCGCCAACCAGAAGUAGGCACCUAGACUCAAGGACGAGGACUGGUGGGACUGUGGAGCCAUGCCGACCUGAAAUAGGCAUCUAACCCCUGAGGACGAGGACUAGCAGAGCCGCAGAGGCAUGCUAACCUGAAAUAGGUGCCUAGCCCCCGAGGAUGAGGACUGGCGGAGCCAUGAAGGCACGCCGACUUGAAAUAGGUGCCAAGCCCCCAAGGACGAGGACCAGCAGAGCCACGAAGGCACUCUGACCAGAAUUAGGCGUCCAGCCCCCGGGCAUGAGUGCGAGGAUUGGCGGAAGCACAUCGAGUUGCCUCCCUUCCCGGGCUCAGGCAGAGAGGUUGGUCGGGUGACGAGAGGCACACCAAGUCAUCAAUGGUGCCCAGCCGCCGAGCCUAGGAGCCGGACGAGUUGCAAAAGCAUGGCAAGUCACCUCCCGCCCCGAGCCAGAGAGGUCGGCUGGGCGACGGGAGGCACGCCGAGUCAUCUACGGUGCCCAGCCCCCGAGCCUUGGAGCCGGCUGAGCCACAGAAGCACGCCAAGCCGCCUCCCGCCCUGAGCUAGAGAGGUCGUUUGGGUGACAAGAUGCACGCCGAGUCGUCUGCGGCGCCUAGCCCUCGAGCUUGGGAGCCAGACGAGCCACAGAAGCAUGCCAAGUCGCCUCCUGUCCCGUGCUAGAGAGGUCAGCCGGGUGAUGGGAGGCACGUCGAGUAGUUUUUGAGCUAUAAAAGAACAAUACAAUCAUUAUGUAGCAUAAUGUAGAUCAUUUAAUCAUUGAACAACUCGGAAGUUUAAUUCGCUGUAGAAGUAAACUCUUGCGCAUCCUGCUCUUAUAGGCCAAGUAAUUUCCCUAGGUAGUUAUCUUGUUACGUUUAAGCACCUAGCCCUACUGACCACUGUUCACGGAGAGGAUGGUUUAUCUUAGGCUAUAGUGCUGGGGCUGACCCGAUGCUCGCAUAUAGGAACGCGCAGGAUGAGUCAAGGUUUCACGGAUUAAGGCGUGUGCUACCCGAGUACUUUAGCAACCGUUAACAGGGAUGGACAAGUCGCAAAGCAACCGGAACUGUGCGGAAAAGCACCAGCAUGAGUUGGGCACCCAUGGGGUGUAGCCCCCGGCCGCCCGUGUAGUGGACGGAACAAAAGUCACGACAACAUGGAGGAGCCGAGGCUUAUGUAGGUAUAUGGAAGCUGUAAAAUAUUUUAUUGUAAAUAAUACUUAGCUUGAUUCGUGGUCGAGUCAAAGAACCCGCGUGUCAUCUUCGCGUUUAGUCUUAGAAGCCCCUGAGCGUGGUCGGCGGACAGUUGUUGGUGAAGCAAACUAGUCGGGCUCCAUGCCCAACUAAUUCGUGUCGAGUUCGAGUUGUUGGAGUUGUCAGCGGCAGGUUUGUGGUUGCGAUUGUGGUAUGCUGUUGCCAAGUCGAUGUGGCCAUCGGGUCGUGUCCGGCUGGCCGCUACGCUCACAGUACAGCAUGUCUGGGUUGUGCUGCCAAACCAAGGGUGCAUGUACAUCUUUUCGAACCUUGCAAGGAAGCCCUCACGUAUUAAGGAAAUCUAUACCUAAUAUUAAAGCUCCCGCAGCGUGCGCCUAUGCCACGUGUGGUGUGGACGGGUGUGCCGGCUGCGGCUGCGAGCUCCUCACUGCGGCAGGGACCAGGUCGAGCAGCGACAGUGAUGACGAAGGGGAGUAGUCCGCGUCUGCGUGCCAUGCCACCAUCGCCGGGCAAGGUGUGGCAGCGGCGGAGGGGGAGAGUGAGUACAUCGGCGUGCAGCGGCGGCCGUGGGGUAGGUGGGCGGCGGAGAUCCGCGACCCGCACUACGCCGUGCGCAAGUGGCUCGGCACCUUUGACACAGCUAAGGAUGCCACGCGCACCUACAACAUCACCGAUGUCGAGUUUUGAGGCCACUGCACCAAGAUCAACUUCCCCGACAACACGGCCCCCGCGCCCGCACCUUCCUGGGUGCCAAACUCGACAUACCACCACCACGACCACUUGCCGCUGCCGCUGCCCGAGAGCCUACACGAGACCUGCGGGGCGAACGCAUCCUCGUCGAUGGAUGUGGCUCUUGCGGUAGCGGCGUCGGCCGAGCAGCACGGCACGAGGCCGGUGCCGAAGGAGCAGGACAUCUGGGACAGGCUGAACGAGUUCAUGAUGAUGGAUGACGGUAGCUUUUGGUCACCCAUGCUAUGAUCAUCACAUUCUCCUCCAUUCUCCUCUUGUUUUCACUUUCGUUGCUUAGCGGAUAAUGGUGGUCAGCUGGCCUCUGGUCUGUCGUCAAUCGCCAGCCAUCCAUCGCUUUUAUAUGGUUUUGCACUAGCUUUUGGGCUUUGACCACACCCUCCACACCCAUACGAAAUGACUAGGUAGAGUGAUGUUGAUAUACUGCUUGCCGCGCGCUAGGGCGAGCAGCUACUCACUCGGGCUAGAUGCCCUACCCGCCACCUGGACCUAAGAGGUGAAGGAGAGAGGAGGGAGGGGGAAGGAAACAAGGAGCCGAGUGCCUCUUUGCAGUCAACCAAGUAGAGCCAUAUGCCAGCGAAGGCAUGGCGCCAGCGAGGGGGGGGGGCGCAGCGGCAGUCGGUAGGCAACACAAACAGGGGGCGGAGGUCGGGACCUCACAUCCCCCUCUCAAUGAUGUCCAUCCCCUUCAUAUCCAGAACUAAAGCCUCCACAUCUAGCAAUUGGGGGCUCGAUUUUGCACUUGAUUGGAACGAUUUGGAGUGGAUUAUAGAAGGGAAGUGGAUGGAAACGAGAAGAAGAGGAAAACACACUCCUGCUCAUGGCGGCCAGAGGCGCGGUGGCCUAGGUCUCGAAGCAGGAAUGAGGCUAGGCACGGGAAGGACGAGCGUUUGCCUAGGCGACGGUGAGGAUGGCAAGAUGCGUAGCGCCUGGAUGAUGGCGAAGAUAGGGCAUGAUGCGGGUGGCGCCGACGGACGAAGUGGCAUCGACUAGCUAGAUGACGAUGAGUACGGGGGAAAUCGAAUGAAUGGAUAGAGCGGAGGUUGAGCGGUGAUUUUUUUUUAUUUCCAUGUGUGGGUCCCAUGUAAUAAACAGAUGGCAUCAAACCACCCACAAAUAUCUUCUACUACUGUACUGGGAUAACGCAUCAACAUAUGGUGAAGCGAAAUCAACAUAUUAGGAACAAGCAAAUAAUAAUGUGAGAGUAAGUAAGGACUUGUAGCAACGUACAUGUAUUUCUGCUAGUAAGAAAAAAAAUUGUUAGCUGCCGUAGUAAGCACCAAGCAACGUAGGAGAUCUACUGGAUGGAAUAGAUUAAAUAAUAAAGGGAAGGGAGAAUUGUUCCUUUUUUUUGGCAGAUCCGACGUGUCUGCAUGCAACAAGUUGAGGUCGACGUGUUGUGCUAAAUCAACCGGAUCAGACUGGGGCCGGAUCAGGCGAGCUUGGCUGUGGCCGGGAUGAGGCCAAUAAGGGCGUCGCCCUUGACCUUGGCCUCCUGUGCCUCGCGGAUCUUCUACAUCUGGAGCAUCUGCUCCAUGAUGAGCUCGUAGUGGCACUUCUUGUAGGCGUGGCGCUCGGGCUCGCACUUCCAGCGGAGGUAGAACUCGGAGGUGCACGCACUGGUCGUGGUAGGCGAGCGGCACCAAGGCCUCCGCCAUCUCCACCUGCGUGAUGAUCUGGGGCUUCGUGGAGUCGAACUGAAUGCCGGCCAUUGCCGCCGCCUCCAUCUGUCACUUUCUUGCCCUCUCUCUUGCCGGCGAGGUCGUUCCGUUGAUAGAUGGGUGCUGCGGGUUUGGUGCGGCGUGGGUGGGUGGUGUGCAGCAAGGACGUGAGGAACCCUCUCGGAGAGAGAGAUUGCUUACCUACUAGGUAAACGGUGUGAUGAUCCUUUGAUAUAGACCUUGCUCCGCCGGAGUAAAUUCGACAGAUGCCAAGCUGGCGGCGGGCAUUGAGUCGAAGUCCACCGGCAUGCUCCUGAAGUGGAGCUGGAUCGGAUUGGCGAGGAAGUCCUUCAUGCUCUUGGGGAAAACAAUGUCGGGGCGGGAUGCCAUCGAGCUCGCUAGGGAGGAUCUUACAAUCAUCCCUACCUAGCGCGCCAACUGUUGGAUUUAUAAGCCCGGUAGUCCACCAGGGGGUUACCCAAGUAGUUGAUUUGUAGGUGAGGGCAAUUGCAAAAUCAAGAACUCGAAGGUGAUCGCGAAAACACGAAGGGACACGAAGGUUUUAGAUAGGUUCGGGCCUCCGGAGAGUAAUACCCUAUGUCCUGUAUGCUGAUUUGUAUUGCUUGAGAUUGAUAUGAUUGUUGGGAUACCCUCGGGGGUGCCCUUGGCCGCUUUAUAUAGGCUGACGACCAAGAGUUACAAGUCGGUUUGAAUCUAAUCUACUCGGUAGUUACAUGGAAAGUAAUAUGAGUCAGACUACAAUACGCGUUCCAUGAUAUCCAGGCAGAUUUGAAUUGUCUUGUUGCUUUGACGUGCACUCCAAGUAACUUCAUGUCCUCGACCCGCACGCCUUGGUCGGGUCGGCCCUACUUGUCAGGUCUGACCAGUAUCUUGAGGUACCCAUAUCUCUCACCUUGGUGCUCCGGCGAUUAGGGUCAGUGGCGAGGAUGGGGAUUGGAAGAGGAGAUCGAGGGGACUUUAUGGAGAUGCUCACCGGCGACGAGGCGGACGGAUUCUGGCCAGUAUUUGGCUGGCGGUGGAAGAACACGACAGCUGGCUCAAGUCUUCGUGAGUGAUGGUACUCCGGCGGUGGAGCGACGACGACGACUGGUGGCAGAGCUGCUCCUCGAUGUCACGGAGCUCCCUAAGGCUCUAGCUUGCUCCGAUGGUCGACGAGCACAGCGAAUCGGCCAGAGAAGGACGGCAGUGGCUCCUAGCUCUGGCGGAUGUGGGGGAUGGCAGUGCUCGUGCAAGCUAGGAAGAGUGGCGGUGUGAGGCAGGGCAAUAGCAGGGGCACAAUCUCGACUUUUAUAUGUGCGUGGGUCCGCGCCUGCCUUGGCACGCAUGCCGAGGUUCGGCGGUGGCGAUGCCCAAGUGCAGCUACGCUUGGCCUCGACCCGCUGUUGGUCGAUGGGCCUAGCGGGCCUAGCCGAGCCAUCAACUGGGCCGGGUCAGUGCAGGUUAGUUGGAGAGGGUCGGGCCCCAAAGACUUGGCCCCAUCGAUUAGGAUUUUUCUUUUUUUCAGAAAUGAUUUCUCGUGAAAGAAAAAUCCAGAAAAAUUCUAGAUAAUUAAUUUAAACAAUGAAAAAACUCUAAAAAUCCAAAAAUUUCAGGAAAAAUCAUCUCUAGUUUGGGACAUGAGGAGUCCAAAUAAAAUACUUGGACCUCGUGAAAAGGAUUCUAGAACCUUCCAAAAAUUGGAUUUAGCUUUAGAAAAAAAUGAGAAUAAAUCUUAGAAAAAUCUGAAAAUUCUCAUAAGAACCUAAUCAGCAUCUAAACGCAUUCCAAAACCUUUGCACUUAUGAAAUACCAAGAUGCAUUGGUGUGAAUGCAACCCAUACACAAUCAUUAUAUUUAAUUCAGAAAAACACUCAAUUGUUUUCCUAUACUAAAUUUCCUCUUAAGAAAAUAAAUGUUGGAAAAAUUUUAAAAUUGUGAAAAAAUUAUUGUUUAAUUAUUCUUUUUAAUCAAAUCCUGAAAUUUCAAAAAUUUUAAGGUGAGGCAGAUACCCUCAGGUUUACAGAAUUUGACAUCCAUGUGCAAAUUGGAUCUAUCCUUCCAUGAUCUACAAGGUGAAGUGCCAAAAGUUUUUUUUUGGCAAAUGCAACUUACAUGUCGAUUUAUGGAAAUGAUCAGCUUUGUGGUGGAAAUACCUCAACUUCAUUUAACUCCAUGCUCCAUGUCCAGUGCAAAAAAGAAAAAAAAGGAAAUUUGUCGAAAACCCUUGUGAUCACCCUAACAUCAAUCGGUGCAGUUGUAUUCUCAGUUUCAGUACUUACUGUAAUUGUGUUGAUCUGUAAGAAGCUUAGGAAAAGGCACGAAAGUCAACUCAUAUCCACAACUGAGGAACGGUAUGAAAGAGUUUCUUAUCAUGCUUUGUCAAAUGGGACCAAUGGAUUUUCAGAGGACAAUUUACUUGGACAAGGAAGCUAUGGCAUGGUUUAUAAAUGUACUUUACAUGACCAGGGCACUACAGUAGGCUACUGUAAAGGUGUUUAACACACAACAAUCUGGGACUUCUAGAAGUUUUGUCGCUGAAUGCGAGGCACUCAGAAGGGUGCGUCCUCGUUGUCUCGUAAAGAUCAUCACUUGUUGCUCAAGCAUCAAUCACCAGGGUCAAGAGUUCAAGGCACUAGUUUUUGAGCUCAUGCCAAAUGGUAGCCUAAAUGGUUGGCUUCACCCAGAGUCUGACACACUUACCCAGACAAAUACCCUUAGCCUUGAACAAAGGCUACACAUUGCUGUCGAUAUCCUGGAUGCUUUGGACUAUCUUCAUAAUCACUGUCAGCCAUCAAUCAUUCAUUGCGAUCUCAAGCCAAGCAACAUCUUUCUUGCGGAGGACGUGAGUGAGUGCCCGAGUUGGAGGUUUUGGCAUACGAAGAAUCCUUCCAGAAAGUGCUAGUAAAACCCUGCAAAAUUCGAAUAGCACAACUGGAAUAAGAGGCACCAUUGGUUAUGUUGCACCAGGUAAUGAAAGAGAUAUUUUUGGUAUUUGUAAAAUGUUCUUAGUUCUUACGUAUACAUGACCUGCUGACCUUUGGAUUUUUUCCCCAAUCAGAGUACGGUGAAGGUUCUUCUGUCUCAACUCAAGGUGAUGUUUAUAGCCUCGGCAUAUUGCUGCUUGAGAUGUUUACUGGAAGGAACCCAACAGAUGAGAUAUUCAAUGAUUCUUUGGAUUUGCACAAGUUUUCAGAGAAUGCUCUUCCAGAGAGAAUAUGGGAUAUAGUUGAUCCGACAAUACGGAUGCACACAGAUGCCUAUAACAGCACUAUAAGAAGUGGAAUUAAGAAUUGCUUGGUUUAUGUUGUUUCUCUUGGAAUAUCAUGCUCGGAGAAACAACCUAGGGAGCGGAUCCCGAUUCUGGAUGCAGCCAUUGAGAUGCACGCUAUUAGAGAUUCGUAUCUCAAGUUUGCCAGAUCUCUUUUGGUGGAGCAUGGAGUAGUAGCAACAACUCACAGUGAUUUUCCACAACAGUGAAUACAUAGGACUGAAAAUGCGCAAGAUGUCUGCAGAUGAUCAGUUUACCUGAAAUAACUGAAGAUGUAUGAAGCUUCAGCUUUAUAAUUUGUCCAUGCAUUUGUUUGCAUCAGAUAUAUGGAAGUAUAAAAUAAGUUUAGAAAAUGUUUCAAAAUAGAUUAGAUCCAGAGGUUUUAGUUGUCGUUUGUAUGACACAUUUUUGUAGAGAAUUCAGUAAUAUGUAUGAUUCAUAAUACAAUCAAUGCUCUGCAAAUUUCAGAUAGCACAAUUGGAAUAAAAAGCUCAUUCCUUGAUUAUGUUUCUCUAGGUAACUCAACUUAUUGUGAUGUUCACUGUAGAUUUCUCCAUGGUCCAAACGACCUUUGUGAUCAGUUAUGUUUAUGCAUUUUGUAGAAUUGUAAAGUCUUUCCCUAACCUGCUGACAUAUUAGCCGGAGCAUAGCACUUUGCCGUUCUGUACCACUCGCCUCUAGGAGGCGCUUGCCGCUUGGUGGCUGCCGUGGCGACCGACGGCAUCCGUACCUGCUCUGUCGGAGAUGGGUGGAGCUGCUCUGCUCUGCCGGUACGAGCUCACUCGCGCCGUGAAUGGCGCGCGCCUCUAAGGUCUCAUCAGCUGCAGGUGCAGAUGGGUGGAGAGCUUAGCGGCGCUAGGUCUUCAGAAGAUGGGGCUUUGCAGCUCUGAAUGGUGAGGCGGGCAGGGACGACGGAGCUGGACGCGUGGGGAGGAGACGAUGGGCAUUUCUGAUAAUAGUUGGAUCGCGAUCCAAAUUAGGGGGCUAUUUACAAAUAAUAGGGGGUAUUCCGUAAAUAUUCGGAUCGCGAUCAUUAAUCGCGAUCCAAAUGAGGGGUUAAUUGAAAUUAUGAUGGGGUGUCUUUUGAAAUUCCGGAUCGCGAUCCCAUCCUCCGCCGCGGCUCGCCGGAGCGCCGCCAGACGCCGGCCAUCCCUUGGGGUACCUCUUCUUCCUUCCGCUUGUCGGAGCCCUAAGACGUGGUCGGUGUUUGAUCUGACAAGGAACCUUGAAGUCCGGACUAACUGAAGAAGACAGACAUGAUGCUGACCUGGAAGACGACGGCCUCGCCAUGGCUGGAUGCGGCGCGGUGGAAGGACAGUGUGGUGGAGGGCGUGGUCCACCACAUUCCGUCGACGGGCGGCGCACUUGCUGUCGCCUGUCGGCUACUUCCAGGCCGUAGCUGAGCUUCAGAGUUCAGACAGGGUGCUUGUGCUUGCAACAAGUUCAGAACGAUGUCAUUAAUUUGAUGCAGAGGAUGGAGCAAACCGGUUGCAAAUUGGAUUCUGAUACAUAUAACUUAAUAUUGAACCUUUAUGUCGAUUGGAAAUAUGAGAAGGGGUGCACCAAAUAUGGGAUGAGAUGGAGAGGAGUGGAUCAGGCCCAGAUCAACGAUCAUUUACUAUUAUGGUUCAUGGUCUUCAUUCCCAAGGAAAGCUUGAUGAGGCUCAACAAUGAAGUCAAGAGGGUUGAUCCCUGAACCAAGGACCAAGAUACUGGUGAAAGCUAUACAUAUGAAGAAAGAUGGGGCUGUCACAGAAGAUCAGUCUGCAAAUAUGACAGGGAAGAAUCUAAAACUGGAUCCACGAUCUAGACUAUUCCAUGUUCAUAAAUAGUUUGCUGUCAGAUCUUACUUCUAUAACCUGAACAGAGGAUUGCUGGGCACGUAUUAUGUGUCAAAAGAAUAUCUUCUACCAGUGUCCAGAUCACAAUGGCCACACCUUGGGCUACAAUAAAUCAUCAGCAAAGUGUAUUGGCAUUAUGUAUCCCAGAAAGUUUUGCUCAGACUUUCAAUGCCAGGGUAUGCUUUUUAUGUCUGAUACGGAUCAAUUGCCAGUACUGUAUUACACCGCUCGUAUUAUGAAGGUUAUGUGAAAUAUGACAGAUGUUUGUUUAUUCAUCUGUUAUGCAUGGCUGUGUCUACUGUCUAGUUCUUGGCUUGUUGCCAACAUAUGCAGCAGCAGGUAGCUUCAGCCGCUCAGAAGCCCAAAUGAAGGAUGGCCCAGGCAGAAUAGCUAUGUCUAGACCCAGAAAGCUUAGGACAUGUCUUGCCAGCCUGCAGUUUUGUACUCGUAGCACCAACCAUCUCCGGGUUCUGGCCGGUUAUAUACAUGAUCUGGAAUGGGCAUCCGCUGAUCGAUUGAAACCUUGAGUUGCUUCCGUGUGUCUUUUGCCAUCUAUAUAUUAUGGUUAGUCAACGGCAUGCAGUACACCCAUGCAUAUGAUUGCAGUAGGAUGACAUGGCGCGACCAGAACCCUUCUUUUGCCAGUUUUAGAUUCUUAUACACGGCCAACUGACGCAGCAGGGAGUGGCAUGCUAAGCAGUUCAGCGUAGGUGGUGUGUUCUUAACUCUGAUAUGGCUUAUGGAAGAACACUGUCACGGUGUCACUGUCCAACCUCUUACUAGGGACAGCAAUGGCCCUGUCCACUGUUUCGUGGCUGGUAUUAUUACCCCUAUGCAGUGAAUCUGACAUGUGGAUCUAUGUGUAUAUUAUGUCGUCAAAAGAACAUUAUUUGAACUCUAUUUGUGGCGCCACCUUUGAUUCUAUUAAUGUGUCAUGGUCAAUUGAUGUCAAACUCUAUUAUCUUCAAGUCUUAUUGUAUUGAUAAAAUCACGAUGCUGCUACUGCCAUUUUGAUGUUUAUAAAAGGGUAUUGAGAACCUGGUGGGUAUCCAUUCGAUGCGCAGGGGUGGGGGUGGGGAAAAAUGAGUGUAAAGGAUAGGGAUACAGUAUUUAGAAAGAUGGGGCUGCCACAGAAGAUAGUCUCCAAGUAUGGCAGGGAAGAAUCUAAAAACUGAUUCCUUGAUCAAGACUGUCCCAUAUUCAUAAAUAGUUCACUGACAGAUCUUGCUUGCAUAUUCUGAACAGCUGAUGCUGGGCACAUAGGAGGUUAACCGGUCAGCGGAUCGAAGGAAAAAAAAAUCUUGCCUGUCAGUGUCCACAAUGGCCUCAUCUUGGGUUAGAGACAAUCAUCCCUAAAGAAUCAUAUUGCCGGAUAAGGUUAUCUGUGAUUGGUGGGUGCAGAUCCAUGCUCAUCCUAGAAACAAGCCAGGGCUAAAUGCGCCACUCAUUUUAGAUGCUUGGAUGUUGUGGUCACACCGAAAUGAUCGUGUGUUUAAUGGAGUUUCCCAUAGUGACUAGCGUGCAGGCUGUCCUCGUAUUCGAGAAAAAAAAAAUCAAUGGGCGAAAUAUUUUCACCCAGGUAAUUGUUGCAUUGUAUGAAUAGGUUAGAGUAUGAAUGUGCGUGUACUGUGACACAAGAAGAUUUAUCAUAUCCAUAUAUGAAUUAGUGUUAAAUUUGCUACAUAAAUAUCUUCUCUUAUCUCAUUGUAUGUGUAUAUAUGACACAGAAGCACAUGUAUAUCGGCAUUGUAGAGAGAGAGAUGAGAGAGAGAAGCUUAUCUGCUUUUUGGAGAUAAAUAUUCAAAUUACUGGUGUAUGAGAGGGAUAUAAUUAUUCUAUUAAAUUGUUUAUUCAACAUCUAAAAAGAUUCCAAUGUUUAGUCAUCUAUAUAGGCAUUGUAGAGAGAGAGACUAGUGUUCAGCUGGUUGGAAGGAUGAGAGAGAGGAGAGAGUUCAGAUGAGAAAGAGACUAGUGUUUAGCUGGUUGGAAGGAUGAGAGAGAGAGAUAGAGUAGAGUUUGGAUGAUAGAGAGAUUAGUGUUCACCUGGUUGGAAGGAUGAGAGGGAGAUGAGAGAGUUCAGAUGAGGAGGUGGAGAGUUUGGAAGAGAGAGAGAGAGGUGAGAGUUUGGAUGAGAGAGAAAGCAGCUAAGAAGGAUGAGAGAGAGAAAGCGGUAUUCAGCUGGAUGGUGGAGACUUCAUAUAUUACUUAGCGUUGCUACGGCGAAACGACGUUGCUUAGCGCGCGAUGUUUUUAUCGUGUCGUGUAGCGCACCACAUUUUUUAUCGUGUUGUGUAACUUUUUUAUUUUAGUAGUAUUAGACUUUUCAUACAUAAGGGGCCACGUGAGUGUGUCCAUAUCCCAACCGUGCGGAGACCGCUUGUCAUUGAAUUUGUUAUCUCUUGCUCUAUCUUGUGAUUGGUAGGCUUCUACAGCAAUUCUGCACAAAGAAGGCCCCACUUCGCCCCACUCCUGACGUCCGGUUAUUCCCACGCCUGCCCUCUCCCUCUCCAAUCCUCACCGCCAGCUCCUCAGGGUCUAGGUCGGCCCGUGAUGUAGUGGCCUAUUAUCCUUCCACCGUUGGAAGCGAGCAGUGAUCGCUGCUCUGUGAACCUAGCCUCAAGCUGUUCCUACCACUUCAGGUCCAGUGAUGCCCGAGCUUUCGCUUGGCCCGAACAGGCCACUACCAACUUGGAACGGGCAAGGCCAGCAAGGGCACAGAAUAGACCCAAGCCCAGAGUCCGCGCCCAACCAUCCACACCACCUUAAUGCCCCCACUUGGGUUACAAGCCCGCGCAACCAAGCUCGGUGAGGAUGGCUCGUGAGGACGAACAUUUAAGCUGGUGCGUUGCUGCUUCAGAUGGCGAGGUGAUACUAAUAUAACGAAUAGGAAAAUUUCACGUGGGUCCCAUGCCGCACCCACCCCUAUCCUUAUCCUUUCUCAUCUCUCUACUGUCUGUCCGGUCCUUAUCCUCCUCAUCUCAUCUCUCUCUCUCAAUCCCUCUCUCUCAAACUCUCUAUCUCUCCUAUCCCCUCUUUCUCUGGAGAACGCGGUGCACGGCCAGCCCCAGCGGCGGCCUGGAGGCGCGAGGUGCCGCCGGCGGCCGAGGGUUGCGGGGCUGCGGCAAGGAGCCUCCUGGCUGUGGAUGCGACGGCCUAGCCACGGGUGCCGGGCCGCGUCACACCGCGCGCUGCUGCCGUCGAGCGGGCCGCACGCACUGCCCACACACCAGGCGGCGUGGGCGGCCAGGCUGAGCGGCGCGGCCGGGGCUGGGGAGGCGACUCUGGUGCGGCCGAGGUAGCUUGGGCACGGCCGGCUGUGGUGGGUAGGGAGAGGUGGACGGCGGCACAACGGCAGCGCGGAGAGGCGGACGUCAGGCACGAACGGGUGAAAGGGGAGACUGGGAAAGAAAGCUGGACCCACCUAUCAAUGCAGCCGGGGCCGGGGCAGCGCGGGCGGCUGAGGCCGAGGCCAGGCGGCGCGGUCGGGGCCAGGGAGGCGGCUCUGGUGCAGCCAGCCGUGGCUGGCAGGGAGAGGCGGACAACAGCGCAACGGCGGCAUGGAGAGGUGGACGUCAGGCACGGGUGGGUGAAAGGGGAGACGGGGAAAGAAAGCUAGACCCACCUGUCAAUGCGUUAAUCUUACCUAUUAUUAAACAUCAGGGCCACCUCUCAUUGAUAGAAGUUGGACCAAACCAAAAAAAAGUGGGCAGAAGUGUUCCUCACUUUAAUAGUAACAAUAAAGUAUAGAUAAUGCAUCCAAACAACAUUUGGAAUUUAAUUCUAAGAAAAACAAAAUAUGAUUCAUGGAAUGAGUUUCAACUCUAGGAAUCCAAACAGGCCUUAGUUAUUUCUUAUGUAGCUCAAAUCAGAUGCAAGGUACGUCCUAACUUAAAAAACGUAAGUUACUUUGUGUUAUCUUGUGAAUCAGUGAUUAAUUACUUCCAAUCUUAUGUAAAAAGAACUACGAGUUAAAUUCUUUGUCAGAUUUAUACUGACAAGUUACAAGCACAUACCUCUGCAGUAACAGGCGAGCCCUAGACUAGUGGGCAAACCAAAAACAACAUGAUUCGUCAACUGAUCGAAUGCUAAUGACUAUUUUGCUAGGAGAAUGAACAUGAUUCAUGAAAAAAAGGGAGCUACUAACUUGGUCAAGGUCUCCGUCCUCUAGCGUGGGGAAGGGGCCAUCUUGCUCCACGCCACGUCUGCGUGGUUGCUCGGCGGGCGCGACGGCGUCGGCUGCGGAGUGCGGACGGCGCGUAGAUAUGUCAUUGUUGAUCAGGACAUGCACUGCUAUCACCGUCUGUUAUUGGUCAAGGUCUCCGUCCUCUAGCGUGGGGAAGGGGCCAUCUUGCUCCACUCCACGUCUGCGUGGUUGCUCGGCAGGCGCGACGGCGUUGGCUGCGGAGUGCGGACGACGCGUAGAUAUGUCAUUGUUGAUCAGGACAUGCACUUCUAUCACCGUCUGUGGUUGGCGUCCGCGGCCGAGCGGGUCAAGGUCUCCGUCCUCUAGCGUGGGGAAACAGGAUCUCUUCAAUCAGUGCUUCUACAGAAACGGUGCACGGUCACCACGGACCAACGACAUACCAUGAGAAAAGCAGAGCGAAAUGUUGCAGUAGCAGAGUGACCGGAGACUGGAGAGCACUUGCUGCUAAAAGCUGCCUCUUAUUUUGUAUCGUCUUAACAGAAGACUUUAAGUCAACCGCCAUUCGAUUCCAAUAUAAACUAGCAAGUUGGCCCGCGAUAAUACUGCGGCUAGAUUUGAUACAGUAUAAUUUUUUUAAAUACUAUGUUAGCUUAGUAUAUUUCUUUGUCCCUCUUGAUUUGUUUUUCAUCCUCUUGAAAUCACUGAGUAUAGUUAGGUGCCUUACUCUACACAUUGAGUAUCAAGCCAUAUGUGUAUAUUUGUUUUUUUGCAAAUGAACUCCGAUGCCACAUGUGCAUAUGCACGCCUAAUUAAAAUUGCUCACUUGUAACAAAAUAAGAACAACUUGAGUAGUUGAUUCUGAUCUUAUGUUGAAGUUUUUGCCAACUUUUCCUAGUAUUGUUGUGUUGAGUAGAAAGCCUGUGUAGAGAAAGAUACAAAACAAACGAUCGUGUCAACUACUCCCCAUGCUUGCUCAAAUGAUUUUGAAAAAAAAAAACAACCGCGCUCUAAGUCCUAGGGCGGUGAUAUUCCUCCUUACUUUCCUCCUCUUGUUUUCCAUGCACAAUCGAGGAUGACAAAUACCACAAACCACUUAGGCUCGAUCAUGUUUCAUCAUCACAUUCCUCAAAUCUUGAUCACGUUGUUGUCUUCAUUAUGCUAGCAGUACACAUCUCUCCGCCUCUUCUAUUCCACAAAACCAUAAUUGUUCACCGGCUCCAGCAUUGUUGUUGCUCUCCACCAAUCGAGGAAGCUCUUGUCCUUGACAUCACCUUAUCCACUGACCAGCUGAAGUUAUCUGUACAUCCAAAGGUCUCAUAAGAUUUUUGCUGGAUUUGCAUUAAUAUUAAUAUUGCCACCAAUCUAGUCUCAACCUCGCCUUGUGUUCUCCGUGGUCAUUUUUUAUUCUAACUUGCAAGCUCCACAACUACAUAUGAUGGUUCUUCUAUAUACAUAAUAUAUCGCAUCUUCUAAGACAUAUAUCGCGGGCCGGCGGCGCGCGGGGGAGCGGCGCCGGUGGAGCGGAGGCGACCGGUGGUGGGCGGAAGCGGGUGGGCGCGAGCGCGGGUGGAGGCGGAAGAGCGUGCAGGCGGAGGCGGAUGGGUGGAGGCGUGCAGCGGCGGCGGGCGCGGGCGUGUGGCAGCAAGGCCGGCGGCGCGGGGAGGCGGAGACCGGUGGCGGCCAGCCGGCGAGCGUGGGGAUUCUUUUUAUUUUUUUCGAAAUUUUUUAGUCCCGAUUAGUGGUUGGUAACCCAACCGGGACUAAAGGGGACCUUUAAUUCCGGGUGGAUGACCCGGGACUAAAAAUCUCCUCUUUUGUCAAGCCAUCACUAUUGUCCAUAUCACAACGCCUGUGCCUUCUCUUGUUGUCCUCCCCCUUCCCUCUACCUUGCACCUUCUGUUUUCCUGAUCCUAUUGCCAGUUUGUUGCAGCCAUUUAUGGGCACCUCUUUCAUCCAUUGUCCACUGUUGUUGCCCGCUGCUUCAGUUCUUCUCUGACCAAAGCGGUCGUAUCGCGCUGGCCGGUAGGAAGCCAUCAUCUCGCAAAAGCGUCAUCGUCGUCGCCAAACCACAUCUAGCCGAUGCCGAACCAUACUUGCCAUCUUCUUUGCCAAUUUGCCGCUAUGGAAGCCUCCAUGCAUCGCUCAUCAAGUCUAUCCUAUCUCUAUCAGCUCCUGUGGUAUCCUGUUUUGUUUUUGCCUCAACCACGAAGCCAUAGGUUGCUGGUGCUAAAUUGCAGGGCUAGCAACAGGUAUUUCCUCUCCCUGGCCUUGCGGCCAUGCUAUGUAUUUUUCUCUUUAAAAAAAUUACAAUGAUUUAAUCCUAAUGUUCCGAUCAUGUGUGAUUGGUUUAUUAAUUAAAGUUAGAGUUAUACUUGAGUAUAUUAUAUAAAAAUAAUAUAUAUAUAUAUAUAUAUAUAUAUAUAUAUAUAUAUAAGUUACCAUACAAAGUACAACUUCCUACAAGGUGGAGAGGUUCGGAUGGAAUUUUGAUUCAACUUACUCUAUUCUAGAUAUUAGAGUUGUACUAGCAAAAUAUGCUAGUAUGUUGCUACGGUAAAAGAUCAAUUGUGUUUUUCAAAUUAAUAAUAUUUUUUAUUUUCAUAACUAAAUUUUUAUUCCACUUAUUGGAUGUCCACACAUUUAAUAGAAAACUAAAAGAAUUUUUUAUUCAAGCAAGAUAGUUAAAUCAGCCUCCGAUGGCCACCGACGGGGGCUCUUUAGGACUCCUUUAGCCCCGGUUGUAAAGCUAGUGGUCCUCGGGAUUCUGGUGAGGCGUUUUGUCCCGGUUGUAACUACCAACCGAGACUAAAGGGGGGGCCUUUAGUCCCGAUCAGUGUUUCCAACACAGACAAAAUGCUCCUCACCUCCACAUACACAAUGCGCGUGCCCCAAUUUCUCUCCUCCCUCCCCUUAAUUCCAGCGGCCAGGCCUCCUCUCCUUAAUUCCAACACCCACAUGCCUCCUCUCCUCCUCCCUUCACCCCCUACCUCCUCUCCUCCCUCUCUCUCUCUCCUCCGCCGGAUCCGGCCGGCCCCCACUCCCUCUCCCCAAGCUCCUCCCUCUCCCUCGGCCGAGGCGGGUGGCGCAGCCGGGGCCAGGGCGGCGUGGGUGGCCAGGGUCGGGGCCAGGGAGGAUGAUAGGUGGUUAUGAGGAUGAUACCUGCAGAUAAUACUUUUAAUCUCAAUUCUUACAGAAGAAUUGCACUAUGAACUACGCUUUCAUUUAUACCACACCGCUCAGCUAUAAAAAAUGGUGCAAAUCGACCAAAAUAAAUGAAUAAAUCACAUGGUUUAGACUGGUGGCAUAUGUAUGUUUGAUGAGUUUUGAAUCCCAACAGACCUCUGUUUGCUUAUCCAACCGGAGGAAAAACCUUUACUUACUAAAUCAGCUUUGCAUGCCAGGCUGCAAUUGUUAGAGCAGAAUUAGGUAAUUUGUGAACAUAAUUGAAUCAAAGUUUUGUCUCUGACAAGUAAUAGAAAAUGGUAAUGCUCCAUAGCAAGAACACGUUCCUACACUAGUUUAAAAAAUUCCCUGAAAUUGGGAACAAUGGUCAAGUCCAAACCAUACUUGCAACUUGGAGGACCGCUGGCCGAUGUAAGUCAAAGUCAAAAACAGAAGGAGACAGCGACGUCUCACCAGAUCACGAAUCAGAUGCGAUGCAUGUGCAUGUUCAGCAAGACAUUGAAAAGCAAGCUCUUCAAUACGCUCCAGCCCAGCUCCACCAUGGCUUUGGCAAUGCGCGUCAUGAGCUUGCUUCCUGCCACCAUCGCCGUGAUGAUCGCAGUGGCCUCUUGGGGAGCGCACGGCGGUGCCAGCGACGAGGCCAGCGCGCUGCUUGCUUUCAAGGCUCAGCUCGCCGGCAGCGGUUCCGGCAUGCUUGCAUCCUGGAAUGGCACCGCUGGCGUCUGCGGCUGGGAGGGCGUGGCGUGCACCGGCGGCCAGGUAGUGGCACUGAGCCUGCCCUCCUAUGGGCUCGCCGGAGCCCUCUCCCCGGCCAUUGGGAACCUCACUUUCCUGCGGACCCUGAACCUGAGUUCCAACUGGUUCCAGGGGGAGGUCCCAGCAAGCAUCGGCCGCCUAGCGAGUCUGCAGACGCUUGAUCUGAGCUACAAUACGUUCUCUGGUACGCUUCCUUCCAACCUCAGUGCCUGUGUCAGCUUACUGCUGUUGAGGCUCAGUAGUAACCGGUUCCAUGGGCGUAUCCCUGUUGAGCUUGGAGACAAGCUAACAAGUCUUCAGAUGUUGUCACUGCGCAACAACAGCUUGACGGGUGCCAUACCAGGAUCACUAGGUAACCUGUCAUCCCUGAUCUACCUUCAUCUGACAGAAAACCACCUCGAGGGUCCGAUCCCACAUGAACUUGGCAGCAUGGGCGGCCUGCAGGUCCUUUUCCUCUAUGAGAACAGACUCUCCGGUGUGCUUCCACACUCCCUGUACAAUCUGUCCUCACUGAAAAGCUUGUGGGUAGGAUACAACAUGCUGUCUGGAACCAUCCCUGCUGAUAUCGGCGAUAGGUUCCCCGGUAUGGAAGCUCUUGACUUUUCUAGCAACCGAUUCAGUGGAGCUAUCCCACCUUCGCUCGCCAACCUCUCUGCUCUCACAAAACUAGUCCUUCAAGGAAAUGAUUUUAUUGGAUAUGUGCCUUCUGCUUUGGGGAAGUUAAGUCUUACUGCCCUUUACUUGGGUGACAACAGGCUAGAAGCAAACGACAGUCAAGGGUGGGAAUUCAUAGCUUCACUGGCAAACAGCUCCCAGCUUCAGCUUCUUGUUCUCGGCAACAACUCUUUCAGCGGGCAACUGCCUAAUUCAGUCACAAACCUGUCAUCAACUCUGCAAGGUCUUUAUUUGGGACCCAAUAUGAUUUCUGGGAAUAUUCCAAUAAACAUCGGAAAUUUGGUUGGUCUUACAGUACUUGAGAUGGCAAAUACUUUUGUAUCUGGACAGAUUCCAGAGAGCAUUGGUCAGCUAAGAAACUUGGUUCAGCUAGCCCUUUACAACACUAGCUUGUCAGGCCUCAUACCUUCAUCACUAGGAAAUCUUACACAGUUGAAUAGCCUUUUAGCAUACUAUGGAAACUUAGAGGGGCCAAUUCCAUCAAACUUGGGGAACUUAAAGAAUGUGUUUUCCUUUGAUCUCUCAACAAAUCGACUCAAUGGUUCAAUUCCUAUAGAGGUUUUAAAACUUCCUCGACUUUCCUGGUACUUAGACUUAUCAUAUAAUUCAUUAUCCGGGCCACUUCCAACUGAGGUUGGUACCAUGGUGAAUCUUAACGAACUGAUUCUGUCUGGAAACAAGUUGUCAGGCACCAUACCAGCUAGUGUUGGGAACUGUAUAUCGUUGGUACGGCUGCUGCUCGAUAACAACUUAUUAGAAGGAAGCAUACCGCAAUCUCUGAAGAACUUAAAAGGUCUUGAAUUACUGAACCUAACAAUGAAUAAGCUAUCUGGUAGUAUUCCUGAUGCCCUUGCUAGCAUUGGCAACCUGCAACAACUGUAUCUUGCACACAACAACUUGUCAGGUUCCAUCCCCAAAGUUCUACAGAAUUUGACAUUGUUGGCAAAACUGGAUUUGUCCUUCAAUGAUCUGCAAGGCGAAGUGCCAAAAGGGGGUCCUUUUGCAAAUGCAACUCGCUUGUCACUUGAUGGAAAUGAUGAGCUUUGUGGCGGAAACCCUCAACUUCAUUUAGCUCCGUGCUCCACAGCUGCUGCGAGGAAGAACAGAAGGCGAAUGUCAAGAUCACUUAUGGUCACCGUUGCGUCAAUCUGCGCAUUUCUAUUCUUAGGUUUAAUAGUUUGUCUUAUCCAUUUGAUCCACAAGAGGCUCAGACAAGGAAAGGAAAAUCAACUCAUUCCCACAGCAAUUGAUGAACAGCACCAAAGGGUUUCAUAUCAAGCAUUAGCAAAUGGGACUGACCAUUUUUCGGAGGUUAAUCUGCUCGGACAAGGAAGCUAUGGUGCAGUUUAUAAGUGCACUUUACAUGACAAGGGAAUUACCGCAGCUGUAAAGGUAUUCAACGUACGGCAAUCUAGGUCUACUAGAAGUUUUGUGGCUGAAUGUGAGGCACUGCGAAGGGUGCGCCACCGAUGUCUCAUAAAGAUCAUCACCUGUUGCUUAAGCAUUGAUCACCAAGGCCAAGAAUUCAAGGCACUGGUUUUUGAGUUCAUGCCCAAUGGUAACCUAAAUGAUUGGCUGCAUCCAGCAUCCAAGAUACAGAGUCUGAGCAAUACGCUCAGCUUAGCUCAGAGACUGAACAUUGCGGUAGAUAUCAUGGAUGCUCUGGAUUAUCUUCACAAUCAGUGUCAACCGCCUAUUAUCCAUUGUGAUCUCAAACCAAGUAACAUCCUCCUUGCCGAAGAUAUGAGUGCUCGGGUUGGAGAUUUCGGCAUAUCAAAAAUCCUUCCUGAAGACACUAGCAAAACUCUGCUGAAUUCAGUUAGCUUCACUGGACUAAGAGGUUCCAUCGGAUAUGUCGCUCCAGGUAACAGAAACUAACACUGAUAUUGCUAUGUUCAGUUUUUAACUUCCAUUUUGCCAAGUCCAGUUAUCUCGGCAUGCACGUUGAUAAGUAGCUUGCCAUGAAUCCACUGACCAAAUAGUGUCUGAAAUCUGAAUUGACUGCAGAGUACGGCGAGGGUCGCGCUGUCUCAACUCUUGGAGAUGUUUACAGCCUCGGCAUACUGUUGCUUGAGAUGUUCACCGGGAUGAGCCCUACUGACGACAUGUUCAAAGGCUCCUUGGACCUUCAUAAGUUCGCCGAGGCCGCUCUCCCCGACAGAGCCUUGGAGGUAGCCGACCCGGCAAUCUGGUUUCAUGAAGAAGCAAAGGGGGAAAACCCUGCCACGGUGAGAAGCAGAAGCGAGAGGUGCUUGGCUUCAGUGAUCGGGCUUGGCGUGUCCUGCUCAAAGCAGCUGCCAAGGGAGCGGACGGCGAUGCGGGAUGCUGCCGCUGAGAUGCGUGCGAUCAGAGAUGCCUUCCUGGUUCAAUGUGCAACAGAGACUUGGCCUGCAGUCGGCACCACCGGCCUUGGAAGCGCAGACAGUUGAAUGGUGGACGGAGCUACGGUCUCUUGACGCACCAAGGAGCACUGGACUAGCAACUCUGCAACUAAACAGAGUGGAGAAAGAGCCCCUUAAUGAACAGAAAAACAGCCGGUGCAAGGCUUUAUACAAAGAAUGUGACAGCCACUGCGUGUAUCCGAGAGCCUUAUCUAAUCUACCAAGGAUUGUCCAUGUACUCCCUCCGUCCCAAAAUAAACACACAUGUCACUUGUCGAGGAGUCAAACUUUCUAAGUUUGACUAAAAUAAUGUACUACUAUUUAUAAUGUAUAAUAAGUAUCAUUAGAUUGAGUAUUGAGUAUACUUUUCUAAUACAUUUAUUUGAAGAUAUAAAUGUUGAUAUUAUUUUCUAUAUUCUUAAUCAAACUUAAAAACGUUUGACUCUCGAGAAGUGAGAUGUGCGUUUAUUUUAGGAUGGAGGGAGUACCCGUCACACGGAUUAGUUAUGAUAUAAGUAGGGACUAGCAAGCACCAAAACCCCAUUCACUGCCCAUGGAUCGCUCAAAUAAAAGAAACCAUUGCAUAUGGUGGUGAUGCGCUGGCGAGCCUUUCUCCAAACUUUCUGCUCUCGCGGACCUUGAACUCGCAUGGAACAAUUUUAGUGGAAGCGUGCCUCCACCUUUAUGGAGAUUGCGAAGCCUCAUUUACCUGUCCGUGGCAAUAAGCUAGGAUUGAAUGACAAGGACGGAUUGGAAUUCAUCACCAUGCUGGCAAACUGCAGUCAGCUUCAGCAACUGGCUUUUGACAAUAAUUCAUUCAUCGGGGAACUUCCUAGCUCAAUUGCAAAUCUAUGGACAACACUCCAAUUACUCUAUAUAGGAAACAAUUGGAUUUCGGGAUUUAUUCCAUCCAGCAUAGGUAAUUUGGUUGGUCUAGAACUGCUUACGUUGGCAAAUACUUUCAUAUCCGGAGUGAUUCCAGAUAGCAUUGGUCGCCUAGAAGGCAUGUCCGUGUUAGGCAUUUACUACACUAGCUUGUCAGGCAUCAUACCUUCAUCACAAGGAAACCUUACACAGUUGAAAGCUCUCUAUGCGUACGAUAGAAACUUGGAGGGUCCAAUUCCAGCAAGCUUGGAGAACUUAAAGAAUCUUUUUGUCCUUGAUCUCUCAACGAAAGUGUGUAACCUGCUAAGAUUUCAUGUCGAAGUAGAGCAUAAACCUCUCUCAAAAGACUGCGAAGCUACCAUAGAGUAGAUCAGUCUAAGGGUCGGACUAUACCCUAUCAACGCCUCCCCUCUUGCCCUUUCGAUAAGAUUACCCCAAAGGUCCAAACUAGAGUCUUUAAUUAAUUAACCAAGACCAAAGCCAUAUAGUUCUUGUGGUUGUACUAUUUUCCUGGGUGGUCGCUCCAUGUUCCAAUUAAGCAUGGCGGUCUUGUAUUAAUAAAAGGUAUAUCAUAAAUAAAACAAGUUUAAUCAUUGAGUUCAUUAAAACCAUCAUAACCCAAGGUAUUGCAACUAAGCAUAUCUACCCAAUAAAAAGGUAAAACCCAGGUUGACAAGGAAUGAUCAUAAAAACUAGGUCAAUAUUAAAUGCAGAGCAGUGUAGAAGUGAUUAAAUAUAGUUAUUGGUACAAAAACACAAACAAGGACACACUUGCCUUUCUCCAAAGAAUAGCUGCUCAGAUUAUCUUCAGCUCUUGUUCCUCAAAGCUCUCGAACAACGUUCCUUCUACUCGCAUCAAUCAUCGGCACAAGUAUACAAAGCAAACAACAAUCACAACUAAGAACAAUACAUCAAUCAUAGGAAAGCUUUAAAAGAGCGUACUAAAGGAUAAGGCUCGAAUCUAAGGUCACACGAAUGCAAGAAACGCUAGGAACGAAACUAUGGUUGAAAAGACAAAGCUAUCGAGAGAUUUGAAUUAUAAAAGAAAGAAAAGCCUAUGUGCUUCAUAUAUUUUAAUAAUGAAAAUAAUGUAAAGAUAUUUUAGAGAGACAUCCUUAGCAAGUUAUAUUUAUAUAUGAAAAGACGAUGUAGAAUAGUCAAAUUUUCUUUAUAAACAUUCAAGUACAAUUUAUGCAAAUUAAAUAUUUAAUUUGAAAAUAAAGUAUAUGUAAACAUCUAAGCGCAUAGCUUUAUGGUUAUGGUUCGGGUUGAACUAACCAAAUAUAAUUCAAAAACACAAUUAUUUUUAUAUUAGUCAAAUUAACAUAUAAUUAUGAAAACUCGAGAUAUAACUUAUGUAGCUUUUAUUUAGAAAACAAAUUGAAUAAAUAUUAAUCAAUUUAAGUUUAAUUAUGAACCACCGUGGUGCAUCUCUAAUUCGCUUUUAAUUGAAAGAGUUGUUUAAUUAAGCAUUAACUAAAUUAACAUUUAUUAUGAAAAGCGGUUAUAACACUAAGUAGCUUUUAAUUAAAGAAGACAUGUUUAACAUGCAUUAAUUAUAUUAAUAUUAAAUUAAUUUUAAAAACAUGCAUGAUGGAAGGAUCACUACUAACAUGUAAUUUGUGUUAUCACGAACCUAACUCAACAAGAACGGAUAUAAACGAAGCUGUAAUGAGGAGCCUAUGGGUUAAACAAGGUCGUAGGGCCUAAUCACGAUUAACGGAAGGUUAUUGGGGUUAGCAAGGAAGAUUUGCAAGACACUAUAAUAGAGCUCGCCAUUAGGUCAAAGCAUAGGGUUAGAUCUAUUAAAGUGCUCAGGUUGGACUUGGUUGCACGGAUCCAAUCUAAUGAGGGACAUGGAUGAAAAAAACAAGACACAAGGAAAAACUAACUAUUUACAAAGCUUUCCGGGGCCUAUGCGCAAAAGCACCACAACUCAGCAUCCAUGGCGGACGGGCUCCUGGAUGGCAAAAUCCUCGUGUCGGAUUUAUAAGCCCACAGUCCACCAAGGGGUUACCCAAGUCGUUGAUUGUGGCGGAACCGCCCAAAUUAACCUGACUAAAAUGCAUUGAAGUCGCCUGACACGCGAUUAUGCACUUUAAGCAAGUCAACUUGGUCGACCGUCGGAUUUCCUCCGAUAAACCACAUAAACAGGAUCGAGAAGCAUCGCUCACGCGAAGGUGAGUAGCACAGAGGUUACAACAAUCCAUCAUGACAACAUAGUUCAACAAUUUAUUACAUCAGAGUUUUUGAAAUUCAAACCGAAAUUUGCAUGGUUCGAAGUCAAAGGAAAACAGCGGAAACUAAACGUCGAUACAUGACAUCACGACGGAGCCGAUCAUGACAUCAAAAAUUUCUUCCUUCGCCAUCCGAGGAAGGAUCCCACUCGACGGUCCAGCCUGGAGGAAGCUGGGUCGGCCAAGUGGUACCAACACCCAAACUAUUGACAUUACCUGAAAAAGAUUAGCCACAACAAGGCUGAGCAACUAGUACUCAGCAAGACUGACCCGUCGGAAAGACACGACCGAGACCUAGACAUGCAAGGCUUUCUGGCUCUGGGGUUUUCUUUGCCAAAAGCGUCUAAAGUCAGUCCUUAUUUUCAACAUUUUAGCUCAUGUUCUAUGUUCUUUAUCCAUUCUAGAUUAGCAACUUAUACUAAACAAACAUGGUUUCCAAGCAAUUACUUAACAAGCAUCAAGAUUAAAAUCAUCAUCAUCAUGUUCCAUCUUUACUCAGUGCAGAAUAGCGAUCAAGUAGUCCCAAUCUGUGAGAGGCAGACGAAUCGAUUCGAAUUUAUUAACCAUGCAUGGCAAACCUAAUCUCACGACAUCCGCGCACCACGAAGGGUCGCUUCAUUUGUCAGCCGUCCCCAUCGAUCCCUUAGGCACGUGUCAGGGCCAACUUCCUUUGGCAUGCAAUGCUCCACAGUCCUGGCCUAUUGCUGCACUGUGACCGCACUUGCACCCACAUGAUGCACCAUGGGAACGACGUUCCAAGGACAGCCGGAGGGUAUGCCACGCCCCAGUUCAAUCAGGUACUAGGCUUCCCCAUCCCAUACUAGGUAUGAGAUUAGUACUUUCAAACACUUGAUCACGAACGCCGACACGUUUCGACCAUAGUUCAUUUUCAUUUAGACAGACGGGGCAAUCCACCAAGUAUCGAACACAAGCCUGACCCCGUCCGUCGUCCUUAUAGUUGCGACAUAUCUGAAAUAUUCAACUCCUAUAACUCGCGAGUGACAGGAGAUCACUCGACUUUUACCGAAACCUAUUAAGCAAUGCAACUACUCGGCAAGGUCUUCUUCCGGCGCCGGGUGAAGCUCGUACGUUCCGUCGGCGAGAUUCAACUCUACACGAAAAUGCAAUGCUGGGGUUAGACAUUUUAGAUGGUUAUUUCAACACACUCAUGUUUUAACACGGACACUUUGCUACAGGAAAGGUGGGGGAGUUCAACUUCUGUUGGUGGAGAACAGGAUGAGAGGGUCGGAUUGGGGGAAACUUAGGGUCUGACCCUCAGGUUUAAGGAAAAACCGUACCGAGGUCGUCAGACUCAACACAGAGGAAUCCCCAAAAUUAUUUCAUCGUACCCUCGGGUCAAAGAAAAAGUUACAACCGAGCCCUCGGGCGAGGCGGAGAAAGGGUCGGCGAAACUUGGCAGGGUCGGGCGAGGCGAAAGGAAAAAGGUCGGGCGAGAUGAAAAGAAAAGGGGUCGGGCGAACCGAAACAAAGGGGUCGGGCGAAACGAAAAGGAAGGGGUCGGUCGAGAGGGAACACAAGGGGUCGGUCGAGACGGAACACAAGGGGUUGGUCGCUUACCUCCAGGUCUACCGGUGAAGCCUUGGGGCCGAACAGGAGUAGGCUGGGGUGGGAAGUCGUACACGCUAAGUCUUGGGCAACGGCGAGUCUUCGACGGUGGUCAGGUGGCGGUGGUGCUUCUUGCGGACACCAGCAAGCUCGAGUACCGUGCGGAGGAGCGGGCGGCUGGUCUGUUGGGAGAAACGGCUUGAGGGUGGCGGCGAAGUCGCCGAAGUGUGGGGGUGGUGUAAAAGGGGUGAGCUCCACGGAAGCUCAGCGGCGGCGCGGGGAGAAAGCGGCGGCGCAGGUGCGGGCGGUGGCAAGGGGUGGCAUUGCCGGUGAGGGGGGUUCCCUUUUAUAGGGUCGGGGUGGCGCGGAGGGUCGAGGCGGGGCUUCGGUGGGGAAAGGAUAAGGCCGGGAGCGGCGAGUGCGCGGACAAGGCGGCCAUUGGCCAGCAACGCCAUUGGGCAGAGGAGGUGGAGCUCCGGGUGGUCUUCGGCGGCGAUUGGCCUUGGGCGACGCCCGUCUGGGGCUUCCGGUCUGUCGGGCGGGCGAGGCGGAGAGCUACCGUGGGGGUUGGGCGAACGGGCGGAGGCGCGGGAUGUCGGGGGCGUGUCAGCUUUCUCGGCGGACGGGCGGAACAGGGUUGGCGGAGCAGAGCCGUGGCAGGCGGAAGGCGGCACGCGCGCAGCCGGCGGUUGGCUGGCCCGGCGUUCGCUCCGUCCUGUCGCAGGCGCGGGUUGGGCGCCGUGGCUCUCGUCCUGUCGCUGUCGUGCUGGGGAUAGGGCGCCGGCGAGCUGCCGGUGGCCGGCGGCCACGUGGCGCGCGGUGCGCGAGCGAACAUGCUCGGGCGUGCGGGCGUCGAGGCUCCCUUCGGGCAGCAAGCCCGACCAGCUUUGGAGUGAUCCUUCCUCCGAAUCUUUCAACACAACUUCCGAAACUCCCUUAAACAAACUUGCUCAACUCUGAUUGUUCUUCAAACUUUGUUUAAGGUGCUGGUUUAGAUUGUGAAAGGAUUCAAAGAUAUUUCCGGCCAAGUUAGCCAAAAAUCUGGGAUUCCAGACUUAGGAUUUAAGGCAUCCGGGGUGAGUUGACUGGUUUACCUCACUUUGACCGGGAUUUUGAACAAGUUCGGGUCCGAUUUGGAUCUGGGUCAGAGUAACAAAGUUGGAAUACACUCGAGGUACUACAACUUUCAUUAAGGCUCUGACUUGGGUUUAGAUAGGAAAACGGGAUAUGAAAGCUUGUAAAGAUGGAGGAAAACUCGAAUUCCAGGACUUAAGAGAUUUUCAGGGUCCUUUAGAAAAACCGGCUUUGGUUGCUGUUUUUGACUUCCUUCCACUCCGAAUUGGUCAAAGUGCUUUUAACAAAAGUUGUUGGAAUUAAAAAGUUUUACAACUCUUAUUUGGGCAGAAACUUAAGUUUGUAUAUAAUAUUUCAAGAUUUAAAUCAAACUCCAAAAGGAGCUUCUUAGGUUUAUAAAGGUCAUUUCACUUCUUAAAUUAGGGAUUUAUCACUGGUUUAGAGUUAAAAGUACUUAAUUUAGGUAGAGUUGUUACAGCCUACCCCCCUUAAAGGAAUCUUGCCCCGAGAUUCAAGUGCAGAAGGAACUAGUGUGGUUGGUGCAAUGUACCUCCUUGCUCGAAAAGAAAACCGCGGAAGUUAGCGUUGAGGUACUCUUCCGUCUCCCAGGUCGCUUCAUCUUCCGUAUGGUUACUCUACUGAAUUUUGUACAUCUUGACCAUUUGCCGACGAGUAUGUCUUUCCUUGCGGUCGAGGAUCUUAACAGGAUACUCCUUAUAUGAUAAAUCGGGUUCGAUCUCCAAUUCUUCCGGGGGAAUGAUUUCAGUUGGAAUCCUGAUGCACUUCUUAAGUUGCGAGACAUGGAAAACAUCAGGUAUUGCUACAAUCUUCUCUGGAAGUUUAACUCGGUACGCUAUGGGUCCACACGCCUCUACGAUCUCAUAGGGACCAAUAUAGCGCGGAGCUAACUUUCCCUUUACUCCAAAACGUUGUACACCUUUGGUCGGUGAAACCCGUAGGUAUACAAAAUCCCCAACCUUAAAUUGGAUGGGUCUUCUUCUUUGAUCGGAAUAGCUCUUGUGUCGAGAUUGGGCGGCCUUGAGAUUUUCGCGGAUGACUCUCACUUUUUCUUCGGCCUCUAUGACCAGGUCAGGUCCAUACACCGUUCGCUCUCCGGGUUGCGACCAGCUCAGUGGGGUCCGGCAUCUACGUCCAUACAAGGCCUCGAAAGGUGCCAUUUUCAGGCUAGCUUGGUAACUGUUGUUGUAGGAGAAUUCCGCUAAUGGCAAAUACCCCAGUUCUUGUCAUAAUGAAUAACACAGGCGCGUAACAUAUCUUCCAAAAUCUGAUUAACCCUUUCAGUUUGCCCGUUGGUCUGAGGAUGAUAUGUGGAACUACGGAUCAAUUGAGUGCCAAGUGAAAACUGCAACUGCUCCCAAAAGCGUGCUACAAACUGACUACCUCGAUCAGAGAUGAUCAUUUUAGGUACUCCAUGCAAGGAAACAAUCCGAUCAAGGUACAAUUCUGCAUAUUUCUGUAUGGUGUGGGUGGUGUGUACUGGAAGGAAAUGUGCCGUUUUGGUUAGUCGGUCUACUAUAACCCAUAUGGAGUCAUGCUUGCGGGGGGUAUUGGGUAGUCCGACUAUAAAGUCCAUGCUUAUGUCUUCCCAUUUCCACGAGGGAAUAGGCAGCGGCUGCAAGGGGCCAGCUACCCUCAAGUGGCUUGCCUUGACUCGCUGACAGGUAUCACACUCUGAAACAUAGCGUGCAAUGUCGGGUUUCAUCCCACUCCACCAGAAAUUUUGUCGGAGGUCGUGAUACAUCUUGGUAUUGCCGGGGUGAAUCGAGAACUUGGAUAGGUGUGCUUCGUGCAGAAUUUGUCUCUUAAGCUCGGGAUCAUUUGGAACUACAAGUCGAGCUUCAUAAUGUACCACUCCUUUCCAGCCCUGUCGGAAACGUUUAUAUCCCUCAUCCUUCUGUGCAAGUUUCCCUUUGAUAAUGUUUAUCUCUUUGUCCUCUAGCUGUGCUAGAAUGAUUUGGUCAAGUAGGGUGGGCUCUAGAGAAAUAUGACUUAAGGUGUCGUGUGGAACAAUUUCCAAGUUGAGUCUAGCCAUUUCGUGACACAGGGUCUCGGCAUAAUUACUCGCCGAUAAGCAGUUACAAUGGAUCUUGCGGCUAAGGGCAUCUGCAACUAUGUUGGCUUUUCCUAGGUGAUAAUGCACUUCUAGGUCAUAAUCCUUGAUUAAUUCUAGCCAUCACCGCUGAUGCAUGUUGAGGUCUUCUUGAGUGAAUAUAUACUUAAGGCUCUUGUGAUCUGUAUAGAUGUUGCAUCGGGUUCCCAUGAGUUAAUGCCUCCAUAUUUUCAGAGCAUGAACGACUGCCGCUAACUCAAGAUCAUGAGUAGGGUAAUUCAACUCAUGUGGUCGUAAUGCUCGCGAGGCAUAGGCAAUGACUCGGCUGUCUUGCAUAAGAACACAACCAAGUCCAGUGCCAGAGGCAUCGCAAUACACAUCAAAUGGCCUAGUGGUGUCGAAAACUUCGAAUCUGAUGAACUGAAGUGGGCGGCUUCCAGUCCAUUACUUCUUGCACCUUGCUUGGGUCUACUGCUAUACCGUCUCUGGAUAUGGUGUGUCCCAAGAAUUUAACACUGUCCAGCCAAAAGUCACACUUAGAGAAUUUGGCAUAGAGUUGGUGGUCUCUUAAGCGUUGGAGUAAAGUAUGUAGGUGCUCUGCAUGUUUUUCUUCAUUCUUCGAGUACACCAAGAUGUCGUCAAUGAAUACCACGACGAAUUUGUCGAGUUCGGGCAUAAACACCGAAUUCAUGAGGUACAUGAAAUAAGCCGGUGCAUUAGUAAGCCCAAAUGACAUGACUAAGUACUCGUAGAGUCCAUAUCGUGUAGAAAAGGCAGUCUUUGGAAUGUCGCACGGGCGGAUCUUGAUUUGAUGGUAGCCAGAACGGAGGUCAAUUUUGGAAAACACUCUAGCUCCAGCUAAUUGGUCGAACAGAACAUCAAUGCGGGGUAGUGGGUACUUAUUCUUUAUCGUCACCGCAUUGAAAGGUCGGUAGUCCACACACAUACGCAGACUAUCGUCCUUCUUUUUCACAAACAAGGCAGGGCAACCCCAAGGUGAUGUACUUGGGCGAAUAAAACCCUUUUCCAACAAAACAUGCAACUGAGUUUUCAUUUCUGCUAGUUCGGCUGGUGGCAUCCGGUAUGGUCUCUUUGAAAUUGGGGCGGUACCUGGUUGCAACUCAAUGGCAAACUCGAUGUCUCUCUCAGGCGGCAUACCCGGCAAAUCGUCUGGAAACACAUCCGGGUACUCGCACACUACUGGGAUAUCUUCCAAUCGGGCUUUAGACACGGGAUAGGCACAAGAAGUUUGGCACUCUCGGGGAGGUAAGUGUAUAGUCGAGCUACCAUACUUGGGUGAAUUUAUAUGGAUUGCCCUGGCAGGGAUAUCUAGGGUCACUUGGUGUCGGGUCAUCCAAUCCAUACGCAAGAUAACAUCUAUUCCUUCUAUCCCAAGGGUAAGCAGAUCUUCCUUAAGAAGGGUCCUCCCUAACUGGAUAGGUACUCUGCAGCUUACUUGGUGUGAAGUUACCUUUCCACCCGGGGUAGAGAUUAUGUAGGUACCUUUGGUGUGACAGAAAUCUAACCCACACUUAGCACUGAUUCUAGUCCCAAUGAAACUAUGAGAUGCUCCCGAAUCAAACAGAAUAAGGACGGGUUGAUCACAGAUAGAAAAGGUACUCGUCAUCACUGGUGCGCCCUCUGGAAGUUCAGCAAGGGUGGUGAAGUUCAGCCUGCCUUGUCGGACCUGCACCUUUGGCUUCUUCCCCUUGUUGCCCAGUGUAUGGCUCUGACUGGGUCGUUGAUUCUGGUUGCGGGGGCAGUCCUUGGCGAAGUGUCCUGGGUUCCCGCAAGUGAAACAGCGGUUUCCAGUGACCGGGCGCAGCGGCAUCGGGAGAGCAGGGCGGGGUCCUUGCGGCUGGAAUCCGGGGAAACGAGGUGCUGCCUGCGGUGGAGGUCGAGCAACCCAUCUCCCAGGCUGUGCGGGCGUGCGAGGUGCUUGUGGGGAAACCAUUCUGUACUUCUGGGCAGGCGGGCUGGGUGCCGGCAUUGGGGCCUUCCUUUUCAUGUCGGCCUUGAGGGCCCUCAUGCAAUCUUCCUGGGAAAUGGCCAGGUUCACCAGUUCAUUGUAGGAACCCACUUUGAUGGGAUUCAGCCUUUCCUUGAGCUUCAAACUCAAGCCUCUGCGGAAACGGUCCCUCUUUUUCUCAUCGGAGUCCGCAUGGUAGCCUGCAUAGCGACACAGGUCAUUGAAAGCCUGCGCAUAGUGCAGACAUCGCGGCCUCCCUGGGUGAGAGCCAGGAACUCGUUGAGCUUGCGCUCCAGAAGACCUUCAGGGAUGUGAUGGCCCCUGAACGCCGUCUUGAAUUCCUCCCAACCGACGACGUGGUCGGCCGGCUGCAUGGCAUGGUAGUGAUCCCACCACAGGAGAGCAGAACCACGCAACUACUGCGCGGCGAACCGAACCUUGUUCUCGUCCGGGCAGUAGGCGGUGAGAAGGGAGAACUUGGACUCGAUAGUGCGAAUCCAGGCAUCGGCGUCAAGUGGGUCCUCCGUCUUGUGAAAUAGAGGAGGCUGGGUCCCCAGAAAAUCUUCGUAACGAGCAACAUGGGGCUGUUGAUGGGCCCUUCCUCCCUGAGGCUGCUGCUGCUGCUGCCCCUGAGCGAUGUGCCUCAACAGCUCGGUCUGGGCUGCCAAGAUCGACUCGAGGGUGGUCGGAGGCGGAGGUGGGGGAGGCACCUCGCUGCCACUGGGAACGGAGCCGGAGCGUGUGCGAUGCGCCAUCCUUGGGCGAGCCAAAACCUUAUCCCCGGGGUCUCACUAAUUCCGACCUCUGGUGCCGGGGUCGGGCGAAACGGAGCUUCUCAACACGGGAUCGGACAAAACGGAGCCUUUCAUCCCGGGGUCGGGCGAGGCGGAGACCUGCCGCGAGGGGUCGGGCGCGUCCGACCUCGCGACUCGGGGUCGGUCAACUUUGGACAGGCCCACAGGAGACGGGUGUGUGGUCACAGCACCAAAACCCACACAACUUGGCAUUCACGGCGCGUCGCAAAGGGUCAAAAGUCGAGUCAAGAGUGAAAGAAAAACAGGAACUGCUUUCACCAAGAUCAUUUCAUUGCUGGUCUUAAAAUAUAGGAGGAGUACUCAACUCAAGGCUAACCUAUUACAUCAUUGGCCAAAAAUAUAGGUCGUCGAGGAGUACAAUCAAAAAUAAAAUAGAACCGCUCAACCUAGUUUGUUAUAACUAGAAGUCGUCGAGGUUGCCCACGGAGGCAAAGCUAAGGACCGGAGAGUGAGCAUCACCAACUGGAGGCUGCGGUGAGGCAUUCUCAUAGUCCAUGCUUGAAAAGCCUUCGAUCUCCUCAGGCUCCUCCUCCUGGGCCAUCGGCUCAUCCAGCUGCACCUCUAAGGCGUGGAUGGCAUUAAGCUCAUCGUGAUGCUCCUGCAGGUGCUCAUUGGCGUUCGCCAGCUCCAUGUUCACAUCAUAGAACUGGUCAGCCAAGAUCUCCAUAUCGUGAUCCAUAUCCACAAUCUCUUCCUCCAAACGAGUAAUCUUGUCCUGCAUCUCAGCAAUCUGAACAUCCUUCUGUACCAGCUCGAGCGACUGGUCCACCAUGCCACUCUGCACGGUAGACAAGGCAACCUGGUUGGCCACUGCCAUCCCAAUCACCAUAGCCAUCGCUCGGCUCUGCAGCUCAACCAUCCUGUAGAACACAUUCAGGCAACGAGCUGAAACAAAAAUCGUGCACUGAGGAUCCAUAAGCCCGAGCAAGUCCAUAUGCUCCAUACGAUCCAACCAGUCCGGGUCCCUCGUACCCCGGGCAGGGAACAACCCAAUCGGGUCUAGCAUGAUCUCAAGAGGGUGUGCCCAGCAAAACUGGGUCAAGGUCUGCAAGGCUGCGAACUCCCAGGCGUCGUGGAGCGUGUGUCCCUCAGCCACUACCUCCAACAGCGACAACGGUGGCUGAUCCGGAGGCGGGGGUACCCGCACGUGUAUGCGGCUCCGCGGAAUCCCGUGGUCCUGGUACGCACGGCCCGCAUAAACCGGCGGCGACUGGUACCCGAAAGAGCGCAGGGUGUCCCACAACACAGUUGGAAAACCCUCGUAGUGAAGGCACCGUGAGUAGGUGGUGCCCUCCGUACCGACUGCCACGUGCACGGGCUGCGCCAUCUGUAACCAAGGGUCACGUGAGAAAUGGGGUUAACACUUGGAAAUCAAACAGAUUUCUGGCAGUUAGAGAAAAGCUCAUAACUCAGCAAGUAUUCCUCCAAAAUUUCUCAAAUUUUACCAGCAUGUUCUUUAGAUAGUGGGUAACAAGUUUGGUAUUCAAAGGUAGGGCUAGAACAGACCUAACAAGGUGAUAAUCUCAGAUUCCCAUUAAGUAUACCUGCUGGAACUCUUCAGACCGAGUCAAGAUAAACUGAAUACAUCUUCCAAACCAGAGACUUAACAAAACCGAAACUCUACCAGUAAGUCCUUCACUAAGUUCUAAAAAACUCUGCUUAAAGGACUCCUCGCAGAAAAGGUCCUUAAGGUGGUCGAAAUAGCAGAAACUCCGUUGGUGUGCACUUUGGGCUAACAGCCAACAGGGGGUCACCAAACUGAUCACAACUCUCAACCCAAAUGGUAGUACCUUGAGGCAGUUUUACUUGGGAGUUUUAACACAACUUUCUUAUACAAAGUUUCUGGAGUUAGCAUGGCGGAAAAAGGACAGCUAGACAAUCCUUAACGCGGUGCAUUACUUUUUACGACGUACUCGAGUUUGGUUUUAUUUCCUUAGGUUGUGAUUUUUAUUUCUUAAUGCAUGCACGUCCUAGUCGUCCUCUCAACCAAAAAUAAUUUCCAAAAACCUUUGGACUUACGUGGUCAGUGCCGGUGGCAAGGCAACAAUACGGCUCUCACUAUAAUAGCUAGUCGAGUUACUAGGCCUCGUUUCGAACGCAACGUUUGUUAGUGUACCUGCAGAAAAACACAACACAGCUUGAACCUUCCGUGCCAGCACUCAUGAAAGCGUCCACAAUCAUUACCGUUCACUAUAGAAAUGGCACCCAUGCGUUUAACACUGCAUGGACAGUGCAACAACCGUGGAAAUAGGUUCCUUUGAAUAGAAUCCUAUAACCCUUCGCAUUCUCGUGAUGCAGAAUCAUGCACACGUGUAACAAACGUGGGCGAACAACCGUGACGAUAGGCUCGUUGGAAUCGAACCAUACCAUCCUUCGCAUGUAUUAACAUACGGAACCUGCGCACGUAUAAUAGAUGUGGGCGAAACAACCGUGAUGAUAGGCUCGUUGGAAUCGAAUUCCCAUCACCCUUCGCAUACUCGCGAUGCGGAUUUCGGCACACGUAUGAUAGACAUGGCAACAAGUGCUGGAAGUUAGAAGAUAACCAAUAACUAUUAGCCACCUUAAAAAUAACCCCAAAAUCCCCUAGGGCUCCUCGAACUAAACUCAUCCUUAGCGAACUUACGAAUUUCUCAAUUUUACUUCUUCCAAAUUUUAGUUGGAAAAAGAGUUUUAAGGUUUGUUGUUCUCCGUACUGUGCUUCGAGCUCUGAUACCAGCUGUGGCGGAACUGCCCAAAUUAACCUGACUAAAAUGCAUUGAAGUCGCCUGACAUGCGAUUAUGCACUUUAAGCAAGUCAACUUGGUCGACCGUCGGAUUUCCUCCGAUAAACCACAUAAACAGGAUCGAGAAGCAUCGCUCACGCGAAGGUGAGUAGCACAGAUGACAACAUAGUUCAACAAUUUAUUACAUCAGAGUGUUUGAAAUUCAAACUGAAAUUUGCAUGGUUCGAAGUCAAAGGAAAACAGCGGAAACUAAACGUCGAUACAUGACAUCACGACGGAGCCGAUCAUGACAUCAAAAAAUUUCUUCCUUCGCCAUCCGAGGAAGGAUCCCACUCGACGGUCCAGCCUGGAGGAAGCUGGGUCGGCCAAGUGGUACCAACACCCAAACUAUUGACAUUACCUGAAAAAGAUUAGCCACAACAAGGCUGAGCAACUAGUACUCAGCAAGACUGACCCGUCGGAAAGACAUGACCGAGACCUAGACAUGCAAGGCUUUCUGGCUCUGGGGUUUUCUUUGCCAAAAGCGUCUAAAGUCAGUCCUUAUUUUCAACAUUUUAGCUCAUGUUAUAUGUUCUUUAUCCAUUCUAGAUUAGCAACUUAUACUAAACAAACAUGGUUUCCAAGCAAUUACUUAACAAGCAUCAAGAUUAAAAUCAUCAUCAUGUUCCAUCUUUACUCAGUGCAAAAUAGCGAUCUAGUAGUCCCAAUCUGUGAGAGGCAGAAAAUCGAUUCGAAUUUAUUUACCAUGCAUGGCAAACCUAAUCUCACGACAUCCACGCACCACGAAGGGUCGCUUCAUUUGUCAGCCGUCCCCAUCGAUCCCUUAGGCACGUGUCAGGGCCAACUUCCUUUGGCAUGCAAUGCUCCACAGUCCUGGCCUAUUGCUGCACUGUGACCGCACUUGCACCCACAUGAUGCACCAUGGGAACGACGUUCCAAGGACAGCCGGAGGGUAUGCCACGCCCCAGUUCAAUCAGGUACUAGGCUUCCUCAUCUCAUACUAGGUAUGAGAUUAGUACUUUCAAACACUUGAUCACGAAGGCCGACACGUUUCGACCAUAGUUCAUUUUCAUUUAGACAGACGGGGCAAUCCACCAAGUAUCGAACACAAGCCUGACCCCGUCCGUCGUCCUUAUAGUUGCGACAUAUCUGAAACAUUCAACUCCUAUAACUCGCGAGUGACAGGAGAUCACUCGACUUUUACCGAAACCUAUUAAGCAAUGCAACUACUCGGCCUUAGCAACUAGUAUUCAAAAACAAGGUACUAAGUUUAUGCAUCUAAGGUUCCAUUACAACUCCUCGAAACGUAAAUGCGCAAUCAAGUAAUCAAUAAUAUUGCAUGAACUCAAGAUAGGAAUUUAUGCUCCGGGGCUUGCCUUCAGGAAAAGCUUGCGGGUCCUCGGGGUCUUGCUCCGGUUCGGGCUCUCCUUCGAAGGGAUGCAGUUCCUCGGCGGGGUCUUCUUUCGGCGCCGGGUGAAGCUCGUACAUUCCGUCGGCGAGAUUCAACUCUACACGGAAAUGCAAUGCAGAGGUUAAACAUUUUAGAUGGUUAUUUCAACACACUCAUGUUUUAACACGGACACUUUGCUACAGGAAAGGUGGGGGAGUUCAACUUCUGUUGGUGGAGAACAGGAUGAGAGGGUCGGAUUGGGGGAAACUUAGGGUCUGACCCUCAGGUUUAAGGAAAAAUCGUACCGAGGUCCUCAGACUCAACACAGAGGAAUCCCCGAAAUUAUUUCAUCGAUACCCUCAGGUCAAAGAAAAAGUUACAACCGAGCCCUCGGGCGAGGCGGAGAAAGGGUCGGCGAAACUUGGCAGGGUCGGGCGAGGCGAAAGGAAAAAGGUCGGGCGAGACGAAAAGAAAAGGGGUCGGGCGAACCGAAACAAAGGGGUCGGGCGAAAUGAAAAGGAAGGGGUCGGUCGAGACGGAACACAAGGGGUCGGUCGAGACGGAACACAAGAGGUCGGUCGCUUACCUCCAGGUCUACCGGUGAAGCCUUGGGGCCGAACAGGAGUAGGCUGGGGUGGGAAGUCGUACGCGCUAAGGCUUGGGCAGCGGCGAGACUUCGACGGUGGUCCGGCAGCGGCGGUGCUUCUUGCGGACACCAGCAAGCUCGAGUACCGCGCGGAGGAGCGGAUGGCUGGUGUGUUGGGAGAAACGGCUUGAGGGUGGCGGCGAAGUCGCCGGAGUGUGGGGGUGGUGCAAAAGGGGUGAGCUCCACGGAAGCUCAGCGGCGGCGCGGGGAGAAAGCGGCGGCGCAGGUGCGGGCGGUGGCAAGGGGUGGCAUUGCUGGUGAGGGGGUUCCCUUUUAUAGGGCCGGGGUGGCGCGGAGGGUCGAGGCGGGGCUCCGGUGGGGAAAGGAUAAGGCCGGGAGCGGCGAGUGCACGGGCAAGGCGGCCAUUGGCCGGCGACGCCAUUGGGUAGAGGAGGCGGAGCUCUAGGUGGUCUUCGGCGGCGAUUGGCCUUGGGCGGUGCGCGUCUGGGGCUUCCGGUCUGUCGGGCGGGCGAGGCGGAGAGCUACCGUGGGGGUUGGGCGAACGGGCGGAGGCGCGGGAUGUCGAGGGCGUGUUAGCUUUCUUGGCGAACGGGCGGAACAGGGUUGGCGGAGCAGAGCCGUGGCAGGCGGAAGGCGGCACGCGCGUGGCCGGCGGUUGGCUGGCCCGUUCGCUCCGUCUUGUCGCAGGCGCGGGUUGGGCGCCGUGGCUCUCGUCCUGUCGCUGUCGUGCUGGGGAUAGGGCGCUGGCGAGCUGCCGGUGGCCGCUAGAUUUUUCUCACUAUGAAUAUAAUUCAUAGCAAUUACUUUGGAGUUUUUCAGCUUUCUAACAGAUUUAAGCCUCCGCUUCACAUGCCUCGAGGACUUCAUAUUAUCCUUAGUACUCAUAACUUUGAUCAAUACCGUUUGGUUAUCAUAGUACAUAAGGAUUGCCGGAACUGGUUUCUCCACCAGUGGCAAGUCCAUGAGUAGCUCUCUUAGCCACUCGGCCUCAACAGUAGCCGUGUCAAGUGCUACAAGCUCAGCUUCCAUGGUUGACCACGUCAAAAUGGUCUGUUUACACGACCUCCAUGAAACUACAGCACCUGCUAGUGUAAACAUAUAGCCACUCGUGGCUUUAAUUUCAUCCGCAUCAGAAAUCUAGUUGGAAUCACUAUAUCCUUCCAAUGCAGAUGGAUAACCAGUAUAGUGAAUUCCAUAUUCGAUUGUACCUCUCAUGUAACGUAGCACUCUCUCUAGUGCCUCCCAAUGAUCCUUCCCUGGAUUGGAAGUUAAACGACUUAAUUUGCUCACAGCAAAAGAUAUGUCGAGACAUGUUGCACCAGCAAGAUACAAAAGGGACCCAAUUAUUUGUGAAUAUCUCAAAUGGUCCAUCCCUUCAUCUUUAUUUUUCCUUAGCUUUACACUAGCAUCGUAGGGUGUAGGGGAUACUUUUGCAUUUUCAAAGCAAAAGCGACAAAAUAAUUUUUUCACAUAAUGAGAUUGAUUUAGAAUAAUCCCAUUCUCAUUUUUGGUCAACUUAAUAUUUAGGAUAACACUUGCUUCUCCCAGAUCCUUCAUGUCGAAGCCUGAAGAUAAGAAUGAUUUGACCUUCAAGCCCACUGCACACCGAAUUCGAAGGUCGACAAGGCGCCAUAGCAAGAGAUUCAGCACAGCGAGUGGGAAGACGAGCGUGUAACAGCGUCCAUUCAACCAGGACAUCUCCUGGUGUUAUAGACCUUCGUAGUGCAUCAGUUUCCCCAUCAAACAGCCUCAUCAAGCAGUAGAAACUGCCAAUUUGAACGAUAGAAACGGCUUCCAUCAAAUUGUUGAAACUGACACACCUUAUUGCUGUUUAAAACGGCAAUUUCAAUCACAUUGAAUUGCCAUUAGGCUCAGCAUAAAAAAAAUAAUAACUGCACAAACAAUAGUCACAACUCACGCGAUUUUCCACGUGAAAAUGUGCGUGAGCUUCAUGUGCGUGUAGCAACAAUCUCCUUCUCUCUCAUUUGCAUCUAUUUUGCAUAGAGAGGAGACUCCCAUAUUUAAGCAAGGCAACCUCUCCUUGAAUUAGCAAUAUAAGACUAAAGGUUGUGUAUGCUUUGGAAUUUUCUAAUUGGGCCACAUAUGGGCCUAAAUCCAAGACGGUGAAGGUUCUUCUAUCUCAACUCAAGGUGACGUUUAUAGCCUCGGCAUAUUGCUUCUUGAGAUGUUUACUGGAAGGAGCCCAACGGAUGAGAUGAGAUAUUCAAUGAUUCUUUGGAUUUGCACAAGUUUUCAGCGAAUGCUCUUCCAGAGAGAAAACGGGAUAUAGUUGAUCCGACAAUAUGGAUGCACACAGAUGCCUAUAACAGCACUAUAAGAAGUGGAAUUAAGAAUUGCUUGCUUUCUGUUGUUUGUCUUGAAAUAUCAUGCUCGAAGAAACAACCUAGGGAGCAGAUCCCGAUUCAGGAUGCAGCCAUUGAGAUGCACGCUAUUAGAGAUUCGUAUCUCAAGUUUGCCAGAUCUCUUUUGGUGGAGCAUGGAGUAGUAGCAACAACUCACAGUGAUUUCCCACAACAGUGAAUACAUAGGACUGAAAAUGGGCAAGAUGUUGCAGGUGAUCAGUUUACCUGAAAUAACUGAAGAUGUAUGAAGCUUCAGCUUUAUAAUUCGUCCAUGCAUUUGUUUGCAUCAGAUAUAUGGAAGUAUAAAAUAAGUUUAGAAAAUGUUUCAAAAUAGAUUAGAUCCAGAGGUUUUACUUGUCGUCUGUAUGACACAUUUUUUGUAGAGAAUUCAGUAAUAUGUAUGAUUCAUAAUACAAUCAAUGCUCUACAAAUUUCAAUAGCACAAUUGGAAUAAAAAGCUCAUUCAUUGAUUAUGUUGCUCUAGGUAACUCAACUUAUUGUGAUGUUCACUGUAGAUUUCUCCAUGGUCCAAACGACCUUUGUGAUCAGUUAUGUUUAUGCAUUUUGUAGAAUUGUAAAGUCUUUCCCUAACCUGCUGACGUAUCAGCCGGAGCAUGAGAAGGGGGUGCACCAAAUAUGGGAUGAGAUGGAGAGGAGUGAAUCAGGCCCAGAUCAACGAUCAUUUACUAUUAUGGUUUAUGGUCUUCAUUCCCAAGAAAAGCUUGAUGAGGCUCUGCAAUAUUACACAACAAUGAAGUCAAGAGGGUUGAUCCCUGAACCAAGGACCAAGAUACUGGUGAAAGCUAUACAUAUGAAGAAAGAUGGGGCUGUCACAGAAGAUCAGUCUGCAAAUAUGACAGGGAAGAAUCUAAAACUGGAUCCACGAUCUAGCCUAUUCCAUGUUCAUAAAUAGUUUGCUGUCAGAUCUUACUUCUAUAACCUCAACAGAGGAUUGCUGGGCACGUAUUAUGUGUCAAAAGAAUCUCUUCUACCAGUGUCCAGAUCACAAUGGCCACACCUUGGGCUACAAUAAAUCAUCAGAAAAGUGUAUUGGCAUCAUGUAUCCCAGAAAGUUUUGCUCAGACUUUCAAUGCCAGGGUAUGUUUUUCAUGUCUGAUAUGGAUCAAUUAUAUUGCAAGUACUGUAUUACACGCUCGUAUUAUGAAGGUUAUGUGAAAUAUGACAGAUGUUUGUUUAUUCAUCUGUUAUGCAUGGCUGUGUCUACUGUCUAGCUGUUGGCUUGUUGCCAACAUAUGCAGCAGCAGGUAGCUUCAGCCGCUCAGAAGCCCAAAUGAAGGAUGGCCCAGGCAGAAUAGCUAUGUCUAGACCCAGAAAGCUUAGGACAUGUCUUGCCAGCCUGCAGUUUUGUACUCGUAGCACCAACCAUCUCCGGGUUCUGGCCGGUUAUAUACAUGGUCUGGACUCUGGAAUGGGCAUCCGCUGAUCGAUUGAAACCUUGAGCUGCUUCCGUGUUUGUCUUUUACCAUCUAUAUAUUAUGGUUAGUCAACGGCAUGCAGUACACCCAUGCAUAUGAUUGCAGUAGGAUGACAUGGCGCGACCAGAACCCUUCUUUUGCCAGUUUUAGAUUCUUAUACACGGCCAACUGACGCAGCAGGGAGUUGCAUGCUAAGCAGUUCAGCGUAGGUGGUGAGUUCUCAACUCUGAUAUGGCUUAUGGAAGAACACUGUCACGGUGUUACCUAGCCGGUUGGAGGCCAACCUCUUACUAGGGACAGCAAUGGCCCUGUCCGGCCACUGUUUCGUGGCUGGUAUUAUUACCCCUAUGCAGUGAAUAUGACAUGUGGAUCUAUGUGUAUAUUAUGUCGUCAAAAGAACAUUAUAUGAACCGUUGAUCCACCUUUGAUUCUAUUAAUGUGUCAUGGUCAAUUGAUGUCAAACUCUAUUAUCUUCAAGUCUUAUUGUAUUGAUAAAAUCACGAUGCUGCUACUGCCAUUUUGAUGUUUAUAAAAGGGUAUUGAGAACCUGGUGGGUAUCCAUUGGAUGCGCAGGGUUGAUGGUGGGGAAAAAUGAGUGUAAAGGACAGGGAUGCAGUAUUUAGAAAGAUGGGGCUGCCACAGAAAAUAGUCUCCAAGUAUGGCAGGGAAGAAUCUAAAACUGAAUCCUUGAUCAAGACUGUCCCAUAUUCAUAAAUAGUUCACUGACAGAUCUUGCUUCCAUAUUCUGAACAGCUGAUGCUGGGCACAUAGGAGGUUAACCGGUCAGCGGAUCAAAGAAAAUCCACAAUGGCCUCAUCUUGGGUUAGAGACAAUCAUCGGUAAAGAAUCAUAUUGCCGGAUAAGGAUAUCUGUGAUUGGUGGGUGCAGAUCCAUGCUCAUUCAAGAAACACAUGAUUCUUUACGGAUGAUCAUCUCUCAGCACACCCUGCUGAUAAGGUUAUCUGAGAUUGGUGGGUGCAGAUCCUAGAAACAAGCUAGGGCUGAAUGCGCCGCUGUACUUGGAUGUUGUGGUGACACCGUAAUGAUUGUGUGUUUAACGGAGUUUCCCAUAGUGACUAGCGUGCAGGCCGUCCUCGUAUUUGAGAAAAAAAUCAAUGGGCGAAAUGUUUUCACCCAGGUAAUUGUUGCAUUGUAUGAAUAGGCUUAGAUACCUGGUUACUGUGACACAAGAAGAUUUAUCAUAUCUAUCUAUGAAUUAGUGUUAAAUCUCCUACAUAAAUAUCUUCUCUUAUCUCACUUUAUGUAUAUAUAUGACACAGAAGCACAUGUAUAUCGGCAUUGUAGAGAUAGAGAUGAGAGAGAAGCUUAUCUGCUUUUUGGAGAUAAAUAUUCAAAUUACUAGUGUAUGAGAGGGAUAGAAUUAUUCUAUCAUAUUGUUUAUUCAACAUCUAAAAAGAUUCCAUGUUUAGUCAUCUAUAUCGGCGUUGUAGAGAGAGAGACUAGUGUUCAUCUGGUUGGAAGGAUGAGAGAGAGAGGAGAGAGUUUGGAUGAGAUAGAGAGAUAGUGUUCAGCUGGUUGGAAGGAUGAGAGAGAGAGAGAGGAGAGUUUGGAUGAUAGAGAGAUUAGUGUUCACUUGGUUGGAAGGAUGAGAGGGAGAUGAGAGAGUUCGGAUGAGGAGGUAGAGAGUUCGGAAGAGAGAGAGAGGUGAGAGUUCGGAUGAGAGGUGUGAGAGAGGUGAGAGUUCGGAUGAGAGAUAAAGUAGCUUAUAAGGAUGAGAGAGAGAAAGCGGUAUUCAGCUGGAUGGUGGAGACUUCAUAUAUUACUAAUAAUGCAUCCAAACAACAUUUAAAAUUUAAUUCUAAGAAAAACUUUCUCGGUAAAUCAAAACAAGAAAAUUCAAUUGAAUCAAAUUCUACGGAAUCCAUUUCCUAUGAAAUCUAAUUGCUAGAAUAUGAUUCAUGGAAUGAGUUCCAAUUCUAGAGAUCCAAACGGGCCCUAAGAGAAUUGUAGUGAUCAACUCCCAAGUUGCAAUAUAUCCUAGGAAAUAGGUGGUUAUGAGGAUGAUACCUGCAGACAAUACUUUUAAUCCCUCAAUUCUUACAGAGAAUUGCACUAUCAACUGCAUUUUCAUUUGUGCCACGCUGCUCAGCUAUAAAAAACGGGGCAAAUCGACCAAAAUAAAUGAAUAAACCACAUGGUUUAGACUGGUGGCAUAUGUAUGUCUGAUGAGUUUAGAAUCCCAACAGACCUCUGUUUGCUUAUCCAACAGGAGGGAAAAAGUUUACUUACUAAAUCAGCUUUGCAUGUCAGGCUGCAAUUGUUAGAGAGUAGAAUUGGGUAAUUUGUGAACAUAAUUGAAUCAAAGUUUUGUCUCAGACUAGUAAUAGAAAAUGGUGAUGCUCCAUAGCUAGAACAACACGUUCCUACACUAGUUUAAAAAAUCCCCUGAAAUUGGGAACAAUGGUCAAGCCCAAACCAUACUUGGAACUUGGAAGGCCGCUGGCGGAUGUCAAAGUCAAAAACAGAAGCAGACAGCGACGUCUCACCAGAUCACGAAUCAGAUGCGAUGCAUAUACAUGUUGCAGGCAUUAGCACGCAUCCCUUAGGAUUAAACAAUUCAGCAAGUAGCUCCCCUGCUGACCAAGAAAAGCAAGCUCUGUCUCGCAGCAAGCUCUUCAAUACGCUCCAGCCCAGCUCUACCAUGGCAUUGGCAAUGCGCGUCAUGAGCUUGCUUCCUGCCACCAUCGCCGUGAUGAUCGCAGCGGCCUCCUGGGGAGCGCACGGCGGUGCCAGCGACGAGGCCAGCGCGCUGCUUGCUUUCAAGGCUGAGCUCGCCGGCAGCGGCUCCGGCAUGCUUGCAUCCUGGAAUGGCACCGCUGGCGUCUGCAGCUGGGAGGGCGUGGCGUGCACCAGCGGCCAGGUGGUGGCACUGAGCCUGCCCUCUUAUGGGUUCGCCGGAGCCCUCUCCCCGGCCAUUGGGAACCUCACUUUCCUGCGGACCCUGAACCUGAGUUCCAACUGGUUCCAGGGGGAGGUCCCAGCAAGCAUCGGCCGCCUAGCGCGUCUGCAGACGCUUGAUCUGAGCUACAAUGCGUUCUCUGGUACGCUUCCUUCCAACCUCAGUUCCUGUGUCAGCUUACUGCUGUUAGAUCUCAGCAGUAACCGGUUCCAUGGGCGUAUCCCUGUUGAGCUUGGAGACAAGCUAACAAGUCUUCAGAAGUUCUCACUGGGCAACAACAGCUUGACGGGUGCCAUGCCAGGAUUACUAGGUAACCUGUCAUCCCUGAACUACCUUGAUCUGAGAAAAAACCACCUCGAGGGUCCGAUCCCACAUGAACUCGGCAGCAUGGGCGGCCUGCAGGUCCUUUUACUCCAUGACAACAGACUCUCCGGUGUGCUUCCACACUCCCUGUACAAUCUGUCCUCACUGAAAAAGUUGGGGGUAGGAGACAACAUGCUGUCUGGAACCAUCCCUGCUGAUAUCGGCGAUAGGUUCCCCGGUAUGGAAGCUCUUGACUUUUCUAGCAACCGAUUCAGUGGAGCUAUCCCACCUUCGCUCGGCAACCUCUCUGCUCUCACAAAACUAGUCCUUCAAGAAAAUGGUUUUAUUGGAUAUGUGCCUUCUGCUUUGGGAAAGUUGCAAAGUCUUACUGCCCUUUUCUUGGGUGUUAACAGGCUAGGAGCAAACGACAGUCAAGGGUGGGAAUUCAUCACUUCACUGGCAAACAGCUCCCAGCUUCAGGUUCUUGUUCUCGGCAACAACUCUUUCAGCGGGCAACUGCCUAAUUCAGUCACAAACCUGUCAUCAACUCUGCAAGGUCUUUAUUUGGGAGACAAUAUGAUUUCUGGGAAUAUUCCAAUAAACAUCGGAAAUUUGGUUGGUCUUACAGUAUUUGUGAUGGGAAAUACUUCUGUAUCUGGACAGAUUCCAGAGAGCAUUGGUCAGCUAAGAAACUUGGGUGUGUUAGGCCUUUACAACACUAGCUUGUCAGGCCUCAUACCUUCGUCACUAGGAAAUCUUACACAGUUGAAUAGGCUUUAUGCAUACUAUGGAAACUUAGAGGGGCCAAUUCCAUCAAACUUGGGGAACUUAAAGAAUGUGUUUGUCUUUGAUCUCUCAACAAAUCGACUCAAUGGUUCAAUUCCUAUAGAGGUUUUAAAACUUCCUCAACUUUCCUGGUACUUAGACUUAUCAUAUAAUUCAUUAUCCGGGCCACUUCCAAUUGAGGUUGGUACCAUGGUGAAUCUUAACGAACUGAUUCUGUCUGGAAACAAGUUGUCAGGCACCAUACCAGCUAGUGUUGGGAACUGUAUAUCGUUGGUACGGCUGCUGCUCGAUAACAACUUAUUAGAAGGAAGCAUACCUCAAUCUCUGAAGAAUAUAAAAGGUCUUGCAUUACUGAACCUAACAAUGAAUAAGCUAUCUGGUAGUAUUCCUGAUGCCCUUGCUAGCAUUGGCCACCUGCAACAACUGUAUCUUGCACACAACAACUUGUCAGGUUCCAUCCCCAAAGUUCUACAGAAUUUGACAUUGUUGGCAAAACUGGAUUUGUCCUUCAAUGAUCUGCAAGGCGAAGUGCCAAAAGGGGGUCCUUUUGCAAAUGCAACUCACUUGUCAAUUGAUGGAAAUGAUGAGCUUUGUGGCGGAAACC
RNAcentral lists this long non-coding RNA (126240 nucleotides) under Setaria italica (foxtail millet). RNAcentral's name for it is "long non-coding RNA (SITA_LNC003510)". Lineage: Eukaryota; Viridiplantae; Streptophyta; Magnoliopsida; Poales; Poaceae. The record is from RNAcentral.